UAUAUCUAAGUGAAAACCGAUUUAAUAAUGAUAAAAGCAUUUUGUCAUGUUUCAAUGGGCUUUCCACUCUCGAGUCUUUGGAUCUAUCAUAUAAUAAGUUGACAGCUGGAUCAGGAGGUAGCUUCUAUGGUAACCUUUUAAUUAUUUAGCUUCGAAACCUUUUCUUUUCUUCUUCCAAUAUGCUUUUGAGGAACAUCAUGCAGGUUUCAAAGUCUUGUCAUCAAGGUUGAAAAAGCUGGAGAACCUUCUUCUAAGUGGGAAUCAAUGCAACGAUAGCAUUUUUUCAACUCUAACUGGAUUUUCAUCUCUCAAGUCAUUAGGUCUUUCACGCAAUCAGUUGACAGGAUCUGCUAGUAUCAUUAGUAAGUUAUAUAUAAUUUCUACCUAACUGCUUUACGUGACAUUCUUUUAUACGGUUUCGUAAUCAAGAAAAUUGAGGACUUUAUAUUUAUUUAAUAAUUAAUCAACGAUAGCAUUUCAUCAUGUUUGAUUGCGCUAGCUUUCAUCUAUGAAGAUUUAUAGCUAUGGAGCUUUGAUCUUAUCCAUAAAUUAUUUUUCUAACAAGACAGGAAGAUAAUAAAGUGAGCUAGCUGGAUCAAAACUAGGAUGAUAAAAAAUUACAUGUAUAGAUCAAUGGAUACUUGCAAUCUAUCUUCUUCCUUAAUCUAUGCACAGUAGCAUCUUAUCAAUUCUGAGUGGGCUUUCAUCCCUCUAUAGAUCGUCUUUGGAUCUAUCGUAUAAUACAUAGUUUCUACCUAAAUGCUUCACAUGACAUUCUCUUAAUUAUAUUGUUUCUUUAUCAAGAAAAAUGAGGACUUUAUAUCGGCAAUGUAGGAGUGGUGUUUAAAGGACACUUUAUAUAUAUGCAAAGCUCCAUGACAAACAUAUUAAAAGAACAAAUUAUUUAAAAAUACAUAACAUUUUAUAAUUUUAAAAAAUAUUAUAUUAUUCAAAAUUAAUAAAUCCAAAUGAUUGUUCAAAACUUCUCAUUGAUAAUUAAAACAAGAACAAUAAUAAAUAACACUCAUUAUAUUAUCAUGAAAAAUGAGGACUUUAUAUCUAUGUGAUGAUCAAUUUAAUGAUAGCAUUGUAUCAUGUUUGACCAUCUUUAACAACUUUAUAUCCUUAAAUUGUUUUUUUUUUCCAAUAAGAUCAAAAUUAGAAUGAUUAAAAAUAUUUCUUAAUCUUUGAAGUGUACACAACCUAUUAUAUAAUUAAAUAUGCGUUCGUGAGCUCAUUAUAAUUAAAUAUAGCAUUUUAUCAUUCUUUUUAUGUGUAAUUCGAGAAUCAUAUAUCAAUUGAACAACAACAUCUCAUCAAUUCUAAUUAUUUUUAGUUUCUAUCUAUUAUGCAUAUCGUGAUUAUGACUUACUCUUAGAAACAAUUCUCUUGCAGGUUUUGAGAUCAUAUCAUCACAUUUGUGGAAACUCGAGUCAUUAGAUUUAUCACACAAUCAGCUGACAGGAUCUAUCACUAGUAAGUUACAUUCUUUUAUCAAGAAAAUUGAGGAAUUUAUAUCUAUAUGCUUUCAUGUAUCAUUUUAAUAUCUAAAAGAUACUUUCAUCACUAUUCUGACUGUUUUGAGAUAAAUUGUAUAGGUUGGUGUGAAUUGAAGAAUCUGAAACAGUUGGAUCUUUCUGGAAAUAAUUUAGGAGGUUCACUCCCAGAUUGUUUGGGAAACUUGUCAUCUUUACAACUAUUAGAUGUUUCUGAAAACCAGUUUACUGGAAAUAUUGCCUCUGGUCCUCUUACCAACCUUAAAUCCCUUAAAUUCCUCUCACUAUCUAAUAACCUCUUUGAGGUUUCCACUUCAAUGAAGCCUUUUAUGAAUCACUCAAGCCUCAAGUUCUUCUCUAGUGAGAACAAUAGACUUGUAACAGAACCUGCUGCCUUUGAUAAUUUGAUUCCAAAGUUCCAACUAGUUUUUUUUAGCUUGUCGAAAACAUCGGAAGCACUCAACGUAGAAAUUCCCGACUUCCUCUAUUACCAAUACGACUUAAGAGUCCUUGAUCUCUCCCACAACAACAUCACCGGAAUGUUUCCAUCGUGGUUGCUUAAGAACAAUACACGAUUGGAGCAACUAUCUUUAAGCGAGAACUCCUUUGUUGGUGCUUUACAAUUGCAAGAUCAUCCAUAUCCGAAUAUGACCGAAUUAGAUAUAUCCAACAACAACAUGAACGGUCAAAUUCCAAAAGAUAUUUGUUUAAUCUUUCCAAAUCUGAAGAGCUUAAGGAUGGCUAAGAAUGGAUUUAAAGGUUGUAUUCCUUCUUGUUUGGGAAAUAUUAGCUCUCUUUUAAUUUUAGAUUUAUCCAACAAUCAAUUUUCCACAGUAAAACUAGAACAACUAGCAACAAUAAGUUUUCUCAAGCUAUCAAACAACAUUUUGGGUGGGAAAAUACCGACCUCGGUGUUCAAUUCUUCUACCUUAGAAUUUCUCUAUCUAGGUGGUAACAACUUUUGGGGUCAGAUAUUAGAUUUUCCAUUAUAUACGAGGAAAAGCUGGAUUGUAUUGGAUUUGAGUAACAAUCAUUUUUCAGGCAUGCUUCCAAGGUGGUUUUUCAAUACUACAGGCCUUAACAUAGUUGAUUUGUCCAAAAAUCAUUUUAAGGGUUCGAUUCCAAGAGACUUUUGUAAGCUUGACUCGCUUGUAUAUUUGGACUUUUCUGAGAACAACUUGUCUGGAUAUAUACCGUCUUGUUUCAGUCCACCACCUCUAACCCAUCUGCAUCUAUCCAAAAAUAGAUUGAGCGGUCCAUUAACAUAUGGAUUUUAUAACAGCUCUUCUUUGGUUACGAUGGAUCUUCGAGAUAACAGCUUCAUCGGUUCCAUUCCAAAUUGGAUUGGCAAUCUUUCAUCGUUGAGUGUUCUUCUUCUGAGGGCUAAUCACUUUGAUGGUGAGCUCCAUAUUCAGUUAUGCUUGUUAGAACAAUUAAGCAUUUUGGAUGUUUCACAAAACCAGCUCUCUGGUCCACUACCCUCCUGUUUAGGCAAUCUUACUUUCAAGGAAAGUUCCCAGAAAAUGUUUACGGAUUUCUGGGGUCAUUUUCCAUCAUCGUCCGCAUACAAAGCUUAUGUUGAAACCAUGGGUACACCACUGGUGGAUAGUGUGUACAGCUUGGAAAAGGAAUUUUGGCCUAACAUUACAGAAGAAGUGAUAGAAUUUACAACUAAAAAUAUGUAUUAUGGUUACAAGGGGAAAGUUCUCAGCUACAUGUCUGGUAUUGAUCUCUCCAAUAACAACUUCAUAGGAGCAAUCCCACCAGAAUUUGGAAACUUAAGUGAGAUACUAUCAUUAAACUUAUCACACAACAAUCUCACUGGAUCUAUCCCUGCAACAUUCUCAAACCUAAAGCAUAUUGAGAGUUUGGAUCUUUCUUACAAUAAUUUGAAUGGUGCCAUCCCUCCACAACUUACUGAAGUUACCACACUGGAAGUUUUUAGCGUGGCGCACAAUAACUUGUCAGGUAGGACACCCGAGAGAAAAUAUCAGUUUGGGACCUUCGAUGAAAGCUGUUACGAAGAAAAUCCUUUCUUGUGUGGGCCUCCAUUGCAAAACAAUUGUAGUGAAGAAGCAGUGUCGUCCCAGCCAGUGCCUAAUGAUGAACAAGGAGAUGAUGGUUUCAUAGACAUGGAGUUUUUCUACAUCAGUUUCGGUGUAUGUUACACAGUUGUGGUGAUGACGAUUGCAGCAGUUCUCUACAUCAAUCCAUAUUGGCGACGCAGGUGGUUGUACUUCAUUGAAGACUGCAUAGAUACUUGCUACUAUUUUGUGGUGGCUAGUUUUCGCAAGUUCUCCAACUUCAGAAGGUGAAAUUGGGGAGACGGCCCGUUCCUAGUUUGUGAUGAUUGUUUGUCUAGCUAUUGGUAAUUUGUAGUGUACUGUCUCUAAGCUCAGUCUUUCUAUUUUAUUAGUUAUUUGGGCUAAAUAUAUAAGCUGGACUUCUCAUUCAUGAAUCAUUAGGAAGGAAACUGAUUUGGAUCGGUCAUUGACUCGGGUGUGAUUACUCUUUCAACUCUCAAGACUUGUCUGAAAAUAAAUUGCCAAAACCACUACUAAAGUAUAAACAAAAUAUUCUAUGCCUUUGUUUCAAGGGCGACCCCACCUCAGUUAUUCAAUCAAAGCAUUGAAAUCGGAGCAAGAAGAUCCACCUUCUUCAACAUCCUUCCUGGCCGUUUCUUUGCUCUGCUUCUCAUUUCCUCUGCUUCUUCACCCAUCAUAAUUUGAGUGAUUGCCUUCUCUACAGCUUCACUUUUAACAUGAUCUCCAUGCACUCUAAGCCAUUCCUUAACUCCAGUUUUUAAAACAUCAGUCACCAACUUUUCAUUAUAGAAUUGCUCAGCAAAUAUUGGUCUCCUAAGCACAAAAAAAUAAUUGUCCUUCUCAAACAUGCAGCUGUGACUUGAGACAUUCAGAAUUUCAACCUCAUUUUCUAUAAAAUUCAACAAUACUGGAUAUGGUCAUGAUUAUACUGGAUAUGGUCAUGAUUCAAUGGAAUAAUCCCCACUUAUUUUCUUGAGACCUUUUUCCAUUGAAAUCUUGCAAGACUAUGGCAUAAUGAACUCCAUCUAAUGAACAGUAAAUCAAAGAAAUUACCUUCUGAUAGAUCUCCUCUUGCCAAUCAGCGCCUUUUGCAUGUCCAGUCUGUGCUGUAGAAUCUAGGGAUGCUACAAAAAUUUCAAUGCAGACAACAAAAUGUUAGAAUUCAUGUAUUUUUGUGUGUUUUCCAUCUACAAGGGUAUUUCUGUAAUUUUAACACUUGCUGAAAAUUAUGAAAUAUUGCAAGUCUCAGUUUUAUUUUCCAUUUAGUAUUUAAUUAUUCCCAAAGUAUAGCGAGCUUCAUUAGGUUUUUCCUAUUCUAGAUAGGUCUAUUAGUAUUUUCCUAUAUAGGAAUACAAGUCCUUUUUGUAUUAGGAACUUCAUCUAAAUGUUAUGUAAUCAUAUAAAUGCAGAAUCAGAGGGUGAACAGCUGGUGCAAUGCACUGGAGGGUAUGAUGUGGUAACAAAUGCGUGUGUGAUUGCAAUGGUUUCAAUAGCAGUGGCAUUACUAAUGCCACAAGUGGCAGCAGUGGCACAUAAAGCUACCUAAAAGAGUAUUGCUGACUUGAACCAUUAUGAGAGGUGAACAGUUGGUGCACCGCACUGUAGGGCAUCGUGUGGUUACAAAUGCAUGUGUGAUUGCAAUAGUUCCAAUACCAGUGGCAUUUCUAAUGCCAUAAGGGGAAGCAGUGGCACAUAAAGCUACCAAAAAGAGCAUUACCUGGCAUUUGUCUCUGAGAAUUGACAAACAUAGUGGAGGGAAUCCCUUGUCCCAUUGAAUUCCCCACUGAGUUCUGUGAAACACCAGGGAUACUCUGCAUGUUAGGAUUCUGGACAACAGUGUUGGGGAUAGUCUGGGUUACACCAGAGACAGGAGGCAGUGCCGCUUGUAAACCAGCAUAACUUUGAACUCCAUUAGAUGCCAUGCAAUUCUGCAUGUUCUGUGAUACCAACUGCUGACGUGCUUGAGACUGAUCAGUGGACAAUAGGAUAGGGAGAAACAGCCCUUGAUUCUGAACUUCAGGGGACAUACUAUGGGAUGCUGUUCAAGAUAAAAGGCAAAAGGGAAAACCAUGUCACAGAAAAAAAGAAGGCACUGAACAAGGAAGACAAAUGAAACAUCGGCAGUCCACACAUAAAGUUAUGAGCGAAAGAAUUGGGAUGGAUUUGAUUCAAAGCAUAAAAGUGUCCUCUGACAAUUUUCGGGGAUGGGGGAAGAAGAGGCGGCUGAAAACAAAAAUAAUAUGACAAUUUUCAGGGUGGGGGAAAGAAAAGGAGGAGGCAGAAAACAAAAACAAUCUGUAAUAUUCUUGCAUAACAUUCAUCAAUUACUCAACUUUUUGAUUAAAGCAUGCCAUACACAUAGCAAUAUGUUGCAAUAAAAUGCAAAAGAGUUUGAUAACAAUGUGACAAACAAAACAAAAGGUAAGAUGUUUAGAAAUUCAAUGCUCGGCAGCAUUAUUAUAUAUGAAAAAAGGAUCAAAUGCUUUUCUCUCGGAAGAAAGCAAGAAAGUGACGUCUUACCUCCUAAACAGGAAAAUCUUUAAAAUCUACCAUCUCAAUCAUAAAAUAUAAAAUACCAUGCAUCACAGUCCUUGUUGCUUAACAAGUUAAGGAUGGAACACUUCACAUGCAUUAUAGAAUUAGCAUCGUGGAGGUGAUCAUGAGAUUUUUCCAGCAAGGCGAUAUACAUAGCAAUAUGCAGCAAUAAAAUGUAAAAGAGUUUGAUAACAAUGUGAGAAGAAAAACAAAAGGUAAGAUGUUUAGAAAUUCAAUGAUCGGCUGCAUUAUAACCUGCUGGAUCCAUGGGGGCAGUGGGCAUGGUGUUUUGAGACCUGAUCUCCAUUGAAAGCAUCUCCAGAGAUAUUUUACGCAGAUAAUCAUACUGAAAUCAGAUAUUAAUAACAAAACAUUAGAUCUCAGAGCAAUCCAUGUUACAAGAGGAGGAAAAUGGAUAAAUGCUCUAUCAUUUCAUCUUUUGUGAGGAUAUACUUCUGUUUCCUCUCUUUUUAUUUAAUUAUUUAGGUAUUGAUUUGCUAUUUUCUUUUUGCACACUUCCCUUGUACUUGAACUUGUUCACUCUAAAUAAAACACUUGUCAAGAGAAUUAACAAAAAGAUGCGAACUCCCAAUCAGCCUUGCAUACAGAGUGAACGGUGAGGAAGUGUAAGCACACUACACACACAUUUGUACAUGCAUAAAUGCAUGUGUAUAUUCAUGUCAAGAGAAUAUCAUAAUUAUUGAACCUCGCAUUAGGCAAAUACCUGAUUGGUGGCGGUAGUAUAAAUCUUUUCCUCAAAACGUAUGGCCAAUUUCUUGAGUUCUUGUAAUCCCUCCUGACCAGAAACAAAAGAUGCCCCUUUAUUGUCUCCAUUCUGCACAUGCAAAUCAUUACGUUUCAUUUUUAAUGACCAGGCAAGUAUAGAGAAGUUAGCAACAGCGAGCAAAUAAUGAGAUAAGCAAGAGUUGGUCAAGUAUUAUAAGACAUCAAAAUACAUAGACAUCCUUUCCCUGUAUUAUUCCAGAGGUACAGAUUAUAGGAGUUUACUUGGCCACCCUUCUGUCUAAAAUUCUAGCUACGAGCUUCAUUUAUUAGUGACUUAGUUGCAAAGCAGGGGAGUCUGUGAAAACAUUACAAUAGCAUUUACUCUGAGUAACUUCUAUGCAUGUGCUGUAAUUGACAAAGAAAAGAAGAGAAAUCCUUUCAAUAUAUGAAAAUGCAACGAGUUAACCUUAUCUCACACUGCAAUAUAUACUCUACAGUAUUCAAUGACCAAUGCAAGUGCCAGCAGAAGCUGUCUAUAUGAUUUUGGAUGUAGAGAGGUCAACAAAACAUUCAACUUUAUGCUGAGAAUCUAGGAAACCAUGCACCAUUGUGGCUAAUUGAUUUUUGUCUACUGCUUUUCAACUUUAAGAUCACUAUCAUUUCAACCCUGUAGAAGUUAAAACAAAUAGAAGGCCCAAAUCCAACACCAUUCAUUUAAGUUCAGUUGCAACUCGAGUUUUAAAUUGAAACACGUAUGCUCAUAGCAAUAGAUUAACCUUGAAAUUAAAAGCAGAACAAGCUUCAUGCAGCCAUCCAAGAGGUCAUCAUCAAAAGAAGAGAUUACACAAGAAAUUCCAACAAAAAUUACUUCCCAGCACUUUAUGUUCCCUCAAGUUUGCUUCUCGUGAGAAACACAUGAAAAGAUGAAACAAACAAAAACAAAAAAAAGAGGUGUGUGAUACUUGAUGUUGCCUCAUGGCAAUCCUGCUGAUUUUAAUUAACCCUUUGUCGUUCUCCUUUUCUUUCAUAUAAAUAAAAAAUUUACUAUUUUGCAGCACUUGCACAUACAUUUUGUCGACUAUUCUUUUCCGUGAGUCAGGCCGCAAUUGAAUUCUCCAAUCACCCGUGUCCAUGACAGGUUCUCCGCCUGGGACAGUGGGCCAACCAAAAAGAAAAAAAAAAUCAUAUUGCAUGUUAGAAUAGACCCUAAAAAGAAAGUCAGGAACGGCAAGAAGAGCAAAAGCACAUCAAGAACAUGAAAAAUGGAAUAUCAGUUGAUUCAGACUUGAAUAGAUUUAAAAAGAACUUCCGUCUAAUAUCAUGUACUUUAUUAAAGAAUUCAGCCAAAUAUGGAUGCAUAACAAAUAUACACAACCAUUCAGGUCAAGGUGCUAGGAUCCUGGGUAUUCGGCCAUUCAAAGCAAAGAAUCUUCAUGGUGCUUCUAAACCAAAGAAGCAUUCCCAUCUAAGCAAAUACUUACUGUCAAACCCCACUCCACUUUCCCUCCUGUUCUUGUUAUUUAUGCAUAUAUUUACUUCUCUGAAAGAAUAAAUAUUGUAGGGAGCAAAUAGUGUAAAUAGAAAGAGGAAAAUACCACAUCCCCAAAAGAAUAAAGAAAUAAGAAGAAGGCAAAACAAAGUCAUAAAACGAGGCCUUUCAAUCCCCAAUGAAUAUCAGCAGACUAAAUACCACAGCACAAAUAGAAGAUGAAGAGGCCAGAAACACUAAUCCAUCCCGAAGAGAUUGUCUAGGAUGUUUUAGUCUAGGAAAAAGACAAAGAAAAAAACGAGCAUUAACAAUGAAUAUUUCAUGUUAUCAUCAACUCUAAAGAGCAGACUGAUAAGAAUCAACUUAACAAAUUUACAGGCACAUCUUUCUUUGAACAGACAACACAAUAACCCUGACCAUACUAAAUGCUCCACCCACAGUAGAAUCGGCUGAUUGCGCCUUUCUUCGAGUUGCGUUCACGAGCAGCGAUUUCAUCGGGUCCGAUUAUAUAUCUUUUUUAAUUUACUUAUUAAAAUUGAAUUUUUCUCUCUGGAUAGUAAUUUCAAUUAAAUAAAUGGAAACGCAGACGUAAAUCUUUUUUUUUUUAAAAAAAAAAAACAUAAUAGAAAAUGAAGCACCUGGUGGAGAUUUGAAGCCUUAUUGGUUGAGGGGGCGGCGGUUUCCUAGAGCGGAGGAGGGAAAGAGAGCUCAGGUGGAAAGAGGUGAAGAAUGUCGGACCAAAGUGAACAGAGCUUGACAGAUGACUCUUUUUUUUUAAUAUGAAUAUUCUAGUUAACUUAGUAUACCUCUAAUAAAAUUCACAAUCAUAUAAAUAUUUAUAUAAAUAUCUAAAAAAAUUUAAUACUCAAAUUAGUGAUAUGCAGGUAGCAAUAUUUUAUUCUUUCCAGAUUUGCUAACAAACUAAAAGAAAUGUAUUCACUGUGCUGCUUUACUGUUCAUAACUAACAAACUAAAACUAAAAUUAUUAAGGCGGGGUGCUAUGCGCGCGAGGAGAUGUCAGCCGACGGGAAAUCACCUGCAUCGGCUGGGAUGGCUUCAUUGAAGCUGUCCUCUUGGUCUGUGGCGGGCCUACUCAUUAAUGAAAAAAUUAUUCUAACAGAGACAUUGUUUUUGUUUUUGUAAAAUCUUUUCUAUUAUAUUUUUUUUAAUCCAAAUUUUUAUAGAAAACAUCAUAUAAAUUCUGGUGUGAUAUUUAUUCUUGGUUGUGCUGAUAAUAAAUUGUUUUAAAACUACAGAAUUAAUCAUUAUCUCAAUUUAAUUUUUAUUUUGAUUAUUGAUUUAUGUGCAUGUUUUAUAUUAGGUGGAAACUUGAUCAUUGUAGUAAAAAGGAACAAUAAUUUUAUGAAUUAUUCAAAACAAUUUAUUUGUUCUAUGCAUAUGUAUGAUGAUCUGGUUAUACAUGAAAUAGAUAAUUUGUCAAGAACAAAUUGAUUAUAUGUUGACAUAGAUUAAAAAAAAGUUUAAUUUUAACAGGAAAAGUAAAGUGUAUAUAUCUUUUGUUAUCUAUGUACUUAUAUAUUGCCUUGAUUCUAUGGGGAAAUAAAUUUUAUGUUGCAUGGUAUUUUCCUUUGUUGUUGCGUUGAUAGAAAAAAACAAAGAAAACAGAAGAUGGGAAAAAAAGUUGCAUAUCUGGAUAAUAAUUAUCGGUGAAAUAAUAUAUGUAAAGUGAAAUUCUAUUUAAUUGGAAUUAUUUUGUUUAUGUUGCAUAUAUAGCUAUAUAUGAUUAAAGAGUGAUUAACAACUAAUACUCCUAGCAUUGAUGAUGCAUUAUUACCAAGAAAAAAAAAAUUUAGUGUAGGAUUCAUCAAAGGCAUUCUAUUUUUCACUUGGAUUGGUAAAAGACUAAAAGACUCAAAUAUAGUUAUUACUUAAGAUGUGGUUGUAGACUUACCAAACCACAUUAGAAAAUGAGUUUGCAAUCUUUAAUUAUGUUAUAUAUGUUUAGAGUGUUUAUUUUCAUUAUUUUGAUAUAAUUACCAUGUCAGAAUUACCUAUAAAAAGAGACAAUUCUGACAUGGUUUUGACAAUAAAAAAAACUUCUAAUCUUUUUAAAACUCUUCUCUUUAUAUCUUUUUAAUUAAAAUUCUUAUAAAGAGUAACAUAAAAAUUUUAGUUCACCAUUUAUUCUUGGUUGUGCUAUAAAAAAUCAGAGAUUGAGUAAGCUUGAAAAAUAAUAUUACAAUUAUAUUGCUAGCACUAAAGAGCAUGUAAUAAAUUGUUUUAUGAUAAUUUAUAGUCAAUAUUUUAAUUUGUGGCUAUCCGUACAAAAUAUUUUAAAAUGACUAAAAUAAUUAAUAGUUUAUUAGUUUGGAUGUUUUUAGUAAUGUUGAAAUUAUAGAGAAGUGAUCAUUAAGUUGAUUUUUUUAUAUGCGUAGAAAUCAGGUCAUUAUAAAUUUAAUAAACUAUUUAAAGUGUUCCAAUGAAAAGAAAAUGGUGUUGUGAAUUUGAGUCUGCAUUUUUCUCUUUCUUUUUGGUUUUUUUUGUUCGUCCCUUCCUCAAAAUUUAGGGUAUUAAAUUUCUUUGUUUCUUCGGAAGAUGCCUUACUCUUUGUUGAUCGUCUUUCUGUUUUUAGUUGCAUUGUUAGGCUAUAUGUGUGUUUAUUGAGGCUUUGGCUGCCUUUUUUGCUACAGUUAUGAGGUUUCUUGGAGUGUUUUAGUUAACUUCAGCCCUCUAUUAUCCAUUCUUUAUAGAGGUGGUGUUGUCUUUGUUUCGCACAAGGCGGCAUGUGUCUUGAAAGGAAGUUUACUUGGUUUUCUUUACAUGUGUUUCUUGCAUGCUACUUGUUUGGCAAAAGUCUCCUGAGAGAUCGACCUUUUUUCUUUGUUUUGGUUAGGCUGGGUGCUUGAUUUGUGUUAGGCUGUUAAAGUUUUUUCCCUUUCUUUAUAAGAAAAAAAUAUUUCUUUUGUGCUUGGGAACACACCUUUGUAGCUUUAGAGAUGAUAGAAAGCUUUGCUUUUAAAGGCAACAUUGUUCUUUAUGGUUUUUUCAACAUGGGUUUCCUUAACAAAAAUUAAGUUUUGCAUGUUUAUUUAUGUUGCUCAUCCACAUGUAUUGCAACAGGUCUUUCUAGAGGUAACUUGGGUGAGGAAAAAACUUUGUGCCACGAAAAUAAGAGGCUGGAGUUUUAUUUUGCUUUAGAUUCUUCCCUUAAUUCCAACCUUGGUUUGUUUUCAAUUCUUUGGUCUUUCUUUUCAUUAGUCUAUGAUUUUUGUUGGCUUCUUGCUUUGUGUAAGGUUGUACGAGGAUUUUCCUUUUUUAAAAAAAAAUCAUCUUGUGUUUGGGAACACAGCUUUGUACCUUUGGAGAUGAUAGAAAGCUUUGAUUUUGAAGACAACACUUUUUCUUUAAGUUUUUUGGACUUGGGUUUCCCUGAAAAAUGUCUUCUUUUUGCUUGUUUGUUUGUUUUGGUCAUACAUAUAUGUUACAGCAGGUCUUGUUUGUGGCUUGCACAUUGGUUGCUUAUGUUUAUUGAUGAUAGCUUUUAUUGUCUUUUUUCUUUUCAUUUGUAAUUCACAACAAUAGAGUGGGUUUGAUUAUCUUGGUUUGGAAUUGACAUGAAAAAAAGAGAGAAACUUACAUUCUCUACUUUAGAUGGCUUGAGCAUUGUUCGCUAGAAUAAUAGAAUGGGUUUAAUUAUCUUGGUCUGAAAUUGGCAGGAAAAAAAGAAAAGGAACUUGCAUUGUUUGCUUUAGAUGGCUUGAUUAUUGUUCGCUAGAACAACAGAUUGGGUCUGAUUAUCUUGGUCUGGAAUUGGCAGGAGAAAAAAACAGAAACUUGCAUUGUCUGCUUUAGAUGGCUUGAACAUUGCUUGCUAGAUGUUCAUUAAUUUCUCUUUUUGCAAUGAACUCUUGCAUAGUUGACAGAUCAUGCUACAUUAUUCACGCUAUUAUUGUUCUUUAUUGAACUACCAAGAUUAUUGGUUGGAUAAUAGCCACUGUGAUUAGAGAAACUGAAAUAAUUUAUAGUCUGCAAGUCUAUAUAUUCAUUACGGCAGUCAUGUUUUUAUCCAAACAUUGCCAAGAGUCAAGACCAAAGUUAAUCAAUAACAAAAAGAUGGAAAAAAACCCCGAAGAUAAAAGUGACAAAAUUCAUAAAACUCAAACGCCAAUAAUAUAAUUAAUGUCAAAUGAUAAGAUUACAAAAAUCAAUUAAAGAAAAAAAUAAAUCAACCUAUGUUAACUUAACUUAUCCACGACCUGAGAUAUGAAGUAGAAAUAAUCAUACAAAAAAAAAAAACCAGAACAAAUAACAAAGUUUAAAGCCUCAAGGUUGAUGAUAAAAAAAAAAUUUAAUUUUAAAAAAGAACUUAAAAAAAAAUACCAAACUUAAAACGAGUUGAUAUUCAAAAUUGGUAUGGUGAGUUAUGAGACCAGGAUUAGUGUAUUCAUACAGUUUUGACCUGUCUUUUUUUAUUGUUUUUUUUGUUUAUUUUUUUAUUCAAUGUUGGAUAUGACUUUUUUGUUAUUUUUUAUCGAAGCAUAUGGUUGUUUCAUAAAAAAAAAAAAAAACUAUAGGAAACAUAGUUGUUAAAACACAACGAAGCACAUGACCUAUGUCAUGAUAUCAAAUAUCUUAAUCUUAGUUAUCUAUUUAUCAAAUAUUGAUCUAGUUACUAAAUACAUGUAUAGGCAUUUUGAUUUGUGAUUGAAAAAAAAAACUUAUAUUAAAAAGCACAUUAUAAGAGUCUGCUUAUUUUUUUUACUUAAAAAAAUAAUCACCCUGCUGCAAACCGCCAAUAUGAAACUAGUUACUUAUAAUAUAAAAUAUGUGGGGUGAACAUUGUGUAGCCACUCACUUCACCACCUCCUGUUUUAUAGUGGACACAAUGGUCACUGGUUUUUUAUUAGGUUUUGCUAUAAAUUUAAAGGGAAAAUAUGUAAGGUGAACAAUAUACAACCAUAUUGUUCAUCCCCUCAUGUUUGAUGUGCUAAGGAUAUAAAACCAAGUAAUUGUUUCUUCCUUUAGACUAAGAGUCAAUGCGUAGCAGAAUGAGCCUUCCUUCUCUCAUUCUGAUCAAUCAUCUUAGAGAGCCUAUGUUCUUGCCUUGAUCAAGAAUCCUAUCUUAGUUAUUCAACACGUAUAAAGAAAUUUUCCAAAAUCAUUUCUUGACAUACACAUCUUAGUUAUUCAACAGGUUUAGUGGGUUAAUCCAGUUGAAUUAUUUUUAUUUUUUAAUUAAUUUCUUAUUAUUAUUCAAUAUUAGAUUGAUUAAGAAUUAGAUUUCAUAAUUUUUUUAAUUUGCUUUCUAUCAAGAUUCUCCUAAUAUAUUGUUAUAUCUCAAGUUAAAAUUAUGGGGCAAUUGGAGUUUAGAAAGGCCUUACAAGACUGCUAGUGACAUUUUCAUAAUUUUGUUUUGAAAGGUUAUUUUUUGUGUUUUUUUUAGAUUUUUUUCUUCAAUUUAACCAUUCAAUAAUAGGUUUAUUAAGAAUUGAGAUUUAGAAUUUGUUUUGAUUUGCUUUAUUUUGAGUUAUUAUGGUCUCAUAACCUAGAUUAUGGAUUUAGAACGUUAACUUGAGUUGAUCCGGGUCGAUCCAAUAAGUUGUCAUCUCAGUAUUGUUUUUGAAAAUAUGUCAUUUUAAAAUUUUUUUAGUCAAACUCUAUUCUUACUAGUUGUUGUCUUUGGACCCAUAAGUCGAUCGGGUCAUAUCGGUUCAACUCUCACUUUUUUACUUGUGUUUGAAAUUUAAAUUGCAUAAUUUCAAGUUAGUUUAUAUUUAAAUUUGAAUUGAACUUAUGUUUAUUGAGUUUAAUCUUGAAUAUAUAUAUAUAUAUAUAUAUAUAUAUAUAUAUAUAUAGUAUAAUCUUGAAAUAGCACGCUGAAAUGCUCUGAAACCAAAAUAUACAGUUUGAAUUAAAAAAUAAAACACUAUCCGGAACGAGAUUGAUAACCUGACGUGAUAUGUUUAAAAUGAGCAUCAUCGAAUCAUCUAGAGCAACCGUGUACAUAACAAGGGCGUCCCCUUCUCCGUCCAGAGAUUAGGCACUGAAUCUUUCGUUACAGUUAGAGUAGGCGAAGCUUGUCAAUCUUACAAAGGUGGUAGAAUUUGAGGAUUUUUAUUGUUCUGUCUCAUUUUUUGAAUGAAACUGUACUAUCUUACAUAAAAUUUAAAACAACGCUGAGAAUUCUCUGUUAUUAUUACUUGCUUAAAUGGAAGGAGUAUGGAGAUUUGAAAUUACAAUGAUUGUUACAAACCAAACUUUUAAAACCGACAAUUGUUCGUUCCUUCCAUUAAGCCCACGUGAUUCAGAUGGGAUGCAAUCAAUCCAGUUUACACCCAAAGGUGGAGCCUUUCUCUUUCAAUGGUAUAAGUCUUCAGCGGGUGGAGGAUGAACGUGAGGUGGAAUCACCAGGUUCACUGGAUUCAGAAAAGGGAAUCUUCGUUAUAUCAUAACUUACAGUUCUGCUGCAACUGCAGAAUGUAUUGUUGAAGAUGAGGUGCAGAGGAUGUUGUUUGCUGGGCAGGCUUUGGGAAUGCUGAGGACUAGACAGUUUUGACAGCAGACAUUAGAAGCCAGGUGGAUAUAUAAGAAGAUUGCAGAUCGGAAUGCAGCCCAAUAAUUCCAUUUUGCAGUAUAACUUGGUAAGGUUUAAAAUCAUUUAUCAAUGAAGAUUUUAUUCUGGAAUAGUUGUGGGUUGGGUAUGUCUGCUAAGAGGGCCUCUGUUAGGAAUACAAUAACGCAUAGUGAUAUUGAAGUGUGUUUUUUGGAUAAAAUAUUACGUGUUGAAUGUCACGUAUAAUGGGGCAAGGAAUUAUGAACCUGGAGAGGAAAAACAUCUUGAAAUUCUUUCAAAACCACACUUAUUUCUUCAAGUGCUUUCUCUGAAACUUUCUUAGCCACUAAAGCAAAUGAAACAAACUGUUCAUGAACCUGAUUCUCAAAAUCAUUUGGGCUUAUAAGAUUAAGUCCUUUUCCUUUCAUUUAUUGGAGUUACAUCACACUCUCAUCAUGGUAAAUUGAGAAAUUAAUAGGAAAAAUAUAUAUCUUUUUUUGACCCAUGAUUUUUAUCAAUAAUGUAGUCUAUACCCAGCACUUUCUGUUUUUUUUUGGAGGAACCACCGAUGACCAAGCGGUUACAAGUUUAAAUUUCACCAUCCUUAUUUAUUAGCUCUUUGAGAAUUUUAGAGUUAUCCAACAAUCAAUUGUCCACAAUAAAACUAGAACAACUAAAAACAAUAUGGUUUCUCAAGCUGUCAAACAACAAUUUGGAUGGGCAUUUACCGACCUCGGUGUUCAAUUCUUCUAUCUUAGAAUAUCUCUACCUAGGUGGUAACAAUCUUUGGGGUCAGAUAUCAUAUUUUCCAUUAAAUGAGUGGAAAGUGUGUACUGUAUUGGAUUUGAGCAACAAUCAAUUUUCAGGCAUGCUUCCAAGGUGGUUUGUCAAUUCUACAAGCCUUGGCGCAAUUGAUUUGUCCAAAAACUAUUUUAAGGGUAUGAUCCCAAGAGACUUUUAUAAGCUUGACCAACUUUUAUAUUUCAACCUUUCUGAGAACAACUUGUUUGGAUAUAUAUCAUCUUGUUUCAGUUCACCAUCUCUAAUCCAUGUGCAUCUAUCCAAAAAUAGAUUGAGCGGUCCAUUAACAUAUGGAUUUUAUAACAACUCUUUCCUAGUUAUGAUGGAUCUUCAAAAUAAUAGCUUCAUUGACUCCAUUCCAAAUUGGUUUGGCAAUCUUUGAUGGUGAGCUACUUGUUCAGUUAUGCGUGUUAGAAGAAUUAAGCAUUUUGGAUGUUUCACAAAACCAGCUCUCUAGCCUACCACCCUCUUGUUUGGGCAAUCUUACUUUUAAGGAAAGUUUCUGGAAAACGUUCACGCUUCUCGGAGUUCUUUCUCUAUCAAGGUCCAUAGAAAAAGCUUAUUAUGAAACAAUGGAUCCACCACUAGUGGAUAGUAUUUACAGCUUGGAAGAGGGUUUUCUGCUUGACUUCACAAAAAAGUGAUAGAAUUUACAACUAAAAAUAUGUAUUAUGGUUACAAGAGGAAAACUCUCAGCUACAUGUCUAGUAUUGAUCUCUCCAUUAACAACUUUGUAGGAGCAAUCCCACCAGAAUUUGAAAACUUAAGUGAGAUAGUAUCAUUAAACUUAUCACACAAUAAUUUCACUAGAUCUAUCCCUGCAACAUUCUCAAACGUAAAGCAGAUUGAGAGUUUGGAUCUUUCGUAUAACAACUUGAAUGGUAUCAUCCCUCCACAACUUACUGAAAUUACCACACUUGAAGUUUUUAGUGUGGCGUACAAUAACUUGUCAAGUAAGCACCUAAGAGAAAAAAUCAGUUUGGGACCUUCGAUGAUGAAAAUUGUUACGAAGGAAAUCCUUUCUUGUAUGGACCUCCAUUGCGAAACAACUGUAGUGAGGAAGCAGUGCCGUCACAACUAGUGCCUAAUGAUGAACAAGGAGAUGAUGGUUUCAUAGACAUGGACUUUUUCUACAUCAGUUUCGGUGUAUGUUACACAAUUAUGGUGAUGACAAUUGCAACACUUCUUUACAUCAAUCCAUAUUGGCGAUGUAGAUGGUUGUACUUCAUCGAUACUUCCUACUAUUUUGUGGUGGCUAGUUUUCGCAAAUUCUCCAACUUCAGAAGGUGAAUUUGUUACUGGGGAGAUGGUCGUUCCUACUUGCUAUUGGGUGCUUAAUUUGUACUGUACUGUCUCUAAGCUCAGCCUUUCUAUUUGAUUAGUUACUUGGGUUAAAUAUAUAAAGCUUGACUUCUCAUUCCUGAACCAUUAGGAAGGGAACUGAUUUCCUCUGCUUCUUCACCCAUCUCAUUCUAUUUGAUUAGUUACUUGGGUUAAAUAUAUAAAGCUUGACCUCAGCCUUCCUGGCCGUUUCUUUGCUCUGCUACUCAUUUCCUCUGCUUCUUCACCCAUCAUAAUUUUAACAUGAUCUCAAUGCACUCUAAGCCAUUCCUUUAACUCCAGUUUCCUUUUCACCAACUUUUUAAAACAAUCUUCCUCGUCUUCUUGACUCUUUUUGUUUCUUCUAACUACCUGCUGCAAUCUCCUUAAGCUGAGAGGCAGUGAGGUUUGCCAUGCUUCCAAAGCAAAUAUAAACAACUGAAUUUUGGUUUCUUUGAGUCGAGCCACUUCAAACACUCAUGUUGAGCGAUUGAGGCUUCUUUUCUCUUCGUACUUUAUCUUCAAUGUCUCUACUGCAUAGUGAAACCGGGCCUACGUUAAUUCACACCCUCUUUAAUUGACCCAACAAGACUAUAUCCUAACCAUACAGCUUCUUCUUCUACAGAUUCAUGGAUCACUUUAUGCAAAGCAGAGGAAUGAUUUUCUGGAAAAAGAGUGUCUUGGGAACUUACAGUAGAGUUUAUUCGAACUCUUGUCUCAGGACAGUAGCAUAGCUUCUUGAAUCUCUGUUUCUAAUCGAACAGGGGAGCCACGAGAAGCUUGGAGUGUAUAUAUCUUCUGUUAAAUUCCAUGACUAUGUUAAAUUCCUUAUCGUUUGUUAUUUGUGUACUUGUUGCAUUGAUUGUACAGGGAAAUAAAUUUUACGUUGCAUGGUAUUUUCCUUUGUUGUUGUGUUGAUAUGAAAAAAAAUAGAAGAUUGGGAAAAAAAGAAGUUGCAUUAAUAUAAAUAUAAUCCCAAGGAUACAGUUAAAUUUUUAAAGACGCAGCGUGAAUACUAAAACAUAAGAGAGAAGAUGGGGAGGGAAAAAAUACUUUGUCGCCACUGAACCAACGCGAAUAUGGCAACACACGCCAUACCAUCAACUACACCUUCACAUUACACGUUGAACUAUCACACGUCUCCUUGAUAACGUGGUGGCCUAUCAUGCACUGACAUGUGCUAUGCACAUGUCAAUCUUUUUUAUUGAUUUAUUAAUAUUUUAAUACUUUAAAUUACUAAAUCGCUUUUAAAAGCGUAUAAAUAUUACAAAAAAAAGCCAUAUUGCAAGGAUGAAAAUGUUAUCCCAAGCCAACUUUAGAUUUUUUUUAUUCCAAGGUUAACAUGAAAACAUGAAAAAGACUAAAAAAAUACCUCUUGUCAAGGUCAAUAUUUUUGAACUCUCAAUGGUAUUGACGUCAUUUUUCUAUCUAAAUAAAAUAAAAUAGACAAAAAUAAACCCUAACCAAAAGGUCAAAUGUUUUUUUGAUUGCAAGGGCAAUGAUGUAGUUUUAGUGUGCGAAAAAGGAGUAAACCUAUUAAAUUAUCCCCAAUCAAUUUACAAAUAACCUUUAGAUCACUUGAAAAAGAUAAUUUUACCUCGUUAGCAAGUCAAUUGUUUUGUGUAGAGAAGGGCAAAAGAUAAAUAUAUUGUACUAAUCCACGAUAUUUUACCUCACAGUCUAUAAUGAAUCACUUGAAUCAUUGAUCUCUUUUAAGGGGUUUUUUUUUGUAUAUAAUUCUACUUUUUUUUAGUUUAUGUUUAGAUCUUUAGCAUGCAUUUUCAAAUCAAAUCUCUAUUCUCUUGCACAUGUAUAAUUGUUUUUAAAAUAUAUUUUUUUCACAUUUGACAAUGCUUUUGCACUAAAAAAUUUAGGAUUGCCGGUAAUGUGAGCCACUUAUCUAGUUAGGUACUAUAAUAGUGUUUCAUUUUUAUAUGAAUAGUGAAACACUUUAUUUUAAAAAAAAUUCUUUCUUUUUUAUUUGGUUUUGUUUUGUUUUCUUUUUUACAAAUUAGUCCUUAUUUUUUAUUUAAUUCUUUUUUUGGCCUCAUUAUAUAUGAUAAAGCUUUCAAUUUAAUUAGAAAUAAACUACUAUACUAAAAAAUUAUGCUUCUCUUUAUAUAUAUUUUUUGUUUUUUUAAGUAGUCCUUAUAUUUUUUUUGCUUCUUGAUUUAGUGUUUUUUUCAUUUUAUUUCCUUUCUUAUUUUUACAAAUCGGUCUUUAGACAUUUUCUUCCCUUUUUUAUUUAACUUUUUUUGGGUCUAAUUGUAUAUGAGAUAAAGAUUUUAAUUUAAUUAAAAAAUUAUUUAUUAUACUAAAAAAGUUAGGGUUUUCCCUCCUACUUCACUAUUCAUAUCCUCUUUUUUUUUUAAAAAAAUAAUAAUCUAUCUUCUAAUUUUUUUCUUCUUUUGAUUGAAUGAUUUUUGUUGUUUUUUCUUUCAAUUUCACUUUAAUAUUUUGUUGAUUUUGAAUUGCUCAUCUUAAUUUUUUUUUGUUUCCUUUAUAUGUAAUUAUCGCGGUCUCAAAUAGACAUCUUUAAAUUUGUUUAGUGCUUAAUUUUGUAAGUGUCUAUUUUAAUUCUCACAUCAUUAUAUUAAAAAUAGUUUUUAAAUCCAAUAGAGUUCAUGAUCUACGUUGUGCAUUUGACGAGUUAAACUGCGAAGCUCGAGUUGAUCUAGUAUAUCAUCAUAUCAAUAUUAAAAAAAAAAAAGAUAUCAUCUUGAUUUUCUUUCUUAAAAUUCAAACCAUGUUUGUAUUGAUCAUUUGAGUUGCCUUAAUUUGCACAUGUCAAGCCAACUAGGUCAUGUACAGACAACUCCCUUGCGAAUUAAUUUUAAACCUAUGUUAGAUAAGAAGUCAAGUCGAGAGGUUUCAAGGUUGUCAAUGAGAUCACGUUUAAUAACAAUGUCAUAUUGUUCCUUUGUUUUUAAACUCUACCUUCCAUUUUUUUUAUUUCUUUCAAUUGAAUCCUUUUUGACUUUUUUUUAUUCCAUCCUUUAAUAUUUUUUUGAUUUUGAAUUAGUCUUGUUUCGGUUUGCUUUCUAUGAUAUUAUUGCAGCCUCAAACAAAUGUCAUAACAUUUGGUUGGUAUUUAAUUUUAUGAGCAUCUAUUUUUGUUAUCAUAUCAUUAAGCAAAAAAUAAUUAAAAAAAUUAAAGUUGUUAAACUAGGUGGAGUCCAUUAUUUAGGCCGUGGGUUUGGAGAGUUAAGUCACGAAACUAGAAUCAAUUUAGUGGGUUUGGAGAGUUAAGUCACGAAACUAGAAUCAAUUUAAUAUGUCAUCAUAUCAAUGUUAAAAAAAGAUGUCAUUUUAAAAUUUUAGUUUGGACCUACCAUGUUGACUUGAUCGUAUUAAAAUAACUUUCACAUUAGUUAAUUUUAAACUUGAUAUAGAUAAAGAAUUAAAUCAGAAGAAUUUAAAAUUAAUCCACUAGAUCCAGUUAGUUUCUUAAGCCUAGAUGAUUUUUUCAUGUUGGGCAAAACAUAAACUAGUUCCUUCCAAAAUAAACACUCACGCAUAUGAUUAUAAAAAUUUGAGUAAAAUUUUAUAUAACCAAUGUCUGUUUUUCGUGAAACAAACAAGUUAAUCCUUCAAGUUUUUUAAAUAAUUAAUUGAUUCUUUAAUCACAUUUUACCGUCAAGUUAAUUAGUGGAACAAGCUAUGGGUGUUGUAUAUCACUACUAAUUUUCUUUCCCUUAAUUUUCUCUUUUCCUUAAUGGGUGUUGCAGGCUUCUUUCUCUGAAUGUUAAAUGCUUUCUCUAAUCAUCUAUAUUCUACAGCCCAGCAUUUUGUUAUAGUUGUUGUUGCUGUGGAUAAAAGUGCAUUUAUUUUCUUUUAACUUUUUAAACAAUUCAGUUAGUUUUUUGUUAUAGUUGUUGUUGCUGUGUAGUUUCAUGAAUUUUUGUCGUUUGGUAUCAUCUUUCUAAUUUUACUAUUAGUUAAUGGAUAUUAAUUCGACCUCUUGUUCGUUUUUAAUAUUGUUGUUUGGCUCACUUGUAUAUUCUUUUUAUAGAUUUUUUGCUUGACUUAAUAUUAAUUAAGUAUGCAUCCAAUUUGCAAAAAUAGAUACAUACACCACUUUUAUUAAUUAAUAAGACUGAUUACAUUAAUUCUUGAACUUGUUUUAUUUAAAUAAAUAAAUAGAAUUAUGAUAGUUCAUAAUUUGAUGAUUAGAUAAUAUUCAUAUAUUCAGAAUACACGACGCAUGUAUUGAGUUUAAUGUUUUUGAAAAAGAAAUUUUUUAAUUGAUUAAUGUAUAAGUAUAUAAAUUUAUUUACUAAAUAAUAUUUUGAUUAAUUAAUAAAUUUCAUGGUCUAAAUGAUAUUAAUUAAAAAAAAAAAACUAAGAGCGCUCAUUAAAACACGGUGCUCUGUAUGUGAAUCCUAUGGAUUCACAGUGGCCCCUCUUCUGUUUUUCGCGUUUCUUCUGCCAGUGGAUGUUCCCUUGCGCGCUUUCUUCCUCCAUUUUUCUAGAAGCACUUUAUUUUUUAAAAAUUAAAUUGUUUUUCUUUUUAAUUUGUUCCUGUUCUUUAUUUUAUUUUCUCUUACAAAUAAGUCCUUAUUUUUUCAUUUAAUUCUUUUUUGGCCUAAUUAUAUGGGAUAAAGUUUUCAAUUUAAAUAGAAAUAAACUACUAUUUAAAAAAAAGUUAUGCUUCCCAACCUCCUCCACUCUCUCUUUUUUCACCAUCCAUAUCCUCUCUUUUUUAAAAAAUAAAUAAAUUAUAUCUUCUAAUAUUUUCUUCUUUUAAUCUAAUUUCUCUCAUUGGAUAAGAAUUUCAGUUAAAUAAAUGAAAGCGCAGACGUAAAUUUUAAAAUAAAAACACGAUAGAAAGGAAGCACCUGUGGAGAUUUGAAGCCUUAUUGGUUGAGGUGGCGGCGGAGGCGGGCGGUUUCGAGAGCGGAGGAAGGAAAGAGAAAGAUCUCAGGUGGGGAGAGGUAAGGAAUGUCGGACCAAAGUGAACAGUGCUUGACAGAUGACUUUAUUCUUUUCCAGAUUCGGUAACAAACUAAAAGAAGUGUUUUAUAGUGCUGCUUCACUGUUCAUAACUGACAAACUAAAACUGAAAGAAAUAUAUAUAUAUAUAUAUAUAAAACUAAGAGUGCUCAUUAAAACACGGUGCACUGUGUGUGAGUCCUGUGGCUUCACCGUCUUUACAGCGCUCCCUCUCUGUUUUUCGCGUUUCUUUUCGCGCGGUGGGUGUUCCCGCGCUUUCUUUUAGUUAGGUGAAUUCAUAACUAAAACGUUUAUUAAAAUCACUAAAAUAACUAAUAGUUUAUUAGUUUGGAUGUUUUUAGUAAUGCUGAAAUUAUAGAGAAUUGAUCAUUAAGUUGAUUUUUUAAUAUGCGUAGAAAUCAAAUCAUUAUAAAUUUAAUAAAUUAUUUAAAGUGUUCCAAUGGAAAGAAAAUGGGUGUUGUGAAUUUGAGUCUGCAUUUUUCUCUACUUUUUUUUGGUUUUUUUCGUUUGUCCCUUCCUGAAAAUUUACGCUCAGUUUUUGCCUUCUACCUGCUGCUUAGUUUAGGGUAUAAAAUUUCCUUGUCUCUUCGGAAGAUGCCUUACUCUUUGUUGACUGUCUUUCUGUUUUUAGUUGCAUCGUUAGGCUAUGUGUGUGUUUAUUGAGGCUUUGGCUGCCUUUUUUGCUAUAGUUAUGAGGUUUCUUGGGCAUAGUCUUUUGGUUAGCUUCAGCCCUCUAUUAUCCAUUCUUUAUAGAGGUGGUGUUGUCUUUGUUUCGCACAGGGUGGCAUGUGUCUUGCAAGGAAGUUUACUUGGUUUUCUUUACAUGUGUUUCUUGCAUGCUACGUGUUGGCAGAAGUCUUCUGAGAGAUCGACCUUUUUUCUUCAAUUGUUUUGGUUAGGCUGGGUGCUUGAUUUGUGUUAGGGUGUUAAAGUAUUUUCCCUUUCUUUAUAAGAAAAAUAUAUUUCUUUUGUGCUUGGGAACACAUCUUUGUAGCUGUAGAGAUGAUAGGAAAGCUUUGCUUUUAAAGGCAACAUUGUCUUUAUGGUUUUUUCGACAUGGGUUUCCUUAAAAAAGUUUUAGUUUUUGCAUGUUUAUUUAUGUUGCUUAUCCAUAUAUAUAUAUAUACUACAACAAGUUUUUAUGGAGGUAACUUGGGGGAAGAAAAUACUUUGUGCCACGAAAAUAAGAGGUUGGAGUUUUAUUUUGCUUUAGAUUCUUCCCUUAAUUCCAGCCUUUGGGCCUGAAUCUUCAUGGUGCUUCUAAAACCAAGGAAGCAAAAAACUAGCCAGCUAGUUCACAACUUGCACUACUAAAAACAGGGGUCAUUUGCAUCAGAAUUUAGCAACGGAUAAUUCCGUUGCUAAAUUCAGUAACGGAUUUGCAACGGAUUACACAUGUAUUAUUUUUUUAAUAUUAGCAACGGACUUUAGCAACGGAUAAUCCGUUGCAAAAUUUACGUUGAAUUUAGCAACGGAUUUUCCGUUGCUAAUUGAAAAAAAAAAGUUAAUAUAAAAUUAAAAUUAUAUAGACCGUUGAUUACAUUAAAUCCGGACCGUUUAUUUCAAUAUCUCGAUCCCCGCCCCACACCGAAAUACAAAUCCAAUUAACAAAACCAAAAUGUACAUUCACUCUUACUCUUCCAACAGAUCCUUCGUUCGAACAAAAUCAUCGAUCCAUCACCCUCAUCAAAAAUCACCAUAACUGUUCAACAGAUCCGAAACUGUUCAUCAUCUUCUCCUUCGUGUUCAUCAUCUCCUUCGUGUUCAUCAUCUUCUUCUCCUUCAUUUUAAACCAACAAAAACAGAGACCCAUGACAACAUCGCACCAGACCCAUCAUCAUCACCAUCGAACAUCCUGUUUUGCCCCUUCUCUGUAAACGGGUUAGGUUUUGCACUGUUUUCUUCAAUAGCUCAGGUAAUUAAUUUAUGGUUUUUGUUUUCUUUGUUGCAAUUUAAGUUACACUAAACAGUUCUAACCUAACUUUCCCAAUCUCAGGUGUGAUUCUGUUGUGUUGAUCCAUCUCCCUCACCCAUCUCCCUCACCUGUAACCGAAGAACACAGGUAAGAAUUUUUUUUCCCGAAACUUUGAAUAAUGGUUUUAGGCUAUUAAUUCGAUAAUAUAAUGUUUAUGAUAUGUUUUUACCAUGAUUUAUAACAUAAUGAUGCACGUUUAAAUGUAAAUUUAUGAAAACCCCCAAAUUAAUUUUUAGGGUUACGGUUCAUAAAUUGAAUGAUUUUAUUCAACCUGACCAAUGCUGGCAAUUCUUGUGUCUGGAAGAGAGUGAUUGAUGGAAAUUAUGCAUGUUUAAUUGAAAAUUUAUCAAAACCCCCAAUUUAAUUUUUAACAAUUAGUAUUAUUGAUGCUGUGUGUUCUUUGAUGUCUGCAAAUUGUCCUCCUGUGCACCGAAACCUAGGUGUUUUGAAUGUAUUAUAUGCUUAUAUAUAUAUAAGGAAACUUGAUUGUUGUUGUUGUGUUUCGUUAAUAAGAUUGCUGUUUUAUUUUUGUUUCUUCAUUAAUUAUUUUUUUUCUUGCUGUUUUACUUGUUAUAUAUAUAAUUAGCAGAAUUGUGUAGUGAAAGAGGUUAGAAUUCAUGGUUGCCUCCUCCUUGCAUGGUGAUAAGUUAAUUUCCCACAUUAGCUAUAUAUGUUGUCUGUUUUCAUUUGAUUGUCCUGUCUUGAGGUCAGCAUGCAUGAUUUGGAAAUUAACUAUUAGUCUCUUGGAUGAGGAUUUGUUUUUGUAUUAAAGAGUUCUACAGCUCUUUUGGCUUUUUUUAUAGUUACUAUGUUGCAUGAACUAAGUAGCAAAUUUUUUGGAGCCAACUUGUGUAAUUGCAGAAACAAUCGCAUGUUUUUAGCAUGUUUGUAUGUAAUGAUACAUGUAAAAUGCACCAGCAUUGUGCAAUGGUUCAUUUUUUAGUCAUUUCUGUGUGAAUUAAGCAAAUUGAUGCUGAAAAUCUUUGCUUGCUUAGCCAUUAUCAGUGGAUAUAGGAUCAGUUAACAAACUACAAGCAAUCGCAUGGGCUUGUUAGAAUUAUUUGUGGAAAAGGCUAGGGUCAAGUGCUGUGAGGUCACUGGACUUGACCCUUUAAAUUGUGAAAUUGGAAAUAUUAGACACUCUUUUGCUGUUUUCGGUUCACAAGGUUGAUGUUUACACUGUGAAGUCAGUUCUAGCAAAGCACUAAUUAGUAUAGAUCCAUUUCCAAUCACACAAAGGAUAAAGGAUUAGAGAGCAAAGCACUAAUUUGUUUUAAAGACUAGCAAUUGUUAUAACUUGAUGGGUGUAACAUACUGUUUAUGUUUUUUAUUUUUCCAGCAAUAUGAAUGGCUUAUUGGAUCACAACAUAAUCAAAUAGAGUUGGCUAAAUCUGAUUGGGUUGCAAUAAGAAAACCUCCACCUUGUGCCAUUGAUUUUUGGGGCUUUGGUAAGUCUAUUUUGCUCCAUUUUUACAUGGUUGCUUAAUUAUAUGGUGCGUAUUUUUUCUGUUGGGCAUGCAUAUUGUAAUCCUUUGAAGUAGUUGGAACUUUGCCUUUCAUUGGGAUAAUAUUGACAGUUUGUAUAAGAAAACUAAUGGAAUGAUUUUCUUUCAUUAAAUGUGAUCUUGAGUACACAUUUAGGUUACAUUACAAUGAUGGACAAGUUGAUUCCUUUUACUAUAUGCACAACAUAAUUGAUAAAAUAAGAAAAAGAAACCCCAGCAGUAAAAAGAGCUUGAAAUCUAUUGAAUUUGAUAUUGAAUUCUGUUGAUCGGAUUUUGAGGGAGAGAUGGGAGAAAUGGGUGAGAGAUAUUGAUGUUUGAAAGAAAUGUUUAAAUUGUUAUUCAACACUUUGGAAAAUGCAAAACCACUUUUAGGUGUUUUAUGGAAAAGUAAGUAUUCUUUAAAUUCGGUGAUUGCAAUUAUAAUUACGCGUGGAAAACAUGUAUACACACGCAAAUUAAAUAAUGUCGUGUAAUUUUUUAUUGAAAUUAUAUUAAAAUAAAUUUUUUAAUUUUUUUAACAUUGUUAUAUUAAAAUUAUUUAAAAAUAUAAAAAAAUUAAUUUGAUAUUUUUUAAAAAAUAUGUCAUAAUACAAAAACAAAUUCUCAUCCAAGAGACUAAUAGUUAAUAUACAUGUUUAACUAUAAACUUUGAUUACACAACAAAAUAUAAAUAAUAAGUAUUUCAUAGAAAGAGGUUUAACAUAAAUAUAUUAACACCUCCAUUACCUUAACCAUAAAUAUUAACAAUAAUUAUUGCUCGUCCGUGUAGAACUUGUAAUCAACUAAAUUGGAUUGUGCCUAAAGAAUUUAUAAAACAAAUGUAUUUAUAUUUUCAUCCACCAAUAUUAUAAUUAUUAUUUAACUACGACAUAAAAGAUAUAUACAAUGUAUAUGACAAGAGACAAAGAUACAAAUGUGAGUAACUAUUGUAACCCAUAAUAAAUUAUGUUUUUUUUUAUAUUGCAUUUUAAUCUUUUUUUAAGAAAAUUAAAAAAAUUCUUUAAUCUUGUAUUACCUCGCAUGUUUAUGAUUUCAUUUACCAUUUCUUAGUUGAGCAAAAAAAUAUCCGAAUAAAAAAGAAAAAGUUUGAUGAAUCCAAUAAAAAUAAAAGGAUCCAAAUUAAAAAAAAAAAAAAAACUAUUUGAGGUGGUAACAAAAGUUAGAAGGACCAAUAAAAAAAAUGAACUCUAAAACUAUUAUAAAGAUAAAUUUAUUUAAAAUUUGUUCAACUAAAUAUUUUUUUUUCUUUAUCCAUUUAUUCUGUAUAAAAUAUUAACCGAACAUAAUCUAAAAGUCUACUUUUGUCACUAGUUAGAAAAUAUAAAUGAAAAUAUAAAAUACUAACCGAACAUAUUUUAUUUUAAAAGAUUGUUUAAGUUUUAGUAGUUAAAGAAGUAUGCUUAUUUCAAAAAAUGCUUAUUGGUGUUGUCAUGUUAAUUAGAUUAAUAUGGAUGAUCGAUCGUGGAUGUAUCGUCGUCUUAUGGAUGGUCGCCUUCGUCCUGAAUACAUUACGGGUGUUAGAAGAUUUAUCAAUUUUGCAUUUUCAAUUGAUAAAAAUAUAUCUGGGGGGAAAAUUAGAUGUCCUUGUGUGAGGUGCAAAAAUCAAAAGUUUUUAAAGGAAGAUGAUGUUUGUAAACAUCUAUUGACAAAAGGUUUUUUACCUUGUUAUGAAAAUUGGACUGUACAUGGGGAGCCUUAUGUCGCAGAACCAAUAUUGGCUGGACCUUCAUCGAUUGGAAUGAGUCAUGUUGUGAAUGAUGUUUGUCUAGAGAAUCCAUAUAGGAAUCUGGUUAUGGAUGCAAUGGGGGUUGGUGAUGCAUUCUACAAUGAUAAUGUGUCUAGUCCUGUGGUAGCAGGGGAAAUUCCAAACCCGGAGGCAACUAAAUUUUUUAAGCUUUUGAAAGCUGCGGAGGAGCCGUUGUGGGAUGGGUGUACCAAGCAAUCCAAAUUAUCUGCUUGUGUACAAUUGCUUAAUAUGAAGUCAACUUUAAAUUUGACUCAGAAUGCCUUCAACAAUUUUAUUGACUUUACAAAAAGUUGCAUGCCUAAUGAUGAAAAUUUGGUUUCAAAUUUUUAUGAUGCCAAGAAAUUUAUGCGGCCACUUGGACUUGGUUAUGAGAAAUAUGAUGUGUGUCCUAAUUACUGUAUGUUGUACUAUGGGGCAGAUGCAAUGAAAAUAAAUUGUGAUUUUUGUGGAAGUUCACGAUACAAACCUAGAAAUCCAACUAGUAAAGGUUCCAAUAAGGCGGAGAAGCAACUCCGAUACUUUCCCUUGACACCAAGGCUUCAGAGACUGUUCAUGUCUCCAUAUCAUGCCAAAGAUAUGACAUGGCAUCAUUUUCAUAAUUCUGAUAAUGGGGUUAUGGUGCACCCAUCUGAUGGGGAGGCAUGGAAGGAGUUUAAUCGUGUCCACUUAAGCUUUGCAUCAGAUCCGAGAAAUAUUCGGUUAGGGUUGUGCACUGAUGGGUUUUGUCCAUUUGACAUGUCUUCAAAUACAUACUCUUGUUGGCCAGUAAUUGUGACUGUUUAUAAUUUGCCUCCGUGGAAGUGCAUGACUAGACCAUUCAUGUUUUUGACAAUGAUGAUUCCUGGGCCAAAGAAUCCGGGUAAAAAGCUUGAUGUUUUCCUAAGACCUUUGAUUGAUGAGUUAAAGAAUUUGUGGUAUGUUGGUGUUGAAACAUAUGAUGUAUAUAGAAAGGAAAAUUUUCAAUUAAGGGCAGCUUUAAUGUGGACCAUUAGUGACUUUCCAGCAUAUGGCAUGUUAUCGGGGUGGAGUACUCAUGGAAAUCUGUCUUGUCCUUAUUGUAUGGAGCAUAGCAAGGCUUUUAGAUUAAAAAAUGGAGGGAAAACUACAUUUUUUGAUUGUCAUCGACGAUUCCUACCCAUGAACCACCCAUAUAGAUUUCAAUCUGAUAAGUUUUUGAAAGGAGUAAUUGAAAGGCUCCCUCCUUUACCUCGUCCAUCUGGUUUGGAAAUGUUGAACGAAGUGUUGAAGUAUACUGAGGGACAUAAUGGAGGGUCAUCAUAUAAUGAUAAAAUUCCUGGCUUUGGUGUUAAGCACAAUUGGGUGAAAAAGAGCAUUUUCUGGGAGCUUCCAUAUUGGCAUACAAAUUUGAUUCGUCAUAAUCUUGAUGUCAUGCAUGUUGAGAAAAAUGUCUUUGACAAUAUUUUUUAUACAGUUAUGGAUUGUCCGAAUAGAAGCAAGGACAAUUUAAAGGCUAGGUUGGAUAUUCAAUUGUAUUGUCAGAAGCCAAAUUUGCAUUUGCAACAAGAUAUGAGUGGUCGGGUUUACAAACCUAAAGGCACUUAUUGUCUACACAAGAAACAACAACAAGAAGUCUUGUCAUGGAUGAAGGAAUUAUCAUUUCCUGAUGGUUAUGCUUCAAGCAUUUCAAGAUGUGUGAAAGAGGCACAAUGUAAGGUUUCGGGGAUGAAGAGCCAUGAUUGCCAUGUCUUCAUUCAAAGACUUCUUCCAACCGCUUUCCGACCUUACUUACCUAGGCCACUGUGGGAGGCAUUAACUGAACUGUCCGUAUUUUUUCGAGAUAUUUGUUCAACAAAUUUAAAUGCCCAGCACAUGGAGUUAAUGCAGAUGAAUAUAAUUGAAAUAAUUUGCAAACUUGAAAGGAUUUUUCCUCCAUCAUUCUUUGACUCCAUGGAACACUUGACGAUACAUCUACCUUACGAGGCAAAAGUUGGUGGACCAGUUCAAUAUCGAUGGAUGUAUCCAUUUGAACGGUAUGUUUUCAUACUAUGUUAAUUUUAUUAACUUUUGAUUUUUAAAAUAAACUAAUUGACAUAAAUGAUAUAGGUAUAUGUUUUAUUUGAAGAAGAAAGUGACCAAUAAAGCUAAAGUUGAGGGUUCCAUAUGUGAAGCAUACUUGAUUGAUGAAAUUACCAAUUUUGCAUCUCAUUAUUUUGGUGAUGACGUGCAAACAAUUUGGAAUCGAGUUCCACGGAAUGAUGAUGGUGGCCUUAGAAGUGUAGAUGGAUGUCUCUCUAUUUUUUCCUAUCCAGGGAAAAAAUUAUCCAAAAGAUUUUAUAAAAGGCAGUUGUCACAUGCUGAAAUGCAAAUUGCGCAUAACUAUGUGAUAUUCAAUUGUCAAGAACUGAAGCCUUAUUUAGUGUAAGUAUGAAAUAUUAUUUUAUACUAAAUUUAUAAUAAUUUGUUAUUAACUUUAACAUUUUAAAAUUUUAGGCAAUGUCGACAAGAGCUAAAGUCACAACAACCACAUGCGAGUGAUGGUGAAAUUGAAAAAUUAUGCGAAACGAUCUUUCCAAAUUGGUUAAAAAAUAAUGUAAGUAUUUUAAUAAAAUCAAUUUAUAUUUUAUGUCAAUUAGCUACUUUAAAAAUAUUAUUAGGGGCUUUUAAAUUAUUAUUUCUUAUGGAGUUAACUAUUAUGCUAGGUGGAAUACCAAUCUAACGGAAUUGAAAAUCAGCUCUUUGGACUUGCUAUGGGCCCUUCAACUUCAGUGAAAUGUUAUAAUGGGUAUUAUGUCAAUGGUUUUAAAUUUCAUACUCAACGUUAUGAUGAUGAUGAACGUGAUUAUUAUGGAAUGCUUAAAGAAGUUGUUCGGCUAAAAUACUUGGGGAGUAAGUGCAAGUUAUUUAUGUUUAAAUGUAGUUGGUAUGAUACAAGACGAGGGAUUAGAGUGCAUCCUUCGAAUGGUUUGGUUGAAAUCAAGCAUACAUCUCGACUACACGGAAAUGAAGAUUUUGUGUUAGCACAACAAUGUCAACAAGUCUACUAUACAUAUCCACCUGGUAAUAAAUCAUCUGAAUGGUGGACGGUUAUUAAGACAACUGCUAGAAGUCGUUAUAAUGUUGAUAUGGGUGAAUUUAUUGAAGAUGCAAACAAUGUGAGAUCAUUUGAUGUCGAUCAAUCAGAUGAGAUUUCUCAACCAUCUCUUGUCCUUCCUACUCAAACACUUGAUGAUCCAAAUAUACUUGUUGAAUCAUCUUAUUAUGAAGAAAUCGGGCAACAUGAAUUGAUUCAACUUGACAUAAAUUGGGGAAACAAAGAUGAUGAAGCAGAAGAAGAAGAAGAAGAAGAUGGUGAUGGUGAUGCUGAAGAAGAAGAAGAAGAAGAAGAAGAAGAAGAUGAUGAUGAUGAGGAUGAUUGUUAUGGUGGUGAUGGUUAGGAGUGAUAAUAAUAAUGAGUAGCACAAGUUAAUUAUAUUUCGUAGUAUAUGUAAUGAAUUAUCUUUAUUAUAUGUAUGGAUGAUUUCAUAUUAUUUGACAAUUUUUAGGCUUUCAAUGUUUUUUUAUUUAUUUAUUUUAUUCAAGUGUGUUAUGCAUCACAUUACAUAAAUCAUUUUCAUUGACCUUUGAAACCAUUUAUAACCUUUCAAGUAUCAAUCUUUAAAUUGUGAUUCUGAUGUUAUAUUUUAUUUUGUGAUUUGUUUUCUUGCUUAUAGGUGCUGAAGCGUGAAAGAAAGGGUUUUUCCUACUAAUUGUUUUGAUUUAUAGGACCAGACAUUAAGGUAAGCAUACUCAUAAAUUUUGAUUAUUGCUUAAUUAAUUAUUUAGAAUUUUUUUUUUAUUGUUUGUGUUAAUUGGCUUAUUACAAUUUAAACUUCAUAGCUGAUUUUUGCAUUGCAAGGAAUGCUUAAUGAAAUUGUCUUGAUGUUAUUUACAUAUUUGGUUUUGUUGCAGUAAUUAUUUUAUUUGAAUUAUAAUAUUUUUCGGAGUGAUGGCUAUUAUUGUUAUGUUGUAUAUAUUCAUAUGAUAAUGUAUAUAUUUUUUCUGGUUUUUAGCAUGCCUCGACGAGGAUCCAUAUUAGAUUCUAGGAGUGACAGGUCCACAUCAAGGAGUGAAAGGUCCACUUCAUCCAAAUCAUUUCAAACUACAUCAAGGCAUAAUAACAAAGGAUCCACAGUUCAUCAACCUGUGUAUCAGAACACAAAUGAGUAUUAUAUACCUACUUUGGGGAGUACACAUCCUCCUCAACAUGAUUAUGGGAGGGUUGAUGGAUAUCAAUAUUGUGAGGGAUUUCGUUUUCAGGAUUUGCUUCAAACUCAAGGAGGUUUCUCUCGAGAAAACCAACUUGUUUAUGGAGGACAUAAUUUAUAUGGGAGUCAUGGGAGAGUUGGUGAUGAUGAUGAUGUGAACAUUAGAGAUGAAGAUGAGGGAGACGGUAGUAAUGUGAGAGGUGUAUGUGAUGAGGAUCAAGAUGGUGUUCCAUCAUAUCACGGUUCAACAUCUUCUCCAUACAAUUAUGAUCACAUUGUUAAAAGGAAGGGUUUUGACACGCCAAUGGAUCCAAUAACAAGAAAAAAAGAGCUUUGUUUGUAUGGAACAACAGAGUAAGUUCAACUUUUUAAUAACUAACUGAUUAAGGUUAUAUUUUUAGGUAUGAAAAAAAUUAUUUAUUAUUGUAUAAUUAUUUGUUUAAUAUAAGUUUAUUAUUAUGUAUUUUCAGGUUCAAUAACGCAUCAUGUGGACGUGUAAUUGGAGAUAUUUUGAGGUCCAAUUUUAAGGGAGCAUGGCAUUUCUUGGGAAAAAGUAGAUUCAAUGUGCAGGGAUGAACUUUUUAGAGAGUUUAAGGUAAGAACCAACACUAAUUGCCAUAAUAUUCUUUUUAAUUUUGAUCGCUUUAAUGUAGCAUUAUGAAAAUUAUCAACUGAAUAGCUAUGACUGAUUUGUGUUAUAAUUUGUUUUUAUUUCUUGUUUACUCUUUAAUAUCAUUUAAUUUCUUUAGUUAUUACAUUAUCUUGCAAAUUAUGAACAAGAUAACACAAUAUGAUUAAUUAUUUAUAUAAUUUGAAAUUUUGUGCACUCUUUUUACUUGAUAUAUAUAUUAUUUGGUAGAAAAAAUAUUCCUUUCCUGAGGAAGAUGAGUCAAUUGUUCGUAAUAUUUGGGAAGAUAAGGCUAGAAUAGCUUUGAAUCAACAAUUGACACGAGCUCGCAAGAAUGCCAUGUCAAAAGAAAACACGACAAAUAUUCUAGAUUGCCUUGAUAAAGGUCCUGCCUGGAUAAACAAUGAUGAUUGGAAUCAAAUGAUCAAAGAUGUUUGGUCCACCCCUGAAUUUCAAAGGAGGUCUGAAUCUGCCAGGAGGAAUCGAUUAUCCCAAACAGAUGGCAAAAUAAGCACUCAUUCUGGAGGAACAGUGUCAUUUGCUUCAUAUCGAGCUAACAUGGUAAGGAUAUUUUUUUUUAUGCUUAAGAUUAUGAAUUAAAAUUUGUAUAUUUAUCUUUUAUAAUAUUUAUUAAUCUUGAAAGCAAGAGGAAGCUGGUGGAAAAGAACCUCCAUGGGAUGAUGUCUUUUCAGCUUUGCAUCAAAGUACGAAGCAGUCUGGUAGCUUUGUCGACAACAAGUCAAAAAAAGUGGUUGUAUGUAUUUUUAUUUGAUUAUUUUUUAAUAUAACUCAAGUAUUAUUUAACAUUCAAAUUAAUUUAUUGUUGCAUGUAUUUUAUUUGUAGGAAAAUUAUAAAAUGGAGAUGAUUUCAAAGUAUGGAACUGAUCGGGAAAAUCAUCCUUCAUUUGAUGGAGCAGCUUGGUGUGUCGCUUCAGGAGGAGUUACAAAGGGUAGGGUAUAUGGUGCACCUCGUAUGCCAAAAUCUAUAGUUAGUACAAGCUCUUCAUCACAUUCCUACUCGGUGGAGUCAUCAUAUCCAAGUUCAUCAUAUCGAGCAUUGCAAGAGGAGAAAAGGAAAAAAGAUGAAGUGAUUUUUGAAAUGAAACGGCAGAUGGAUUCCAUGAAAGAUUAUCUUGUGAACAAUCUUGGAUAUCAUGGCGGGACAUCAAAUAUUGAUCAAGGUAUGCCACCACCUUUGACUCCAUCAAUACCGCCACAUAUGGCUCCUCAGAUAAUGACACCUAUGGGUCCCACAUCUCAACCAAUUUAUCGACCUAUACCCCGACCUUUAUAUCCUGAUCAAUCUUGUGACGAUCCACAAUAUCAUGGUUCGUCUUCGCAACCAGCACCAUGAUUGUAUCUUUUGUUGUUGUUUUUUUUUUGUAUUUGAACUUAAUUGUAUUAAUGCAUGUUUAUUUAAAUUUUUAUAAUAUGAAUAUUAUUUUUAUUCUAUUUUUUAUUAAUUAUAUAAUUAUUGUUAAUAUUAAUUUAUGCUGGUUAUAUAUAUUCUGCAACUUUUAAAAUAUCCAUAAAUUAAUUAAUUAAUUAAAAAUCAUUUUAAUAAAUAAAUAAAACGUAAUUUAAUAAAAAUUUAAUAAUACAAUCACCAACGGAUUCUCCGUUGGUGAUUGUAUCUGAUGCAGGCAUCAGCAACGGAGAAUCCGUUGCUGAUGCAGCGAACCAGCAACGGAUUCUCCGUUGCUGAUUCAGCGAACCAGCAACGGAUAAUCCGUUGCUAGUUUUGCAACGGAUUAUCCGUUGCUAUUUGUAAGCAACGGAUUUAUCCGUUGCAAACAAAUCAGCAACGACAAAUCUGCAUCCGAUUUGUGCCGUUGCUGAUUCCGUUGCUAAAUUACUUUAGCAACGGAUUUUAAUGGUUUUUGCAACGGAAUAGUCCGUUGCUAAUUGCUAUAUUUUUUAGUAGUGUUGCCGCACCAACAGAUGGUGAGUGUUGGUAAACCAAGCCAUAGAGAAACUCAUGGUGCUUCAAUUUUAACUUUUGGGUCAUGUUAGUUUUUAGGAAUUCACUUUUCUAAAAACCAUUUUCCUCACUUUUCUAUGUUUGACAAAUACAUGGAAAGUUAGUCAAUGAAAUUUAAAUUCUGGUCAAAGGAAAAUAUUAACUUAAUAUGAGGAAAGUGUUUUCCCCUUUUUAUUCUUGGAAAACACUUUCCUUUCCUUUUUAAUUUACGGAAACAAAUCACUCCUUCUCUUUUACAAUUGAUCUCUUAAAAAAAUUAGCGUGGCUGUUAAAUCUUCCUUUCUCAUAUCUCAGUGUUGGAAAAAGAAUCAUCUUCAUCUUCAGGUAAUUAUUUUCCUCAAAUAUUUCUAUUAUUAUCUAUCUUUUUUUUUCCCUGUUCUAUAUUAAUUGUGAUUGUGAAAUGUUGUGAGCUUGUUAAUUCUUGGAAAAAAAUCAAAGCAAUUCCAUGCUCUGUUUUGCAUAGGAUCUCAGAUCUUGCGUGUGUUUGAUAAUCUCAUAUCAAUCUUUUAACACUUGUGAUGCAUCAUCGAUGCAAUGUUUACAAUGACAAACUUGCAUUUCUAUUCAUUGUGGUUUUUUUUUGGAAUAAGUCGAUAUAUUGAAAGGGCUAACCAGAAAAUAGCCAAAAAAAAGAUACAUGGAAAAAAAAAAAAAAAGAAUCACAAUAACAAAAAGCAAACACAAAAAGAAAAGAAAAGAAACUCAACAGAUACAUAACCGAAAAAGCAAACACAAACAUGAUAUAUUCAUUGUGGUUUUAGGUUCACAGAUUCUGAUCAAAUAGAUAUUUAAUGUUCCAAAAACAUUGUAUACACAUUUAAAUGCUUUACUUCAAUAGAUAGAUUAGGUUAUCUCUCUACACAUAUUACCAAUUUAGAUUCAGCACAGGACCUUUUUCAGGUGCUUACCACUUUGUACUCGCAAGCAAAUACAUACUCCCCCCUCCCCCCUCCCCCCCUCCCUUCCUGUUCUUGUUAUUUAUGCAUGUAUUAACUUUUCUGAAAGAAUAAAUGUUGAAGGGAGCAAAUAGUGUAAAUAGAACGAGGAGAAUACAGAAAGAAUAAAGAAAAAGAAGAAAACAAAACAAAGUCAUAAAAAAAGGCUUUUCAAUCCCCGAUGAAUAUCAGCAGUCUAAAUACCCCAGCAAAUAGAACAUGAAGAGGCCACAAACAAUAACCCAUCCCAAAGAGAUUGUCUAGGAUGUUUUAAGCUAGGAAAAUGAAGAAGAAAACGACGAGCAUUAACAAUGAAUAUUUCAUGUUAUCAUCAACUCUAAAGAGCAGACUGAUAAAAAUCAACUUAACAACUCUUGUUGAAAUAAGAUUAAAUUUACAGGCUGACCAUGCUCGACCUUGAGGUGAGUUAUAAAAUGUUCUUCCUAACUAGAUGCACAGCUACGCCUUUGGGGUGAAGUGAACUAAGUCAUUUGUUUUACACUUCCACAUGCUCUCAAGCUUUCACCUCAUACUCAAGACCAGCUGAGCAGUCCUAAAAAGAAAGAUAUAUCAUGUAGGGUCAUCAAGGCAGACCUGUUAUUUUUAUUUUUUUCGCGUUAACGUCAUGACCAAAUUAUAAAAUUUAAACUUCUUUUCUUUCUUUCUUUUUUCCAUGUGUGAGCGAGCAUAAAACCCAAGGAAAUCGAUUUGUUGUUAAAAACACAAUAAUUUUGAAGAAUUUGGUAAAUUCCAAAAAAGAAGAAUCAACCAAACAGCUCAUUUUUCGGCCAUUCCGGCAGUAAUAUCUCUCCCACUCCAGCUGCUGCAUAAACUAAUUAACAAAUUAUCGAUCGAGCCUAAAAGAUUUGAAUUGAUUUCUAUUCUCAACUUUAAAAUAAAACUAAAAAAUAAAAUAAAAUAAAUUUGGGUUCAAGAAUUCACGGCUUGAUUAUUACAACAAUAACUGUGUGAAAAAUCGGAUAAUAUCAUGUAAAUUGGGGGGGGGGGGUUGAAAAAGAAAUAUUAGAAUCGGCUGAUUGUGCGUUUCUUCGAGCAGCGAUUUCAUCGGAUCCGAUUAUAUAUUUUUUUAAUUUACUUAUUAAAAUCGAAUUGCGUUCACUAGCAGAGAUUUCAUCGGAUCGAUUAUUUGUUUUUUUUUUAAUUUAAUUAUUAAAAUAGAAUUUCUGUCUCUCAAUAAUAAUUACAAUAAAAUAAAUGAAAACACCCAUAAAUUUUAAAAACAAAAGCAUGAUAGAAAAGGAAGCACCUGGCAGAAAUCUGAAGCCUUAUUGGAUGUGGCGGUUUCCGAGAGGCGGAAGAGGGAGGGAGGAAUGUUGUCCCAAAGUGAAAUAGAUGACUUUGGCCUUAUUUGUUUGUUAGAAAGUAGUUUCUUUUUAGAAAGUGAAUUUUAGGGAAAGUGAAUUCCAGGAAAGUUUUUUUCGAUGUUUGGUAGUAUAAUAAAAAAUAAAUUGGAAAACACUUUUCAGUUUUAGGUUAUGUCAUGGAAAAUAAGCUGGAAAAUUGCUUAUUAAUAUUUUAUUUUUCUCAAGUUUAUUAAAAUAAUGAGGAACAAAUUGCAAUCUAAAUAUAUAUAGAAAAAUAAUAAGAAAAAAGCAAAUAGAAUUAUAAAAAUAAGGACCAAAGUUAAUAUAAAAAUAAAAUUUUAAGAGAUGAAAUUGAAAAAUAAAUAUUCAAAACAAAAUAUAUAUAGCAAUCAAAAGUUUGAGGAUCAAAUUUGAUAUAAUCAGCAAAUAAUAACAUUUUUAAAUUUUUCACAACUUCCGAAAAAUGUUUUUCCUCCAAAUUUUUUAGGAAAACACUUUCUUGAAAACCAAGACAAAUUUUCCUUUUACUAGAAAGUGUUUUUCAUUGACCAACUUUCCUAAUGGCAAACAAACACAAGAAAGUUUGGAAAGUAAUUUCCCGAAAACCAUUUUCCGGAAAACAAACACAGCUAAAGAGAAAACACUUUCCUGAAAACCAAGUUAAAUUUUUCUUUAACUGAAAAGUGUUUUUCGUUAACCAGAAGUGUUUUCUGUUGACCAACUUUUCUAAUAACAAACAAUCACAAAAAAAUUUAAAAAAUGAUUUUCCAAAAUCUAAUUUUCAAAAUACAAACAUAGCCUUUAUUCUUUUCCAGAUUCCUUCUAAAAAAAAUUAACAAGUAAACACUCGCUCGUCAAGCAUCCGCGUUCACGACCUUUUAAUUAUGCCUUAACUCAUAUUGGCCAGUAGUGCUAUAAAGAAGACAAAGUGGUAUAUCCACUUUUUCAUCAAUUACUUACACGAGACAAAGAAAAUGAUUGCUAUUAUCGACAAUUUCUCUGUUACACACACACACAAUUUGUCUUUAGCUGUAUUUUCUUACAAAGGAUCUUUAGCCAUGCAUUAGAGAUGAACACCUCCAACUUCUUGAUUUUCACUCGUUUUCAUCCCAUUUAAAAAAGUUUUAAGUUUGAAUGCUCAUUAUACAAAUUCUAAUAACAGGCAGCUAAAAGGGCUUGUCGAAGAGCUCAUCUUUAACGACUACUCUUGCAGGUUUUGAGAUCAUAUCAUCACAUUUGGGAAAACUCAAGAACCUUGACCUGAGCUAUAAUAUAUUCAACGACAGCACCAACUUUUAAAACAUCAGUCACCAACUUUUCAUUAUAGAAUUGCUCAGCAAAUAUUGGCCUUAUGCCUUCAAGAGUUGAGUUCCAUCCUCAAUGAGUCACAAAUGCACCUAUUGCUUUAUGAUCAAGAAUCAAAACUUGGAGUGUCCAUCCUCUGAUAAUAGUCCUUUGCCUUCCAUUCUUUCCUCAAAUCCUUCGGGUAAACAAUCUUUCUUGUCUUCUUGACGCUUUGUUUCUUCUAACUACCCGGAUAAGGAUGAAACACUUCACACGCAUUACAGAAUUAGCAUUGUGGAGGUGAUCAUGACAUUUUGCCAGCAAGGCGAUAUACAUAGCAAUUUGCAGCAAUAGAAUGUAAAAGAGUUUGAUAACAAUGCGAGAAGAAAAACAAAAGGUAAGAUGUUUAGAAAUUCAAUGCUCGGAUGCAUUAUUACCUGCUGGAUCCAUGGGGGCAGUGGGCAUGGCAUUUUGAGACCUGAUCUUCAUCAAAAGCAUCACCAGAGAUAUUUUAUGCAGAUAAUCAGACUAAAAUCAGAUAUUAAUAACAAAACAUUAGAUCUCAGAGCAAUCCAUGUUACAAGAGGAGGAAAAUGGAUAUAUGCUCUAUCAUUUCAUCUUUUGUGAGGAUAGACUUCUGUUUCCUCUCUUUUUAUUUACUUAUUUAUGUAUUGAUUCGCAAUUUGCUUUUUGCACACUUCCCAUGUACUUGAACUUGGUCACUCUAAAUAAAACACUUGUCAAGAGAAUUAACAAAAAGAUGCAAACUCUCAAUCAGCCUUGCAUUCAGAAUGAACGGUGUGGAAGUGUAGGCACACUACACACACAUUUGUACAAGCAUAAAUGCGUGUGUAUAUUCAUGUCUAGAUAAUAUCGUAAUUAUUGAACCUCGCAUUAGGCAAAUACCUGAUUGGUAGCGGUGGUAUAAAUCUUUUCCUCAAAACGUACGGCAAAUUUCUUGAGUUCUGGUAAUCCCUCCUAACCAGAAAACAGAAGAUGCCUCUUUAAUGUCUCCAUUCUGCAUAUGCAAAUCAUCACGUUUCAUUUUUAAUGACCAAGCAAGUAUAGAGAAGUUGCAGUAGCGAGUAAGAACCCUGAACUCAUAAACCACACCAAUAUAAAAAAUGUGUGGAAUCAUUAGCAAAAAGUAAAAACAAAUAAUGAGAUAAGCAAGAGAUGGUCAAGUAAUAUAAGACAUCAAAAUACAUAGACAUCCUUUCCCUGCAUUAUUCCAGAGGUACAGAGUAUAGGAGUUUACUUGGCCACCCUUCUGUCUAAAAAUUCUAGCUACUAGCUUCAUGGUUAAUUUUCUUGAAAUGGAAGAACCUUUCAUUUAUGGCUAUGUUCCAAGAUAAUUAGUGACUUAGUUGCAAAGCAAGAGAGUCCGUGAAAACAUUACAAUAGCAUUUACUCGAGUAAGAACACUUCUAUGCAUGUGCUGUAACUGACAAAAGAAAGAAGAGAAAUCCUUUCAAUAUAUGAAAAUGCAACGAGUUAACCUUAUCUCAAACUGCAAUAUAUACUCUACAGUAUUUAUUGACCACUGCAAGUGCCAGCAGUAGCUGUCUAUAUGAUUUUUGAUGUAGAAAGGUCAACAAAACAUUCAACUUUAUGCUGAGAAACUAGGAAACCUUACACCAUUCAACAUUAACUGCUUUUCUACUUUAAGAUCACUAUCAUUUCAACUUUGUAGAAGUUAAAACAAAUGGAAGGCCCAUAUCCAACACCAUUCAAUUUAAGUUCAGUUGCAACUAGACGUAUGCUCACAACAAUAGAUUAACCUUGAAAUUUAAAGCGGAACAAGCUUCAUGCAGCCAUCCAAGAGGUCAUCAUCAAAAGAAGAGAUUACAAAAGAAAUUCCAACAAAAAUUACUUCCCAGCGCUUUAUGUUCCCUCAAGUUUGCUUCUCGUGAGAAACACAUGAAAAGAUGAAAAAAAAAACAAAAAAAAAGAGGUGUGAUAUAUUUAUUUCGGGCAUUCUAAGCAAAGAUUUGGGCCUGAAUCUUCAUGGUGAUUCUAAACCAAGCAUUCCCUUCUAAGCAAAUACUUGCUGUCAAAACCCCCUCUCCUUCCCCUCCUGUUCUUGUUAUUUAUGUAUAUAUUUAUUUCUCUGAAAGAGGAAAAUGCCACAAAAGAAUAAAGAAAUAAGAAGAAAACAAAACAAAGUCAUAAAACGAGGCCUUUCAAUCCGCAAUGAAUAUCAGCAGACUAAAUACCACAGCACAAAUAGAAGAUUAAGAGGCCAGAAACACUAAAGCAUCCCAAGAGAUUGUCUAGGAUGUUUUAAUCUAGGAAAAAGUAGAAGAAAACAACGAGCAUUAACAAUAUUAAUCUUUUUAAAAACAACAAACAGAACCUAAAAAUGCUGAUUAAAAAACGGUGAACUGUAAGUGCCAGCAAAAGGUAAGGAUGUUUAGAAAUUCAAUGCUCUUUCUAAUACGCACACAUGUGUACAUGCAUAAAUCCACACACUUAUGCAUGUGUAUAUUCAUGUCUAGAGAAUAUCGAAAUUAUUGAACCUGGCAUUAGCCGAAUACCUGAUUGGUGGCGGCCGUAUAAAUCUUUUUCUCAAACCGUAUGGCAAUUUUCUUGAGUUCUUGUAAUCCCUCUUGACCAGAAAACGGAAGAUGCCUCCUCUCUUUUCAUUUAACUAUGUAUGCAUUGAUUCAUUAUUUGCAUUUUGCACACUUCCCUUAUUCUUGAAAAGGACCUUGGUUACUCUAAAUAAAACACUUGUCAAGAGAAUUAACGAAAAGAUGUGAACUUCUACAAAAUGACCAGUGAGGAAGUGUGGACACACUACGCACACAUGCAUAAAACCACACACUUAUGCAUAAAUCCACACAUUAGCCGAAUACCUGAUCGGUGACGGCAGUAUAAAUCUUUUCCUCAAACUGUUUGGUAAUUUUCUUGAGUUCUUGACCAGAAAACGGAAGAUGCCUCUUUAAUGUCUCGAUUCUGCACAUGUAAAACAUUACAUUUAAUUUUUUAAUGACAAGGCAGGUAUAGAGAAGUUAGCAGCAGUGAAAAAGAGUCGUGAACUCAUACACCACACUAAUAUCAGAAAUGUAUACAACGGGAUCAUUGGCUAUGGCUAUGCUCUGUCUGAAAUUCCAGAGGUACAGGGUAUAGGAGUUUACUUGGCCACCCUUCUGUCUGAAAUUCUAGUUACGAGCUUCAUGGUUAAUUUUCUUGAACCGGAAGAACCUUCCAUUUAUGGCUAUGGCUAUGCUCCAAGAUAUACAAGUGAAUUGGAUGCAAACCAGGGGAACUCUGUGAAAACAUUACAAUAGCAUUUACUCUGAGUAAGAAAACUUUUAUACAUGCAUGGACUGUAAUUAGCAAAGAAAAGAAGAGAAAUCCUUUUAAUUUAUGAAAAUGAAAUGAGUUAACCUUAUCUCACGCCGCAACAAAAAAUUACUUCCCAGGCACUUUAUGUUCGCUACUUGUGAGAAACACGCGAAAAAUGAAAAAGACAGAAACAGAGGUGUGAGGUGUAUGAUACUUGAGGUUGGUUGCCUCAUGUCAGUCCUGCUGAUUUUAAUUAACCUUUUGCCCUUCUCUUUUUCUUUUUCUUUGUUUACUAUUCUUUGAACACAUGGUGCUUCUAAAACCAAGGAAGCAAAAAACAAGCCAGCUAGUUCAUAACUUGCAGCACCAGCAGAUGGUGAACCAAGCCAUAGAGAAACUCAUGGUGCUUCAAUUUUAACUAGUUCGUGCUUGGACCCCUCAAAGAACAUUAGCACUUAUUCAAGAAAAAACAUAUAAAGUUGUGAGACACGAGAGACUAUAAUUAUUAUUAUUAUAUAUGGAAAGCAAUGCAAUGCAAUUUAUUUUUUAAUUUUUGUUAUGAUUUUUUUUCAAAUCUAUUUUUACAAUGGUUGAGAAUCUUGGUAAAACAAUUAGUCUUAAUCGUUGUUGAUACUUAAUUUAUAAUGAUAGAUGUUGGAAAGUCACGGUAACUCCUAAUUUUACUCUUGUCGACAAUAAUUUAUAAUGGGUGAUGGUUGAGGAUCAUCUGAUAAGUACGCUAACUUAGCAAAUAAGUGAUAAGUGCCUCUCUUUUUUUUUUUGGCAACUCUCUGUGGCCGCAUGACCAUUUUUAUAAGGGAAAAAGAAAGAAAAAAAACCCAUGACCUUUAUUUGCUCAGCAAGAAACAAAACACAAAGCAGAAUUGGACCUUUAUUUGCUCAGGUGUAACCUUGCAGAGAUUACAAUAAACAAAACACAUAAGAAAAACAAGAGGUUUAAUUGACUUAUAAAAUGUAUGUUUGUGAGCUAUGAUGUAGUGUUUUUUGUUCAAUUGUUGAGAGAAUUUCAUGAAACCAAUGGAAAAACAAAAUAAUAAGGAUUUAUGUAAGAAAUACACCUGUUUAUUUUCGUGUUGUGUUCGUUAACCAUUUUAUAACCAAUUUCUUUUUAAUUUAUAAUUUAAGAAAAAGUAUGGAAUAAUUCUGUAGAGUGUUCUCCUUCUGGGGUUUGGAAAGCGUAGAGGCUUUCCAUUGGAACUGCCAUUCUAUAUUUUGAGAGUUUCUUUGCGAAUAGCUUUUUUGGCAUUUUGACAGAUAUGAGAGAUUCUAAGAUGGAAACUACUUUAGUUGCUGAUAAACGUGCAGCUAGCAUCAUUCUCUUCAUUUUAUUUAUAAUUAAACGAAUAACGAUAAUUGAUGGUGGAUCCGUUUCCCUUUAAAUGUUUUUUUUUUAUCUGGUAUCUUUAAAUUAAUUUCUCCAUCAAUUAUUAAGUUUCACUAUAACGUGUAUUAUUUUUCACUAUGAGUGAAUUUACUGUGGAUGCAUUGUAAGUCCUGGCUUUACGCGGGGCGGGCUCGAGCGCCAAGUGGUGCUGGGUGGCUACAUGGAGCGGGGCAGAACCCUGGCACUUGGGUCUUGGCAAAGGCCUGAUUGGAUUGGGUAUAGCAGCACAGCGCUGCAUGUCGCUGGGGAACCCCGAGCGCCACCUGGCGUUAGAGCACCACCUCGUGCUGGGGCGGAUCCAAUUCUCUGGGUAAACCCCAGCGCUAGGUGGCGCUAGGGUCUUGUCAAAAGGCAUUUUUGGUUAUGAUAGCCCCAAUGUCACGUGGCACUCGAGUCCGGACGCGUUUUGCCCAAUCACAUGUGUGUUUAAUAAUGUGUGUUAUAAAUAUUAUUUUUUCUUUUAUAAUUCAAAGUGUUCAUAACAAAAAUAUUAGUAUUUGUGUUAUAAAUAUUAUUAUUUUUAUUAUAACUCAAGUAUUGAUAUAAAAAAAAAUAUUAUUAUGCAUUAUAAUCAUCCUUGAAAUUCUUAAUAUAAUUAUUUCUGUUAUUUCUUAAUUCUAAAUAUUCAUAUCAAAAAUAGUAUUAUUUGUGUUAUAAAUAUUAUUAUUUUUAUUAUAAUUCUAAAUAUUCAUAUAAAAAAUAGUAUUAUUUAUGUUAUAAAUAUUAUUAUUUUUAUUAUAAUUAAUAUUAUUAAUAUUAAAAAUCUUAUUAUUUAUGUUUUAAAUACUAUUUUUUUAUUAUAAUUCAUAUAAUUAAGAAAUCUGAAAAAACAAAUUCUUAUUAAUAUUUUAAAAAAUAUUAUUUGUGUUAUAAUUAUUUUUAAUUUAUUAUGAUUUGUAUUAUAAUUCAUAUUAUUAAUAAAAUAAUUAAUAAAUUUGCAAAAAAAAACAUUCUUAUUAAUAUUUUAAAAAAUAUUAUUAUUUUAUAAUUAUUUUUAUUUGUAUUAUGAUUAAGAGUAUUAAUAUUACAAAUAGUAUUAUUUGUGUUAUAAUUAUUUUUAGUUUUUAUUAUGCUUAAGAGUAUGAAUAUUAAAAAUAGUAUUAUUGAUUUAUUAUUAUAAUUAGAACUAUUAAUAUUAAAAAUAGUAUUAUUUGUGUUAUAAUUAUUUUUAUUUUUAUUAUAAUUAAAAGUCUGGGCGCAUCUACGCCCAUCCCAACGUUGGGCCUGGAGGCGUCCACGUUCAUCCCCAAAUAGGGUUCGCCCAGCCAUGCCCACCCCUAAGAUGGGUCUGGACGCGUCCACGCCCAACCACAUUUGUUAAUAUAAUAAUGUGUGUCAUAAAUAUAUAUUUUUUCUCUUAUAAUCCAAAGUGUUCAUAUCAAAAAUAUUAUUAUUAGUGUUCUAAAUAUUAUAACUUUUAUUAUAACUCAAAGUAUUGAUAUAAAAUAUAUUAUUAUUUGUGUUGCAAUCAUUCUUGAAAUUCUUAAUAUAAUUAUUUAUGUUAUAAAUAUUAUGAUUUUAUUAAUGAAUUUGAAAAAUAAUUAUUGUUAAUAUUUUAAAAAAUAUAUUAUUUGUGUUGUAAUUAUUUUUAUUUUUGUUAUGAUUAAAAGUAUGGGUGCGUCCAUACCCAACCCAAAGUAGGGCUGGCUAAGAGUAUUAAUAUUACAAAUAGUAUUAUUUGUGUUUUAAUUAUUUUUAUUUUUAUAAUGAUUAAGAAUAUUAAUAUUAAAACUAGUAUUAUUUGUGUUAUCAUUAUUUUUAUUAUAAUCAAAAGUAUGGGCAUGUCCACACCCAUCCCCAAGGGGGGCUGGGUGCGUCCACGCCCAACCCCCCGGCAGGCGUUGACGUGUCCUUGCCCACACCCAAGUGGGGCGUGGAUGCGGCCACGCUCGACUCCAAGUGGGGUCUGGACGCAUCCUCGCCCAACCGCUUGUUAAGCGUGGAGGCGUCCACGCCCAAACCCAAGUUGGGUCGGAUGUGUCCAGACCCAACUUGGAGUAAAAAAUAUUAUUAUGUGUUGUAAUUAUCCUUGAAAUUUUUAAUAUAAUUAUUUAUGUUAUAAAUAUUAUUACUUUUUAUUAUAAUUCUAAAUAUUCAUAUAAAAAUUAAUAAUAUUGGUGUUAUAAAUAUUAUUAUUUUUAUUGGAUGGAUCUAUCGAGCAUGCCCCAGCGCCAGGUGGCGCUCGGGGUUCCCAAUCAGCUAAGUGGCACUCGGUUGUUCCAAAGUGCUAGGUGGCGCUUAGGUUUUCCAUUGAGUUUCUAAUAUUAUAUUUCUACGUCAAAACCAAUUUUUUUUAAAAAAAAAAAUGGCAUUGUUUUGCUUACAAAAUUGAUCAAGUUAACCAAUAACUCACCAGUUGAUCAACAAUUCAACAAAAUAGGUUUUUAACAGGAUCAAAACCUGAACCAGGCUGGAUGACCACGCCAUAAGUUGCAUCUUAUUUUUGUCUUUGCAAUACAAUAAUACUUACAAAUAAUAAAUAACUAAUUUGUAUACAUCUUUUUGUCACAUCUUUAUAGUUUUUGUAGAAUAAAUUGGAACUUAAGAUUUUGUCACAUCUUUAUAUAUAGUUUUUGUAGAAUAAAUUGGAACUUAUUAAGAUAAUAUUCUUUAAUUCUCAAUGCUAUUUGUAAUCAAUAAGAAAGAUAUGGACAAGUCGAUCGUGCGAUUCACAUGGAUUGAACCCCACAUUACACACGGAAUAGACAACACAAUAACCCUGACCAUGCUCGAUCUUGAGGUAAGUUGUAAAAUGUUCUUCCUAACUAGAUGCACAGCUACGCCUUUGGGAGGGAGGGAGGGAGGGAGAGAGAGAGAGAGCAAAGUGAAAUAGAUGACUUUAUUCUUUUCCAGAUUCCUUCUGAAAAUAUUAACGAGUAAACACUCACACUCACGCACGCAUAUGAUGAUUAAAAUUUGAGUUAAAUUCUAUUUAACUAGUAUCUGUAUUUUUGUUAAACAAACAGAUUAAUCCCUCAAGUUGAUUUCAAUAAUUAAUUGAUCAUUUAAUCACAUUUUACUGUUAAGUUUUUCCAUUAGCAACGUCGCUGCUUUAUCUUGUUGCCUGGCAGAGUUCCUUGAUGAAAAAGAGCCUAAUGCUUCUACUUCUUUCCAAGUUUUUGAAGACAUGCUUGAAGAUAAUAUCUCAUCAAGGUAUAUUUAUUAUAACAAAGAAGCAUACUCAAGGAUGAUACUUCAACUCUAAGAGUUGAUAUAGCAAGUAAGAGUAAGGAUAUAGAGCAAAAUGAGCCUCCCUUCUCUCCUUCUAGUCAAUCAUCUUGAAGAGCCUAUGUUCUUGCCUUGAUAAAGACUCCUAUCUUAUAUUUAUUGAAGAAAUAUCAAGAAAGUUUCCAAAUUCAUCUCUUGACAAAAACAUCUCACCCACCUUAGCACAUGUCAAAUCCUUCAUCCCCUUAUGCCAUUGCACAGACUUGCCCUCGGGGUAAAUUCUAAAACUUCAGGCAUUUUUUAUAUGGAAAUUUAUAAUCAUAACUUGGUGUUUGUCCAUUUAUAUACAUGUUUAAUGCUUAUAAUUCAUUGUAAAAUAACUUCAAAACGGUUAAGGAGCACUUUUAUUACCAAAAAGAAAUGGCCCAGUAUAUAUUAUUAAAGGAUCUCAAAUCUUACAUUGUAAAAAUAAAAUAUUCUUCUAAUAUUUAUAUAGUGAACUUUGAAAAUGGUUAAUAACUAACCAAAAAUAUAUAUAAAAAAAGGAGUUUCUGACUACGAGAAAAAAAAUAUUUGAAAAAAAAAAUGGAUCUCAACUGCAUUUUGCUGGAUUGUUUUCGUCACGGAUUAACCUAAUGAGUUAAAAAAAUAUAUAUAAAAAAAAGAGAGGUAUCUGAAUAAAAUAAAAACAUUUUCAAUUUUUUUAUAUGUCAUGUAUAGCUAAGGGACCCAUUCCUUUGUAUAAAAAAUGAUUUGACGGUGCUUGGAUUGGGUGUAUGCCUACGUACUUGGUUUUUUAAACAGACCUUGAGCUUUAUUUUUUAUUUUUUCUAUGUAGUAUUAGUUUUUAAAAGAAUUAUUUUUUAAAAUCUUAGUAUAUUAUACAAUUGGAUUUAUUAUGAUGUUUCUCACACGUGUAUUAAUUAUAUAUUCAAUUCUUUAAUAGUUAGAAAAUACAAAGAGUUAGUGACACUUACAGAGCAUUUUGUAUCUUGUUUUUUCUAAUUAAAAACUUGUAUGGAUUUAUUUAUUUAUUUGAAUACUUGCUUUUAAUUAUGAUAUUUUUAUCAAUCAAGUCUCUAUAUUAGUUUUGUUGUCAGAAUGCAAAUAACACGAUUAAUAGUAUUUUAUUUUCAAUUUUUUUUCAAGGCCUAAAUUUUCCACACGUAAUUUCCAUUAAAAAAAAGUAGCCAGUCUUCUUUAUCCAUCAUCGUCAUGUGCAUAGCAUUAACCUUUUAUUCAUAUUUUUUUCAUAAAUAAAUAAACUUAACUUGGGGUCAACGUUUCAAGAAGGAAUAUAAGUUUCGGUUAAUUACAUAGUUUUUUCCAAAAUGUUCCGCUUUUGUUAUCUCUCUAUUACUUUUCCUUUUAAAGGGGUUAUGUACAGCCCUUGUAUAUUAUUUUGAAUUUAAUAUAUAAAAAUCUUUAGUAUAGAUGAAUUUUGUUUUUUAAAAAAAAAAAAAAAUUAUUUUCAAAUAAUAUUUCUAAUAUGUACAACAUUGCAUAUUAUUAUUUUUUCUUUUAUUUUGUUCAAUUAAUUUAUGAUAUGUAUGUUCUUUUUAUUAUCGUUUAAUUGAAUAAAUAAUUUGAAUUUUUAGAAAAUACAAUUGCAUAAAUGUCAUGUCUUGUGAAAUUAAAUAUUUUGAUCUACAUCUGUCUCUCGAUUUUUUUAGUUUUUAUUUUGAGUUAUCAUUUAUGUUUUUUUUUUUCAUUUAUUGACACACAUAAUUCUCAAUUUAUUUGACAAUAUUAUUUGUAUAUAAUUUUUUUAAUAUCCACUUAAUUUUUUUAAAAAUAAAAAAUAUAUUAAAAAAAUCUAUAUAUAAUUUUUUUAAUUAAACAAAUUUAACUUGCAAUGAAGCUUUAAUCGAAUAACUAAGUCCAUGUACUCAAAUGAGUGGCACUCGAAACUUUACAUACCUUAUCUUCCAAGCAAGAAGAGACAAGAAAAGCAGUAGGUGAUGUUCUUUUCCCCGGUUGUAAAUGAAUGAAGGGGUUAAUACCAAAAACAUGGACAAAAAUUGACAUGGACCCGCACCACUUUGAUUAUUCUUCACUCUUCCUAUGUUUCACUACUUGUUGAUUCAAAAGUUAUCUAUUUAAAAAAAUUUAAAAUAUUUUAAAAUAUGGUUACAAUAUUUUUUCUUAAGAAAAUAAAUUGAUGUCAUGUGUUAAUAACAAAUAAGGAUUUUUUGCAAUCAAAAAAUCAAAUUUAUUUUAAUUAAAAAGUUUCCUAUCAAUAGCAGCAUUCCCAAUUAAACCAAAGUUUUUCCACGAACCCAUCUUGUGGAAAAAAUGCAUGGUGGUUGGAAGAGGACGUCUCAUGGCCUCUCCUCUGGAAAAAUGCAUGAUGGCAACGGUCUCAGAGACCGAUGUCGCACCCCAAAAACAACAAUUUUCAAUUGCAAGUUCAACUGGCGAAAUUUUUUUUAUUUUUGGUUCUUUGGAGUCGCCACCUAGUAUUUUGGUCACUAGGAACCUAACUGGUCUCAGAGAUCGGGUACGGAGACUGGUUGCGUAAAGGGAAGGUAUUAGCACCCCAAAUACACCUUACCUAAGGUAAGCUGCAUUGUUUAAUUGUCUGAUAAAAAUAAUAAUAAAAAAAAAAAAACUAAGGUGUUAUUGUGUUUUCCUAGUUGUUGGUCUGUCUAUGGUUCAAGAAAAAUCCUCCUCGGUAAGGAGAUCUUUAUCUUAUCGGGUAAAAAAAAAUCCUAACCGUUCUAACGUCCAUACCAAAAUUUUAUUAAUAAUAUUUGGGAAUACGUUUUACGUAUAAAUUCGUAAUCCCAAAUACUAAAAUAAAACAAAAAAAGAUUUUUUAGAAUUUUUGAAAUAUUGGCCUAGUUCUCAUGGCUUGAAUAAACUGGUUAUUAAAGCCAAAAUGCAUGUUAAUACAUAUAUUGUUUUGAAAAUUUCUUUGUUGCGUGAAAAUAUGAUGUUAUAAUAUUUAUAUAUAUAUUGGAGAGACUAGGCCGUAUUUUAAAACAAAAAAAAAACAAUUUUUGGAAAAUAUUAUUUUUUUUAUGCUUUGACGAAAAUCGGGUAUUUUAAUACUGAGCUUGUAUCCUUACGGUAUAAAAAUACAACCCAAUAUUAAUCCACUUUGAUAAAAAUAUGCAGAAAAAUCAACAACAUUUUUUAGGGACUUUUUAGAAUUUUUUUUUUUAAAAGCAAAAACAUUUUUUAUUCUGAAAAUCUUUGAUAUUUUGACGAAAACCGGGUAUUUUUAACACUGGUUUUGUAUCUUUACAGUAUAAAAAUACAAAACCAAAAUGUAUAAAACAAACAAUAUAUUUAUAUGAAAAGAAAAUAACAACCAGAUUUUUUUAGAUUUUUUUUCAAAGAAAAAAAACGUAUAUAUGUAUAUACACAUAUAAUAAUAAUAUAUUUAUAUAUUAAAAAGGGGCUGGGCCGGCCCAAACCAAACUGGGCCGGACCCAGCCCUAACAGUCGUUGGGCCGAACUCGGCCCAGCAGGUACUGGGCAGAACUCGGCCCAGAAACUAAUUAACCUCGGUCUGGGCCGGACCCGGCCCAGACCGCCGGACUGGGCUAGAUCCCUCUGGCCCGUCCCACAUAACUCUGGGCCAGACACAAUCUGGCCCAGAAAAAAAAUAAAAAAAACACGGGGGGGGGGGAAUUAAUUUCCCCCCCCCCCGCCUCCUGCAUGCAGAACGAUUCUGCAUGCAGGAGGCAAAACAUAUAUAUAUUAACAAAAAAAAUGCAGGGGGAGGAAAGGAGGCGUACCUGGUGCGGUGGAGGAGGUGGUUUGCUGGCGGGGCUGCGGUGGUGGUGGCAGUGUCUUAGCUUCACAGACGACGGCUUCUCUCUCCUAUGUUACAGUGUUUCUCUCUCUUCCUCUCUCUCUUCGUUUUUUUUUUCUUUGUUUCGGGGUUCCUCCCUUUCUCUCUUUUUUUUCGUCCCCCGUUUUCCCUUUUGGUUCUCUAUUUAUAGAACCAUGGCGCGACUUCGACGUGGAGCCCCGAAGUGGGUCGAGGAGCGUCUGUCGGGGAGCGGCGGGCCUCCCUCGGCUUCGGCCACGAGGAGGGUUGUCGACCAUUGUUUCUGUCGGUGGCCCACCGGCGUGGGGUCUCUGUCGGUGGUAAGGGGGACCUGCAAAAAGAAUAAAAAAUACAAAGUUUUUCUUCUUCCCCGCUGUAAUGUUCGGGGGGGAAGAAGACAGUGAACAGUGUCGUUCAAAACGGCACCGUUCGGUUCCCCCCCCCUUUUUUUUUUUUUUUUAAUUUAUUUAUGCAUGAAACGGCGUCGUUUUGGACAAAACGCGCCGUUUCAUUUAAAAAAACGCCAGAAACUUUGUUUUUAAAUCAGUCCCUAAUUUGUCAUUUGUUCUAUCAAGUCCUUCAAUCGAGUCCUUUAAUCAAGAAUAAAAUUCAAUUGCGUCCCUGCCAAAUUCGGUCCCUACCCCUAUAAUUGGCCGCGUUUUUCACUUUGAUCCUUGACCUCUGAUUUUCACAAUUAAGCCCUUAAUUGAUCAAUAAACUUCCAAUUUCUUCAAUUAAGCCCCUGAAACAAUUCCAAACAGCCCCCUCUAUCUUUGCGCCUUCUCCAAAUUGGUCCCUGGUUUCGGAUUUUUCACAAUUAAGUCCCUAAUUGGCCAUUAAACUUCAAUAUUUAUGCAAUUAAGCCCCUGAUUUGACCCAAUAAAUUCCUAAAAAAUAUAUUUUGACCCCAGAACUUAAAUUUCUUCAAAUUAAAGCCCAAAUUGACUUAAAAAUCAAUUUUUCUUGCAAUCAAAUCUUCCAUAAAUUCAAAUAAAAAUCCAAUUAAGUCCAUAAAAAUCCAAAUUUGGGUUUUUCUCCUCAAAAUUCAAAUUUUCCUUCUCAAUAGGGCUUUCAUCCUUCAAGAAUAUACUGUCAAAAAUUCAAUCCUUGUAUUUUUAAAUUCCUUGACCAAUUUUCUGACUGUUUUCCGAGCGCUUCUACCUCCUGUUAUUUUUCUAACCUCUUUUGGCUAUUUAUUUUAUUUUUCAUGGGGACCCAAAAAUGGGUUACAACAACCGAUAUGCAGAUGUAAAUGUUCUCAUGUACCCAUCUCGUAGAAAAAACGCAUCCGAGUAAAUAGAAUUUUUUUUUCUUUUUUUUUAGAUGAACAUGACUUUCUUAAGCUCAUUGUAGUAUAUAGGAUUUUUUUUAAAAUGAAAAAAUAGAAAUAUUAUUCGCAUCCGAUUAAAUAUCUCCACCGAUAUAAUUCCAUUGAAAGUUGCGUCAUGUAUUAAUCUAAGGUCCAUUGUUCAUUAAUUAAUCGGUGGUUGCGUUUUAACACUUGAGAUUUAUUUUUUAUGCAUAAACAUUUAAUUUAUUUUUUUGCAAACUAAAUUGAAAUUAAAGCAUAUUAAUUAUCCAUUCCCAAGCUUACAGGGCAAUGGUCUCAUGGACCCAUCUCGUAGAAAAAACGCUUGAUAGCAAUGGUUUCGUGGACCAUCCCACCAGCCUAUAUCGUGGAAAAAAAUGCAGAUGGCAAUACAUGGUCUCACAGUCCCAUUUCACACUGCAAAUUGCUAUUCAUCUUACUUGUUGAUUGUGUUACAUAAAAAUAGACUGACAAGUACUUUAAAAAAAAAAAAAAAGACUUGUUGUCAUGACAAUGACAAGAAGAAUUUUAAAAAUAAUAUUAUUUGAGGUUCAUUUUAUCAACGAUACUCUUUGAUUUUGUCAUCACAAUCAAAAUUAAGGCAUGAUUUUUGAAGAUUUUAGAUAAAGAUGAUAAUUUUGAGUUAUGGUUUGUUUAAAUAAUGAAUUUGAGUUAUAAAUCUUGAUAUAUUAAUAAGUGAUCUGUGUGUAUUUAAAAUUAAAGUGCAUAAAUUUAAUAUUGAAAUUUAAUUAAAGUCUCUCUUACAAUCCAAAAUUUAUUUUUAAUUAAAGUGCAUAAAAUAAACAUGGUUAAAGUUCUUUCUUUCUCUUUCUCUUUCUCUCUGUCUCUGUGUAUGUUAGAUGGAGUUUGCAUUAGAUAAUCAAUAAUAUUGUAUAUAUUGUUUUUGGAGAAGUAACUCAUUUUCACACCCUUGGUGUAGUUUUCCAUUCAUUUUCACACCCCAGUUGCCACCCUGCUUUUCUUUUCAUUCACGCACACAGAUAGUGCAUCAAAGCACUACGACAAUAGUUGACUCCCAGUCAAUACGGUCAAGAUAAGGUAAUCAAAAACUAAAUUUACUUUUACUACUAUUUCAAUUUUAAAAAAAUAUUUUUCUUUUGUUUAAUGCAUUAAUUUCAAGAAAUAUUUUUAUUUUUUUGUAAUUUGAAUACUUGCUCUUAUGAUUUUUUAUCAAUAAAGUCUCUAUAUUAGUUUUGUUGCUAGAAUACAAAGAACACAAUUAAUAGUAUUUUAUUUUUAAUUUUUUUCAAGGCCUAAAUUGUACACACGUAAUUUCUAUAAAGAAAGUAGCAAGUCUUCUAUAUCCAUCAUCGUCAUGUACCUAGCAUUAACUUUUAUUCAUGUCUUUUCCAAAAAAAAAAAACUUGACUUUGGAUCAAUGUUUUAAGAAGGAAUAUAAGUUUCGGUUAAUUACUUAAUUUCAAAUUUUUUUUGUACUCUAUGUUUUCGAUGAACAUCACUUUCUUAAGCCAGUUGUAGUAUAUAGAAAUUUCUUCUAACAUUUUAGAAAUAUAAUUCACAUCUGAAUUGAUAAAUUCACAAAUUAAUAUAAUAGGUUUUAAUAUUUAUUUUUAAUAUAUAUUUCGAAUUUAAUAUUAAUAGUUAUAAAGUUUAUUUAGUUAAUAAAAAUUGUUCCACUUUUGUUAUAUCACAUUCCUUUUAAAUUAUUGUAAAGUUUAUUUAUUUUGAAUUUAAUAUAUAAUUUUUUUUGGAAUAAAUAAACUUUAUUUUUUAAAAUAAAAAAACUAUUUUCAAAUAAUAUUUCAAAUAUAUGAAGCUUGUCAUAUUAUUACUAUUUUUUAUUUUAUUCAAUCAAUUUAUAAUAUGUGUCUAUUUUUAUUAUUGUUUGAUCGAAUUAAAAAAUUAUUUUAAUUAGAAAAUUUAAAAAAUGCAAUUGCGUAAAUGUCAUGUCUUGUAAAAUUAAAUAUUUUGAUCUACACAUGUCUCUUGAUUUUUUUACUUUUUAUUUUGAGUCAUCGUUUAUGGUUUUUUUUUUUCACUUAUUAACACACAUAAUUCUCGAUUUAUUUAACAAUAUUUGUGUAUAAGUUUUUUAAUUUUCACUUAAAAUUUUUUUAAAUAAAAACUUUAUUGAAGAAAUCAAUAUAUAAUUUUUUUUAAUUAAAAUAAUUGAACUUGUGGUGAAGGUGUGGUCAAAUAACUAAAAAUAGGUGGCACUCAAAGGUUCAUAUACCUUAUCUUCCAAGCAAGAAGAGACAAGAAAAGCAGUAGAUGAUGUUCUUUUCUCCGACAAUAAAUGGAUGAAGAGAUAAAUAUCAAAGACUAUUAUAUUAAUCGUUCAUACCCCCCCCCACCCCCACCCCACGAUCUCUUAAAUGCAAAACAAUUUGGAAUAGUUGAUAAAUCACUUUUGGUAAUUUCACAUCAAAAACAUCUCACCCACCUUAGCCCAUGUCAAAUCCUUCAUCCCAUUAUGCCCUUGCCCAGACUUGCCCUCGGGGUAAAUUCUAAAACUUGGGGCAUCUUUUAUAUGGAAAUUUAGAAUUAUAACUUGGUGUUUGUCCAUGUAUAUACAUUUUUAAACGUUAAGGAGCACUUUUAUUACGAAAAAGAAAUGGCCCAGUAUAUAUUACUAAAAAAACUCAAAUUUCACAUUGAAAAAAUAAAAUAUUCUUUUAAUGUUUAUAUAAUAAACUUUAAAAAUAAUUAAUAACCAACCAAAAACAUAUAUAAAAAAGAGAGGUUGGAAAAAAAAAACAUUUAACAAAAAAAAUGAGUCUCAACUAGGUUUUCUUGAAUUGUUUGGAUUACGGGUUAACGAGUCAAAAAUAUAUAUAUAUAAAAUGAGAGGUUUCAAUAAAAUAAAAACAUUUUCAAGUCUUUUAUAUGUCAUGUGUAGCUAAGGGACCCAUCCUUUGUAUAAAAAAUGAUUUGACGGUGCUUGGAUUGGGUGUAUGCCUACGAACUUGGUUUUCUAAACAGACCAUGAGCUUUAUUUUUUAUUUUUUCUAUGUAGUGUUAGUUUUUAAAAUCUUAGUAUAUUAUACAAUUGGAUUUAUUUUGAUGUUUCUCACACGUGUAUUAAUUAUUUAUUAAAUUCUUUAAUAGUUAGAAAAUACAAAGAGUUAGUGACACUUACAGAGCAUUUUGUAUCUUGUUUUUUCUAAUUAAAAACUUGUGUGGAUUUAUUUAUUUAUUUAUUAAUUUGAAUACUUGCUUUUAAUUAUGAUUUUUUUUAUCAAUCAAGUUUCUAUAUUAGUUUUGUUGUCAGAAUGCAAAUAACACGGUUAAUAGUAUUUUAUUUUUAAUUUUUUCAAGGCCUAAAUUUUCCACACGUAAUUUCCAUUAAAAAACGUAGCCAGUCUUCUUUAUCCAUCAUCGUCAUGUGCAUAUCAUUAACCUUUUAUUCAUAUUUUUUCCAUAAAUAAAUAAACUUAACUUGGGGUCAACGUUUCAAGAAGGAAUAUAAGUUUCGGUUAAUUACUUAGUUUUUUCCAAAAUGUUCCACUUUUGUUAUAUCUCUAUUACUUUUCCUUUUAAAGAGGUUAUGUACAGCCCUUGUAUAUAAAAGUCUUUAGUAUAGAUGAAUUUUAUUUUUAAAAAUAAAAAAAAAAUUAUUUUAAAAAAUUAUUUUUAAUAUGUUCAACAUUGCAUAUUAUUUUUUCUCCUUUUAUUUUGUUCAAUUAAUUUAUAACGUGUAUGUUGUUUUUAUUAUCAUUUAAUCGAAUAAAAAAAUUAUUUUAAUUUGAAUUUUUAGAAAAUACAAUUGCGUAAAUGUCAUGUCUUGUGAAAUUAAAUAUUUUGAUCUACACAUGUCUCUCGAUUUUUUUAGUUUUUAUUUUGAGUCAUCAUUUAUGUUUUUUAUUUAUUUAUUAACACACAUAAUUCUCGAUUUAUUUGACAAUAUUUGUAUAUAAAUUUUUUAAUAUCCACUUAAUUUUUUUCAAAUUAAAAAUAUAUUAAAGAAAUCUAUAUAUAAUUUUUUUAAUUAAACAAAUUUAACUUGCGAUGAAGCUUUGAUCGAAUAACUAAGUCCAUGUACUCAAAUGAGUGGCACUCGAAAGUUCACAUACCUUAUCUUCCAAGCAAGAAGAGACAAGAAAAGCAGUAGGUGAUGUUCUUUUCUCUGGCUGUAAAUGGAUGAAGGGAUUAAUACCAAAAACAUGGACAAAAUUUGAUGUGGACCCGCACCACUUUGAUUAUUCUUCAUUUUCUUCACUCUUCGUGUGUUUCAUUACUUGAUGAUUCAAAAGUUAUCUAUUUAAAAAAAUUAAAAUUUUUAAAAUAUUUUACAAUAUGGUUACAAUAUUUUUUUCUUAAGAAAAUAAAUUGAUGUCAUGUGUUAAUAACAUUUAUGGAUUUUUUCCAAUCAAAUUUAUUUUAAUUAAAAGGCUUCCUAUCAAGAACAUCAUUCCUAGUUAAAACAAAGUUUUUCCACGAACCCAUCUUGUGGAAAAAAUGCAUGAUGGUUGGAAGAGGAUGUCUCAUGGCCUCUCCUCAAGGAACAAUGCUUGAUGGCAACGGUCUCAGGGACCAAUAUGUAGAUGGAAAUGUUCUCAUGGACCCAUCUCGUAUAAAAAACGCAUCCGACUAAUUAGAAUUUUUUCCGUUUUUUAGAUGAACAUGACUUUCUUAAGCUCAUUGUAGUAUAUAUAACUUUUUUAAAAUAAAAAAAUAGAAAUAUUCGCAUCCGAUUAAAUACCUCCACAUAUAUAAUUCCAUUAAAAGUCAUGUCAUGUAUUAAUCUAAGUUUCAUUAUCCAUUAAUUAAUCGGUGGUUGCAUUUUAACACUUGAGAUUUAUUUUUUAUGCAUAAGCAUUUAAUUUAUUUUUUUGCAAAUUAAAUUGAAAUUAAAGCAUAUUAAUUAUCCAUUCCCAAGCUUACGGGGCAAUGGUCUCAUGGACCGAUCUCGUAGAAAAAACGCUUGAUAGUAAUGGUCUCGUGGACUAUCCCACCGGCCUAUAUCAUGGAAAAAAAUGCAGAUGGCAAUACAUAGUCUCACAGACCCGUGCAAAUUGUUAUCCAUCUUACUUGUUGAUUGUGUUACAUAAAAAUAGACUGACAAGUACUUUAGAAAGAAAAAGAAGAAGAUUUGUUGUCAUGACAAUAACAAGAAGUAUUUUAAAAAUAAUAUUAUAUGUGGUUCAUUUUAUCAACGAUACUCUUUGAUUUUGUCAUCACAAUCAAAAUUAAGGCAUGAUUUUUGAAGAUUUUAGGUAAAGAUGAUAAUUUUGAGUUAUGGUUUGUUUAAAUAAUGAAUUUGAGUUAUAAAUCUUGAUAUAUUAAUAAGUGAUAUGUGUGUAUUUAAAAUUAAAGUGCAUAAAUUUAAUAUUAAAAUUUAUUUAAAGUCUCUCUUACAAUCCAAAAUUUAUUUUUAAUUAAAGUGCAUAAAAUAAACAUAGUUAAAGUUCUUUCUUUCUCUUCCUCUCUGUCUCUGUGUAUGUUAGACGGAGUUUGCAUUAGAUAAUCAGUAAUAUUGUAUAUAUUCUUUUUGGAGAAGUAACUCAUUUUCACACCCUUGUUGUAGUUUUCCAUUCAUUUUCACACCCCAGUUGCCACCUGCUUUUCUUUCCAUUCACGCACACAGAUAGUGCAUCAAAGCACUACGACAAUAGUUGACUCCCAGUCAAUACGAUCAAGAUAAGGUAAUCAAAAACUAAUUUUACUUUUACUACUAUUUUAAUUUUUAAAAAAUAUUUUUAUAUUGUUUAAUGCAUUAAUUUCAAGAAAUAAAUUCCUUUUAUCUUAAAAUAUGAACUUGAAAAACCAAAUGUAUUUUAUAAUGAGGGAGAAAACUAGAAAAAAUGAUUAGCCUUCUCAUUGUAGUAAUAUAAAUCGUAUAUCUUUGACUCGAUUGAGUUGAAAUGUAAUAAAAACAAGUCAAGAAUACCUUUCCUAACAUAAAAACAAAAGUGUGUGUGUUUUUUAUUUGAAGUUUUUGUAUAUAAUACUAUAGCCACACAAUCCACAGGGAUAAGAUUUAUAAUUAUUCCGUGUUUAUUAUUAUUGAUAAUUUAUGUAUUUAAUUAUAUAUAUAUAUAUAUAUAUAUAUAUAUAUGAUAGUGAGAUGACACCAUGCAAGUAGGCUGCAAGUAGGCUACUAAAUGAUUCUAAAUUAUGACAAGAUAAGUACAAUUAUAAAGCUAAAAAGAUCUUACGCGGAAUCAUACACGAAUGUUCGAUAAUACUACAACAAUUUUUAUUUUUUAUUUUUUCAUAAAUUAGAUAAUUAGUAUGCAAAAUAUAAUUAAAUGCAAAUAGACUAAGUGCUAAACAAUAAAAUAAAAUAAUAUUCAAAGGUUUCCGUAGUGAAGUUGUGGUCAAAUAUCUAGUCUAUGUACUAAAAUGAGUGGCACUCAAAGAUUCAUAUACCUUAUUUUCUAGGCAAAAAGAGCUAAGGAAAGCAGUAAGUGAUGUUCUUUUCUUUGGUUGUAAAUGGAUGAAGAGAUUAAUACCAAAAACAUGGACAAAAAUUUAUGUGGACCCACACCAGUUUGAUUAUUCUUCUCUUUCUUCACUUUUUCUGUGUUUCACUACUUGAUGAUUCAUAAGUUAUCUAUUUAAAAAAAAAUUAAUUUAUUCAGUUUUUUAAAUUAAAAUAAAAUAUACCUACCAUUCUUAGAUGUGACAUAAUGAAAUUAAAAACCAUAGCUUUUAGAGCCCCAAGUGCACAGCCCCAUCUCGUGGAAAAAAUUGCUUGAUGACAAUGGUAUCACUAACCCAUCAUCUAGUGGUGGAUAAUUUGUUUCAUGUCCUCUCCAUCAAAAUCCUUUUUGUUUUGAAAAGGAAUAUAUAUAUAUAUAUUAGUUUUCAAGAAACAUACCACAAGAUUUAAAAAUAUUUUAUAUUUCAUUAAAAUGAAUAAAUAAAUUACUUAUAUGGUUACAAUAUUUUUUUUCUUAAGAAAAUAAAUUGAUUUCAUGUGUUAAUAACAUUUAAGGAUAUUUUCCAAUCAAAUUUAUUUUAAUUAAAACGUUUGCAAUCAAUAACAACAUUCCCAAUUAAACCAAAGUUUUUCCACGAACCCAUCUCGUGGAAACAAUGCAUGAUGGUUGGAAGAGGAUGUCUCACAGCCUCUCUUCGAGGAAAAAUACAUGAUGGCAACGGUCUCAAGGAAAUGGUCUCACGAACUCAUUAAUGCAUUUAUAGUGAUAUUUUUAUUGUUAGAAACAUACAAUAGCUUAGGGAAUUUUAUCAAGGAACAAAGAUAUUUUCAGAGAAUAACAUUUAUAAUGAUACUUUUAUGCCAUUCAAUUUUUUCUUCUUUUUAGUCUAUGAUCCUGAUAAACAUGACUUUCUUAAGUUAGUUGUAGCAUAUAGAAUUUUUUUUAAUAAAAAAAAUAGAAAUAUAAUUCGCAUAUGAGUAAAUACCUUCACAAAUUAAUAUAAUAGGUUUUAAUAUUUACUUUUAAUAUUUAUAAAAUGAAAAAUAUUAAGAGUUGAUUAAUUUGUAUAGCUCCAUUUGUAUAUCAUUCUAUUUUUAUUUUCUUGCAAAGAAAAACCUCGUUUUGCGUAACUGUUCCUAUGUCUUUUUAUUAUUGAUGUAUGUUUGACAUUUUUAAUAUCUUAGAAGAGCACACAUAAACGUUUACGAGGAUUCCAUGGGAGGCUACUGAUUUUUGCUCUCCAUGAGAAGAGCAUCAUGGAACUUCUAACUGAGCAUUGAAUGUCAUAAUGAGAAAGAUUGGCAGUUGCACACCCAAGAGAAUGCUUUUUUUAUCUUUCUUUUUUUUCCCAAGAUAAGGUAAUUAGCUGUUGUGUGUUUUUACUUUUAGCAUUCUUUUUAUUAUUAUUAUUAACGUGAGUGUCUGGACAGCUUGCGCGCAACUUGACUAAUCCCACAAGCUCUAAAGUUAACGAUUAUGUAAGUUUCUAGUGGCUUUGAGGUUUAUAAAACUUGAACCGGUAACUUUUAGAAAGCAAAUCUAGAACUUGAUUAAUUGAGUACACCCUCAGAAUUGCUUUUAACAAUUUUUUAGAUUGUCUUGUGGUGGUACUCCAAGAUUCCGGAGGACCACCUGUAUGGAUAAGGAAAUCACUGCAUGGUUGUGUUUAAAAAUCAAAAUGGCAUACAACAAGUCAAGCAUCAAUUACUCAAGAUUUGUGGAAGAUAUGAUACAAGAGAUAAGAAAAUGAUUGCUAUUAUCCACAAUUUCUUUGCGGAGUUUCCAUUAGAUAAUCAAUAAUGUAUACAUAUUUUUUUGGAGAAGUAACUCAUUUUCACACCCUCAGAUGCCAAACAUUAACAUCCCUUUCUCUUCUCUUCUCUUCUCCUCUUUUCUUCUUUUCUUUUCUUGUUUUUUUAAUUAACAUAUUUUUAUGAAUUUGUUUAUCUUCUUAGCUUCACUAGCAACUACAUUAAGAUAAAAUUUUUAUUUUUUCUUCUUUUUUGUGUUCUUUUUCAUUAUAUUUGUUCUUUUAUUUAUUUAUUUUUUAUUUUUUUCUGUUCUUAAUAAUUUUAUAAAUGUUGAUGUAGGAUUUGUUUUUCACGUGAGAUCAAUUUUUAGUUGAUUUAUUUAUAGGAUUUUUAAAUAAAUUUUAAUUAUUUAAUUAUUUUUCUAGUUUUGUUAAAUAGAUUUUUUUUUUAAAUUUUUUUUUUAAAUAGUCACUGACAGAAUUGCAUACGGUAUGUUUGUCGAUUACAUGACAAGCUUCCCGAGGAAAUUACCAAUGAAAUGAAGUAAAUAAAUUUUUUUUAGCCUGUUUUACUUAUUAGUAAAUCUAUCAGUGAUAAUAUUUUUUUAUUGCUAACAAACAAAAAAUUACCAAUAAAAAAUUCAUGAAUGGAACAUUUCUGUUUGUGAUCCCAUCAAUAAUUAAUUUACCUAGAAAAUUAAAUAAUAAAUCAAGAGGGUGAGCCUUUCCUUAACGAAUAUCCUCAAUGGCCUCUGGGGUCGAACCAAAUCCUGUGGCCACGAUUUAUUGUUAGCACGUGUUUGCAAUUUGCAACAUAUAUUUUGAUGAGCUACUUGUAGAGUAAGGUGCUGUUUUUGUUUCUAGCUUUAGGUGAUUGCACCAAACAUGGACUGAACAAAAGGGACAUCCAUUGGUGGAGAAAUUGGUUCCAGUUCCUUUUGAUACAUUUAACCAGUUUUGUAUUCUUGCUCACUUUUCAAUUUGGUUUCGGUAUCGUGUUUUGUUAUUAUUACUUACUGCUGCUGUUUUGAAUUUACUACAACAAUUUUUUUAUUUUAUUUUAUUUAUAUAAAUUGGAUAAUUAGUAACCAAAAUAUAAUUAAAUGCAAAUAUACUAAGUGCUAAACAAUAAAUUAAAAUAGUAUUCAAAUCCUAGAAUAUUCCAAAAAAAAUAUAUAUAUAUUCAAAUCUCAAAACAUGAAACCCUAAAUUAUUACGAGAGAAGUAUAAUUAUAAAGUCAUGAAAACAAUCUUACGAAUGUCUACAAUAUUUUUAUUUAUUUAUUUAUUUUAUAAAUUGAAUAAUUAGUAACCAAAAUAUAAUUAAAUACAAAUAGACUAAAGGUUGAACUGAACAAUAAAAUAAAAGCCGAACUGCACAAGAUAAUAUUCAAAUCUAUAUUAUCAACAAACACACCAUAAAGGCCGAAGUGUCAGACUUUGUCACUUUUAGGUUAAUUCCGUUGGAUCAUGUUGAAUUGUCAACAAUGGUGCGAGGUACUCUAGGAUACUUAAACUUUAGUACUUGCACACAAGCCAACUGACGGACAAAAGUGAUGUUUACAGUUUUGGAGUGGUUCUUGUGGAACUACUAACUGGGAUCGAUGAAGGCAAUUUCCUUCGAUAAGCUUGAGGGCCUUUAAGUGCUAAAUAAUAAAAUAAAAUAAUAUUCAAAUCCAAGAAUAUUCCAAAAAAAUAAUAUUCAAAUCCAAGAAUAUUCCAAAAAGAAAUAAAAUAUAUAUUCAAAUCUCCAAACAUGAACCUGCACACAAGAUAUGCAGAUAAAGUCAAGGAAAUUAAAUGGCCAAAGUGUAGUAUAAAUAGGACCUCUAUGGUUGCCCAAAGGCACAUAACAAACAACAAUAUUCUACGUAGUAGUUCAUAGAAUAUUAUCUAAGAUGAUGAUGAAAAGAAUUGGGGCUUGGAUGCUGCUAGCAUUAUUGACUCUGGUUGGCGAAUGGGCUGGUCGUUGUUAUGGAUGUUUGGAGGAGGAGAGGGUUGGUCUCUUGGAGAUCCAAUCUUUGAUCGACCCAGAUGGCCUUUACUCGAGAGAUUGGGUGGACGGUAGUAAUUGUUGUGAGUGGGGGUGGAUCGAGUGUGAUAACACUACAAGGCGAGUGAUCCAACUCUCUCUUGGCGAAGUAAGGGAUUUCCGCUUGGGCGAUUGGGUUCUCAACGCAUCGUUGUUUCAGCCUUUUAAAGAAUUGCAAAGUCUUGAAUUGGAAGAUACUGGAUUGGUUGGUUGCAUGGAGAAUGAAGGUUAGUUCAAUGUUUCUGCACUUAAUUAUAAUCAUAAAAUAAAUGAAGGUUGGUUGGUGUUUAAUGUCAAUUAUCUUGCUUUGAUGAUUCUCUUCCAGGCUUCGAAGUCCUAUCAUCAAAACUGAGGGAACUUGACCUAUAUUAUAACCGAUUUAAUAAUGAUAAAAGCAUUUUGUCAUGUUUCAAUGGUAACCUUUCCACUCUCAAGUCUUUGGAUCUAUCAUAUAAUCAGUUGACAGAUGGAUCAGGUAGCUUCUAUGGUAACCUUUUAAUUAUUUAGCUUCGAAACCUUUUCUGUUCUUCUUCCAAUAUGCUUUUGAGGAACAUCAUGCAGGUCUAAAAGUCUUGUCAUCAAGGUUGAAAAAGCUGGAGAACCUUGAUCUAAGUGACAAUCAAUACAACGAUAGCAUUUUUCCAUCUCUUACUGGAUUUUCAUCCCUCAAGUCUUUGGAUCUAUCGGCUAAUGAGUUGACAGGAUCAGGUAUAACACACAGUUUCUACCUAAAUGCUUCACAUGACAUUCUCUUAAUUAUAUUGUUUCCUUAUCAACAAAAAUGAGGACUUUAUAUCUAUUUAAUAAAAACUAUCAACAAAACUCUCUAAUACAAAUCACUAGACAGCCAACGAGAGACUGCCAAUUUCUUUAUUAGAAAAACUCUUGAACUGUUUUAUCAAUGAAGACCACAACAUAAAACCCACAUAUUUGAUAUUUAAUUCUUGUUUGUAGCCAUUUAUUAUUUCCUCUCUUUUUAAUUAUGGUUUUAUAUUAUUUUGGACCUUUUUUAAAUCACAAUAUUAUUCAGUAGUGGAGGAUAUAUUGCCUUAUGGUCGUGGUGAAUGGUGAAAUAUUUGGACUUUGAAAAAUAAAACGUGAAAAAGUUUAUAGUUCUUUAAUGCCAUGGAUAAAAUUGGGAAACUUGCUAGAAAACAGAGGCAGUUAGGAAAAAAUUAUAAUGACUAAAUUAGUAACAGCUAAGCAUCUUACUAACUAAAUAGAUAGAGGAAUUAAGUUAUGAUUAUUAUUCUUGUUUAACUAUUAUUAUUCUUGUUUUAAUUACCGAUGAGGUCUUAAUUACAAGUUUCUUUAUCAUAACUUAGCUUCCAUCUUUUUAUGUAUAAUUUGAGAAUCAUAUAUCAAUUGAACAACAGCAUCUCAUCAAUUCUAAUUAUCUUUAGUUUCUAUAUAUUAUGCAUAUCGUGAGCUCAUAAUUAUGACUUACUCUUAGAAACAACUCUCUUGCAGGUUUUGAGAUCAUAUCAUCACAUUUGGAGAAACUCGAGAACCUGGACCUCAGCUAUAAUAUAUUCAACGACAGCAUUUUCUCACAUCUGCGUGGACUUUCUUCUCUCAAGUCUUUACAUUUAUCAGGCAAUAUGUUGCUAGGAUCAACAACUGUAAAUGGUAAAGUUGUGAAAUCUCUGGAUUUUUCAGGCAAUUUGUAGUUUAUAUCCAAAAAUCAUCUCACUAUAAAAGUACCAGUUCUUUAUCAUAGAUUUAAGAACUCGACCAAGAUAACACUUAAUUUCACUACUUACUUGAUUGCAUGUUUUCAAUUCUACACAUCAUAGGUUCAAGAAAGCUAGACUUCCUGCAGUCAUUGCCAUCCCUGAAGACCCUUUCUCUCAAGGAUACUAAUUUAAGUCAAGGUUAAUCAUAGUUUAGUUUCUUAAAAUCAUAAUUAAGAAUAUUGAAUGGAAUGGCCAUUCUGUACCACCACUAUUUUCAUCAUAUCUUUUUUCUUCUUCUUCUUCUUUUCACAGGGACUUUCUUCAAUUCUAGCACCCUUGAAGAAUUGCAUCUAGAUAAUACUUCUCUCCCAAUAAACUUUCUCCAGAACAUUGGAGCAUUGCCUACUCUUAAAGUUUUGUCUGUUGCUGAAUGUGACCUCCAUGGCACCUUACCCGCUCAAGGUAAAUUAACAACUCUCCAUUCGCCUAUAAUUACAUCAUUAAUAAAAGAUUCUUUCAACAUUGUUUUGACUGUUUCGAGAUAAAUUAUACAGGUUGGUGUGAAUUGAAGAAUCUGAAGCAGUUAGAUCUCGCUGAAAAUAAUUUAGGAGGUUCACUCCCAGAUUAUUUGGGGAACUUGUCAUCUCUACAACUAUUAGAUGUUUCUGGUAACCAGUUUACUGGAAAUAUUGCCUCUAGUCCUCUUACCAACCUCGUAUCCCUUGAAUUCCUCUCACUAUCAAAUAACCUCUUUGAAGUUCCCAUUUCAAUGAAGCCUUUUAUGAACCACUCAAGCCUCAAGUUCUUCACCAGUGAGAACAACAGACUUGUAACAGAACCUCCAACCUUUGAUAAUUUGAUUCCAAAGUUCCAACUAGUCUUUUUCCGCUUGUCAAAAACAACGGAAGCACUUAAUGUAGAAAUUCCUAACUUCCUCUAUAACCAAUACGACUUAAGAGUCCUUGAUCUCUCCCACAACAACAUCACCGGAAUGUUUCCAUCGUGGUUGCUUAAGAACAAUACACAAAUGGAGAAACUAUAUCUGAGCGAGAACUCCUUUGUUGGUACUUUGCAAUUGCUAGAUCACCCAUAUCCGAAUAUGACCGAAUUAGAUAUAUCCAACAACAACAUGAACGGUCAAAUUCCAAAAGAUAUUUGUUUGAUCUUUCCAAAUAUGUUGAUCUUAUGGAUGGCUAAGAAUAGAUUCACAGGUUAUAUUCCUUCUUGUUUAGAAAAUAUUAGCUCUCUUUCAUUUUUAGAUUUAUCCAACAAUCAAUUGUCUACAGUAAAACUAGAACAACUAAAAACAAUAGCGGUUCUCAAGCUAUCAAACAACAAUUUGGGUGGGCAAUUACCGACCUCGGUGUUCAAUUCUUCUAGCCUGGCUUUUCUUUACCUACGUGGUAACAACUUUUGGGGUCAGAUAUCAGAUUUUCCAUUAUAUGGGUGGAAACCAUGGAUUGUAUUGGAUUUGAGUAACAAUCAAUUUUCAGGCAUGCUUCCAAGGUGGUUCGCCAAUUAUACGAGCCUUAACUCAAUUGAUUUGUCCAAAAAUCAUUUUAAGGGUCCGAUCCCAAGAGACUUUUGUAGGCUUGACUGGCUUCAAUAUUUGGACUUUUCUGAGAACAACUUGUCUGGAAAUAUACCAUCUUGUUUCAGUUCACCAAUUCUAAUCCAUGUGCAUCUAUCCGAAAAUAGAUUGAGCGGUCCUUUAACAUAUGGAUUUUAUAACAGCUCUUUCCUGGUUACGAUGGAUCUUCGAGAUAACAGCUUCAUCGACUCCAUUCCAAAUUGGAUUGGCAAUCUUUCAUCAUUGAGUGUUCUUCUUCUAAGGGAUAAUCACUUUGAUGGUGAGCUCCCUGUUCAGUUAUGCUUGUUAGAGCAAUUAAGCAUUUUGGAUGUUUCACAAAACCAGCUCUUUGGCCCACUACCCUCAUGUUUGGGCAAUCUUACUUCCAAGGAAAGUUCCCAUAAAGCGUUGGCGUAUCAAAGAGCUUAUUUUCCACUAGGGUCCAUAGAAAAAGCUUAUUACAAAAAAUGGGUCCACCACUAGUGGAUAGUAUUUCCAACUUGGAAAAUUAUGUUUGGCUUAACUUUACAGAAGAAGUGAUAGCAUUUACAACUAAAAAUAUGCAUUAUGGUUACAAGGGGAAAAUUCUCAACUACAUGUCUGGUAUUGAUCUCUCCAAUAACAACUUUGGAGGAGCAAUCCCACCAGAAUUUGGAAACUUAAGUGAGAUACUGUCAUUAAACUUGUCACACAACAAUCUCACUGGAUCUAUCCCUGCAACAUUCUCAAACCUAAAGCAUAUUGAGAGUUUGGAUCUUUCUUACAACAACUUGAAUGGUGCCAUCCCUCCACAACUUACUGAAAUUACCACACUGGAAGUUUUUAGUGUGGCGCACAAUAACUUGUCAGGCAAGACACCCGAGAGAAAAUUUCAGUUUGGGACCUUCGAUGCAAGCUGUUACAAAGGAAAUCCUUUCUUGUGUGGACCUCCAUUGCAAAACAAUUGUAGCGAGGAAGUGGUGCCAUCGCAGCCAAUGCCUAAUGAUGAACAAGGAGAUGAUGGUUUCAUAGACAUGGAGUUCUUCUACAUCAGUUUCGGUGUAUGUUACACAGUUGUGGUGAUGACAAUUGCAGCAGUUCUCUACAUCAAUCCAUAUUGGCGACGCAGGUGGUUGUACUUCAUCGAAGACUGCAUAGAUACUUGCUACUAUUUUGUGGUGGCUAGUUUUCGCAAGUUCUCCAACUUCAUAAGGUGAAUUUGUUACUGGGGAGAUGGGGAGACGGUCGUUUCUGGUUUGUCAUGAUUGUUUGUUUAGCUAUUGGGUGCUUAAUUUUGUAAUGUAUUGUCUCUGCAUCAAAUAUAUAAGUCGGACUUCUCAUUCCUGAACCAUUAGGAAGGGAGCUGAUUUGGAUUUGCCAUUGACUAUUUGUCCUGUAUGUCUAGCUAUUGGGUUCUUCAUUUGUAGUGUACUGUCUCUAAGCUCAACCUUUCUAUUUGAAUAGUUAUUUGGGCUAAAUAUAUAAGCUGGACUUGUCAUUCAUAAAUCAUUAGGAAGGGAACUGAUUUGGAUUGGUCAUUGACUCGGCUGUGAUUACUCUUUCAACUCUCAAGACUUGUCUGAAAAUAAAUUGCCAAAACCACUACUAAAGUAUAAACAAAAUAUUCUAUGCCUUUGUUUCAAGGGCGACCCCACCUCAGUUAUUCAAUCAAAGCAUUGAAAUCGGAGCAAGAAGAUCCACCUUCUUCAACAGCCUUCCUGGCCGUUUCUCCUAGCUUCUUUGCUCUGCUCCUCAUUUCCUCUGUUUCUUCACCCAUCAUAAUUUGAGUGAUUGCCUUCUCUACAGCUUCACUUUUAACAUGAUCUCCAUGCACUCUAAGCCAUUCCUCAACUCCAGUUUUUAAAACAUCAGUCACCAACUUUUCAUUAUAGAAUUGCUCCGCAAAUAUUGGUCUCCUAAGCACAAAAAAAUAAAAUUGUCCUUGUCAAACAUGCAGCUGUGACUUGAGACAUUCAGAAUUUCAACCUCAUUUUCUAUAAAAUUCAACAAUACUGGAUAUGGUCAUGAUUCAAUGGAAUAAUCCCCACUUAUUUUCUUGAGACCUUUUUCCAUUGAAAUCUUGCAAGACUGUGGCAUACAUGAACUCCAUCUAAUGAACAGUAAAUCAAAGAAAUUACCUUCUGAUAGAUCUCCUCUUGCCAAUCAGCGCCUUUUGCAUGUCCAGUCUGUGCUGUAGAAUCUAGGGAUGCUACAAAAAUUUCAAUGCAGACAACAAAAUGUUAGAAUUCAUGUAUUUUUGUGUGUUUUCCAUAUACAAGGGUAUUUCUGUAAUUUUAACACUAGCUGAAAGUUAUGAAAUAUUGCAAGUCUCAGUUUUAUUUUCCAUUUAGUAUUUAAUUAUUCCCAAAGUAUAGCGAGCUUCAUUAGGUUUUUCCUAUUCUAGAUAGGCUAUUAGUAUUUUCCUAUAUAGGAAUACAAGUCCUUUUUGUAUUAGGAACUUCAUCUAAAUGUUACGUAAUCAUAUAAAUGCAGAAUCAGAGGGUGAACAGCUGGUGCAAUGCACUGGAGGGUAUGAUGUGGUAACAAAUGCGUGUGUGAUUGCAAUGGUUUCAAUAGCAGUGGCAUUACUAAUGCCACAAGUGGCAGCAGUAGCACAUAAAGCUACCUAAAAGAGUAUUGCUGACUUGAACCAUUAUGAGAGGUGAACAGUUGGUGCACCGCACUGUAGGGCAUCGUGUGGUUACAAAUGCAUAUGUGAUUGCAAUAGUUCCAAUACCAGUGGCAUUUCUAAUGCCAUAAGGGGAAGCAGUGGCACAUAAAGCUACGAAAAAGAGCAUUACCUGGCAUUUGUCUCUGAGAAUUGACAAACAUAGUGGAGGGAAUCCCUUGUCCCAUUGAAUUCCCCAAUGAGUUCUGUGAAACACCAGGGAUACUCUGCAUGUUAGGAUUCUGGACAACAGUGUUGGGGAUAGUCUGGGUUACACCAGAGACAGGAGGCAGUGCCGCUUGUAAACCAGCAUAACUUUGAACUCCAUUAGAUGCCAUGCAAUUCUGCAUGUUCUGUGAUACCAACUGCUGAUGUGCUUGAGACUGAUCAGUGGACAAUAGGAUAGGGAGAAACAGCCCUUGAUUCUGAACUUCAGGGGGCAUACUAUGGGAUGCUGUUCAAGAUAAAAGGCAAAAGGGAAAAACAUGUCACAGAAAAAAAGAAGGCACUGAACAAGGAAGACAAAUGAAACAUCGGCAGUCCACACAUAAAGUUAUGAGCGAAAGAAUUGGGAUGGAUUUGAGUCAACCUGACAAUUUUCAGGGAUGGGGGAAGAAGAGGCGGCUGAAAACAAAAAAAUAAUAUGACAAUUUUCAGGGUGGGCGAAAGAAAAGGAGGAGGCAGAAAACAAAAACAAUCUGUAAUAUUCUUGCAUAACAUUCAUCAAUUACUCAACUUUUUGAUUAAAGCAUGCCAUACACAUAGAAAUAUGUUGCAAUAAAACGCAAAAGAGUUUGAUAACAAUGCGACAAACAAAACAAAAGGUAAGAUGUUUAGAAAUUCAAUGCUCGGCAGCAUUAUUAUAUAUGAAAAAAGGAUCAAAUACUUUCUCUCGGAAGAAAAGCAAGAAAGUGACGUCUUACCUCCUCAACAGGAAAAUCUUUAAAAUCUACCAUCUCAAUCAUAAAAUUUAAAAUACCAUGUAUCACAGUCCUUGUUGCUGAACAAGUUAAGGAUGAAACACUUCACAUGCAUUAAAGAAUUAGCAUCAUGGAGGUGAUCAUGAGAUUUUUCCAGCAAGGUGAUAUACAUAGCAAUAUGCAGCAAUAAAAUGUAAACGAGUUUGAUAACAAUGUGAGAAGAAAAACAAAAGGUAAGAUUAGAAAUUCAAUGCUCGGCUGCAUUAUAACCUGCUGGAUCCAUGGGGGCAGUGGGCAUGGCGUUUUGAGACCUAAUCUCCAUUGAAAGCAUCUCCAGAGAUAUUUUACGCAGAUAAUCAUACUGAAAUCAGAUAUUAAUAACAAAACAUUAGAUCUCAGAUCAAUCCAUGUUACAAGAGGAGGAAAAUGGAUAUAUGCUCUAUCAUUUCAUCUUUUGUGAGGAUAUACUUCUGUUUCCUCUCUUUUUAUUUAAUUAUUUAUGUAUUGAUUUGCUAUUUUCUUUUUGCACACUUCCCUUGUACUUGAACUUGUUCACUCUAAAUAAAACACUUGUCAAGAGAAUUAACAAAAAGAUGCGAACUCCCAAUCAGCCUUGCAUACAGAGUGAACGGUGAGGAAGUGUAAGCACACUACACACACAUUUGUACAUGCAUAAAUGCAUGUGUAUAUUCAUGUCAAGAGAAUAUCAUAAUUAUUGAACCUCGCAUUAGGCAAAUACCUGAUUGGUGGCGUAGUAUAAAUCUUUUACUCAAAAUGUAUGGCAAAUUUCUUGAGUUCUUGUAAUCCCUCCUGACCAGAAAGAAAAAGCUGCCUCUUUAUUGUCUCCAUUCUGCACAUGCAAAUCAUUACGUUUCAUUUUUAAUGACCAGGCAAGUAUAGAGAAGUUAGCAACAGUGAGCAAGAACCCUGAAUUCAUAAACCACACCAAUAUCAGAAAUGUGUGGAAUCAUAGCAAAAAGUAAAAACAAAUAAUGAGAUAAGCAAGAGUUGGUCAAGUAUUAUAAGCCAUCAAAAUACAUAGACAUCCUUUCCCUGUAUUAUUCCAGAGGUACAGAUUAUAGGAGUUUACUUGGCCACCCUUCUGUCUAAAAAUUCUAGCUCCGAGCUUCAUAUAUUAGUGACUUGGUUGCAAAGCAGGGGAGACUGUGAAAACAUUACAAUAGCAUUUACUCUGAGUGACUUCUAUGCAUGUUAAUUGACAAAGAAAAGAAGAGAAAUCCUUUCAAUAUAUGAAAAUGCAAUGAGUUAACCUUAUCUCACACUGCAAUAUAUACUCUACAGUAUUCAUUGACCAAUGCAAGUGCCAGCAGAAGCUGUCUAUAUGAUUUUGGAUGUAGAGAGGUCAACAAAACAUUCAACUUUAUGCUGAGAAUCUAGGAAACCAUCCACCAUUGUGGCUAAUUGAUUUUUGUCUACUGCUUUUCAACUUUAAGAUCACUAUCAUUUCAACCCUGUAGAAGUUAAAACAAAUAGAAGGCCCAAAUCCAACACCAUUCAUUUAAGUUCAGUUGCAACUCGAGUUUUAAAUUGAAACACGUAUGCUCAUAGCAAUAGAUUAACCUUGAAAUUAAAAGCGGAUCAAGCUUCAUGCAGCCAUCCAAGAGGUCAUCAUCAAAAGAAGAGAUUACACAAGAAAUUCCAACAAAAAUUACUUCCCAGCACUUUAUGUUCCCUCAAGUUUGCUUCUCGUGAGAAACACAUGAAAAGAUGAAACAAAAAAAAAAAAAAAGAGGUGUGUGAUACUUGAUGUUGCCUCAUGGCAAUCCUGCCGAUUUUAAUUAACCCUUUGUCAUUCUCCUUUUCUUUCAUAUAAAUAAAAAAUUUACUAUUUUGCAGCACUUGCACAUACAUUUUGUCGACUAUUCUUUUCCGUGAGUCAGGCCGCAAUUGAAUUCUCCAAUCACCCGUGUCCAUGACAGGUUCUCCGCCUGGGACAGUGGGCCAACCAAAAAGAAAAAAAUAAUAAUAUUGCAUGUUAGAAUAGACCCUAAAAAGAAAGUCAGGAACGGCAAGAAGAGCAAAAGCACAUCAAGAACAUGAAAAAUGGAAUAUCAGUUUAUUCAGACUAGAAUAGAUUUAAAAAGAACUUCCGUCUAAUAUCAUGUACUUUAUUAAAGAAUUCAGCCAGAUAUGGAUGCAUAACAAAUAUACAAAACCAUUCAGGUCAAGGUGCUAGGAUCCUGGGUAUUCGGCCAUUCAAAGCAAAGAAUCUUCAUGGUGCUUCUAAACCAAAGAAGCAUUCCCUUCUAAGCAAAUACUUACUGUCAAACCCCACUCCCCUUCCCCUCCUGUUCUUGUUAUUUACUUCUCUGAAAGAAUAAAUAUUGUAGGGAGCAAAUAGUGUAAAUAGAAAGAGGAAAAUACCACAUCCCCAAAAGAAUAAAGAUAUAAGAAGAAGGCAAAACAAAGUCAUAAAACGAGGCCUUUCAAUUCCCAAUGAAUAUCAGCAGACUAAAUACCACAGCACAAAUAGAAGAUGAAGAGGCCAGAAACACUAAUCCAUCCCUAAGAGAUUGUCUAGGAUGUUUUAGUCUAGGAAAAAGACAAAGAAAACAACGAGCAUUAACAAUGAAUAUUUCAAGUUAUCAUCAACUCUAAAGAGCAGACUGAUAAGAAUCAACUUCACAAAUUUACAGGCACAUCUUUCUUUGAAUAGACAACACAAUAACCCUGACCAUACUAAAUGCUCCACCCACGAGCUGAUUGCACCUUUCUUCGAGUUGCGUUCACGAGCAGCGAUUUCAUCGAUCCGAUUAUAUAUCUUUUUAAUUUACUUAUUAAAAUCGAAUUUAUCUCUCUGGAUAAGAAUUUCAGUUAAAUAAAUGAAAACCCAGACAUAAAUUUUAAAAAUUAAAAACAUGAUAGAAAAGGAAGCACCUGGUGGAGAUUUGAAGCCUUAUUGGUUGAGGCGGCGGCUUCCUAGAGUGGAGGAGGGAAAGAGAGAGGGCUCAGGUGGGGAGAGGUGAAGAAUGUCGGACCAAAGUGAACAGAGCUUGACAGAUGACUUUAUUCUUUUCCAAAUUCACUAACAAACUUAAAUAAUUGUAUUCUGGUGUUGCUUCACUGUUCAUAACUAACAAACUAAAAGAAUUAUAUAUAUAUAUAUAUAUAUAAAAAAAAAAAAAACUAUGAGUGCUCAUUAAAACACGGUGCACUGUGUGUGAAUCCAGUGGCUUCACAGUCUUUACCGCGCUCCGUCCCUGUUUUUCGCGUUUCUUCUCGCGCGGUGGGUGUUCCCGCACUUUCUUCUCGGCUGCUGAGGCUCCCUGGCGUCUUUUCAUCGACUUUUGUCUGGUGCAUGUUCAGAUUGAGGCGGUUUGGCUGGUGCUAGGCGCGCGAGGAGAUGUCAGCCGACGGGUAAUCACCUGCAUCGGCUGGGAUGGCUUCAUUGAAGCUGUCCUCUUGGUCUGUGGCGGGCCUUCUCAUUAAUGAAAAAAUUAUUCUGAGACAUUGUUUUUGUUUUUAUAAACUCGUUUCUAUUUUAUUUUUUUUUAUCAAAAUUUUUAUAGGAAACACCAUAUAAAUUCUGGUUCGCUGUUUGUUGUUCUUGGUUAUGUUAUCAAAAAUACAAUAUUAAGUUAAUUAAAAAAUGAUGUUACAAUUACAUUACUAGCAUCAAAGAGGCGAUGAUAAAUUGUUUUAAAGCUAGAAAAUUGAUCAUUAUCUCUAUCUAUUUUUUAUUUUCGUUAUUGAUUUGUAUGUAUGUUUUAUAUGCUGACAUAGAUUGCAAAAAAGUUGUUUAAUUUUAGUAGGAAAAGUAAAGUAUAUAUAGUUUCUGUUAAAUUCCAUGACUUGUUAAAUUAUUUGUUGUGUGCUAUCUUUAUACUUGUUGCAUUGAUUCUACGGGGAAAGAAAUUUUAUGUUGCAUGGUAUUUUCUUUGUUGUUGGAUUGAUAUGAAAAAAUAAAUAAAACAAAAGAUUGGGAAAAAAAAGUUGCAUAUUUGGAUAAUAAUUACCGGUGAAAUAAUAUAUUAUUGGUUAGUAAAAGAAUACAAUACUCAAUUACGAUUAAUACUUGAGGUGUGAUGUAAAUUUAUUAAAUCACGUUAAAAAUCGAGUUUACAAUCUCUCUUUUCUUAUCUAUUUACUUUAAGCAUUUUAAUUAUAUUGUUUAUUAUUAUAUUAUAUGUGUUUAGUAUGUUUAUUUGUAUUAUUUGACAUAAUUAGUGUAACACCUAAUUCAUUUCCAUUAGAUGUUAUUGUUGUUUUAAUCCUAGAAUAUCAUAAGUAUCAAUUAGAUUUGUUUUUAUCAUAACUUUAGAAAAGUGCAUAAUGUUUUCUUAUGUUGAUGUCAAAAGAAAAAUAUUUAUAAUUAUUUGUAUUGUUAUAGUUUCUAUUGAAAAUUACAUUGUAUCUCGUAGAAAAACAAAUAAAUAAAUACAGAAUUGCAAAGUUAAAUUGUUUUUUCACAAAAUUAGUGUGUUAAAUUUUUGUGAUUAAUUAUAAUUAAUAUUAUUUGAGAUUAUAUAAGUAUGAUAUAUAAUUGCAAAGUUAAUUGAGAUAAUAGAUUGAUAAACCUAUUGAUAAUAAUUUCAAUAUACUUGUUAAUGUGGUAAUCUUUGUGGUUUAGAUGGCAAACCUAAUUCCUCAACAUUCUUCAUAUGGGGUAAAAACCAAAAUAAUUUGAGUGGUGUGAACUUAAAUAUAAAGCAUGAUGAAACAAUAAUCCUUCCAUCAUCAAGCCUUGUUAUGACAGCAAAGCUCCACAAAACCAUGAUUUCUUAGCAUAUAAUUGAGAAUGUUGAUAAGAAAGCUACUAAGCUUGUUGUAGUUGUGUUAGAAGUAAACUUCAUGGAAAAUCCUAAUAGUGGUGGAUUGUUAUUGGAGUUAUCUAUCAUGUAUGUUUUGAUAUUUUUUUUAUUUUAGUAUGCAACAACUACUAAUGGAGAAUAAUUAUUCUUGGAUAACUCCUUAGUGAUUGUUUGAGAGUGUGGUAACGAUUGCGUUACAAAGUUUUUUCGUUUGAAAAUACAUUAAAAUAAUUUUUUUAAUUUAUUUUUGACAUUAGUAUAUCAAAACUAUUCAAGAACACAAAAAAAUUAAUUUGAAGCAAAAAUAAAUUUUUAAAAAAUAGCAAAACAACAAUUUAACUAUAAUGGCAAACAAGCCUUUAAUAUGCAAAAUCCUAGACCACAAAAAAGGUGAUGUUAAGGAUGACAUAGGAAAGAGUGGACUCUGAACAAUAUAGUUAAUGCUUCUAAUAUUCAAAAGAGUAUUGUUUGUGGCUCACUAUUAAGCAAAUACAAGUUUAAGUUAGUUUUCUAAUCUAAUAAAUGUAUCCUCACCAAGAGUGGGAUGGUUGUGGGGAAGGUAUAUUCAUGUAAUGAGUUAUUUAAGCUCAAUGUGAUGACUAUUGUACUAAAAAGCCAAAAAAAAAUAUGAACAUUCCUUCUUCUUUUUUUAAUUGGUUAGAGCCUUCUAAUCUAUUCUAUAGAUAGAAGUAGCGAGCCUCUAGAGUUAAUUCACAUUAAUAUUUGUGAUUUAAAUUUAUACCAAUUAAAGGUAAUAAAAAUUAUGUUAUUAAAGUUAGAAGUUAUUCUACUUCUUUUCUUUAUUUAAAGUUGUGUUUGUUAAAACUCUACCUGAAAUAUAAUUGUUUACUUUUAAACUAUAAAGAUGUAACCUUUUGUCUUAAAAGUUAUGUUAAAAUUAAAUAUUAGAAUUACCUAUAAAAAGAGAUAAUUCUGACGUGAUUUUGAUAAUGAAGAAAACUUCUAGUCUUUUUAAAACUCUUCUCUUUUAUAUUUUUUCAACCAAAAUUCUUACAAAGAGUAACAUAAAAAUUUUAGUUCGCCGUUUAUUCUUGGUUAUGCUAUCAAGAAUAAGAGAUUGAAUAAGCUUGAAAAAUAAUAUUAUAAUUACAUUGCUAGCACCAAAGAGCAAGUAAUAAAUUGUUUUAUAAUAAUUUAUCGUCAAUCUAUUUAUUUUAAUUUGUAGCUAUCCGUACAAUAUAGAUCUCAUAGACCUAUAAAAAUUCAAAAUGGUAUUGAGAUUUCUAAAAUUAUAAGUGAAUAUGCGGACAAUGAUAAAAAAUUAUUUUUUAUGGAUGUUAAAGCCAUGAAUAUUUUAUAUUAUACAUUGGACAAAAGUAAGUUUGAUAGAAUUAUAUUAUAUAACAAUGCUUAGAGAUAUAUAGAUUGCGUUCCAAGUAACUCAUAAAGAAACUAAUAAGUUAAAAAAUCUGAAAUAUGAAUUGUUCAAAAUGUUUGGUGACUUCAUCGCUAAAAUGUUUAUUAUUAAUAGUUUAUUAGUUUGGAUGUUUUUAGUAAUGCUGAAAUUAUAGAGAAUUGAUCAUCAAGUUGAUUUUUAUAUAUGCAUAGAAAUCAGAUCAUUAUAAAUUUAAUAAACUAUUUAAAGUGUUCCAAUGGAAAGAAAAUGGGUGUUGUGAAUUUGAGUCUGCAUUUUUCUCUACCUUCUUUUUGGUGUUUUUUGUUCGUCCGUUCCUGAAAAUUUACGCUCAGUUUUUGCCUUCUACCUGCUGCUUAGUUUAGGGUAUUAAAUUUCUUUGUUUCUUCGGAAGAUGCCUUACUCUUGGUUGAUUGCCUUUCUGUUUCCAAGAUAAAUAAGUGAAUUAGUUGCAAAACAGGGGAAUCUCUGUAAGAACAUUACAAUAGCAUUUACUCUGAGUAAGAAAACUUUUAUACAUGCACUGUAAUUGACAAUGAGUUAACUUUGUGGAUUCCGUAGCACCGACUACAUCGCAGGCCAUGCCUGAUAAUCAAAUUCAAGCUGUUCUGACUUCGGUUGUUGGAAAGCAAAGUUAACAUAAGUGAAAAAAAAUGUUUCUAUUCCAAUUCUUCUGUGUCAAUGCAUGGCUGUGGGGUAGUUGGGGGUGGGGGGGGGGUAAUUAGUGCAGAUGAUACAGUGACAAGCAAUGCUGAUGGGGAAAACAAAUUAAUCAAAAGCUCAGCUGUGGGGGUUUAUGAAUCAUGUGUGAGCAAAUAAAUCAGAAAAAAAUUACAAAGACAACUUACCUGCUGUAACUUGGUAGCAAUUCUCUGGUACAUUUCAUUUAUUUCAGGCAAAUACGUUUCCUUCAUAACUUUGAUCUAGGAAGUACAUAUAACCAGCAAAACAUUAUCAAUCAUAUGCUUGAUUUCUUCAGGUGGCAGAGUCAGAAAGCAACUUAAGCAAACUUGAGAGAAUUGAUAGAUAAAUAAAUAAAAUGGCAGAGGACAGCAUAUAUUGUUUGAGAUAAAAAUAGCAGAGUGGAAUCAAUGCUGAAAACUCAAUAGAGAAUAUAGUUAUUGAUUGCAUGCAAAGAUGCAAAGGAUUGUGUAGUUACCCCUUCAGACAAGAUUCAGGGAUUGGUCAAGUUCAGUUACUUUGUCUCACGGCAAACUACUCACCAUUGUUUUCUAUUGUUCUCACUCAAGUCAAUGGAUGUCACGACUUUGGUAAACACUUCUUAGCUUUAUAACUUUAGAUUUAUAAUCCUUAUAUCCUAAUUACAACCACUCCUAUUCCCGUUUUAGUACCCUCCCAGGCACAAAAAAAUUGACCUCAUCAAAUAUGCAGUUAUGAGUUGCAACUACAGCCAUUAAACGAUUCAGAAUAUCAACCUCGUUUUCUAUAAAAUUCAACAAUGCUGGACAUGGUCAUGAUUCAAUGGAUUAGGUCCACUUAUUUUCCUUUCUUCGAUUGUCACAUGUUUCAGAACAAAUUUGAUUGUAAUCUUGAAAAUAACUGUUCACUUAACCAAAUAUAACGAUGACUAUUCAGAAACAGUUCACUCUUGUUUUCAAGUCUGUCUAUUAUUGUAAGAAGUAUUGUCAAUUGGACUUAUUGGAAAUAAUAAAAUAAUAAUUCACCACACAAUAAAUGUAUGGAAAUACAGGGAAAAAAUUGAAAGGGAGAGAUUUGCAAUAGAAAAAAUUGUCGUGUCAGUACCAAGAAAAUAACCCUCUUGACCUAGAAAUCUGAAUAUUUACCUUUAAUCAUCUUAUCAGUAAUUUAUCGUUUCUUAGUUGCUGCAAUCAUGGAACUUACAAUGCUUCCUAACUAAUCACAACCAUAGCUGAAUAAAACUCCCUUGUACCAAAUUCCAGGAGACCUUUUCCAUUGAAAUCUUGCAAGACGAUGACAUACAUGAACAGUAAACUACAGAAAUUACCUUUUGGUAGAUCUCCUCUUGCCAAUCAGCACCAUUUGCAUGUCCAGUUUCUGCUGUAGAAUCUACACACACAUGUGUACAUGCAUAAAUCCACAAACUUAUGCAUGUGUAUAUUCAUGUCUAGAGAAUAUCGAAAUUAUUGAACCUAGCAUUAGCCGAAUACCUGAUUGGUGGCGGCAGUAUAAAUCUUUUCCUCAAACCGUACGGCAAUUUUCUUGAGUUCUUGUAAUCCCUCUUGACCAGAAAACGGAAGAUGCCUCUUUAAUGUCUCCAUUCUACACAUGUAAAACAUUACAUUUAAUUUUUAAUGACAAGGCAGGUAUAGAGAAGUUAGCAGCAGUGAGAAAGAACCGUGAACUCAUACACCACACCAAUAUCAGAAAUGUAUACUACGGAAUCAUUAGCAAAAAGUAAAAACAAAUAAUGAUAUAGCCGAGUGUCGAUCAAGUAAUAUAUGGCAUCAACAUACAGACAUCUAUUUUUACUUCCUUUCCCCGUAUUAUUCCAGAGGUACAGGGUAUACGAGUUCACUUGGCCACCCUUCUGUCUAAAAUUCUAGUUACGAGCUUCAUGGUUAAUUUUCUUGAACCGGAAGAACCUUCCAUUUAUGGCUAUGGCUAUGCUCCAAGAUAUACAAAUGAAUUAGUUGCAAACCAGGGGAACUUUGUGAAAACAUUACAAUAGAAUUUACUCUGAAUAAGAAAACCUUUAUACAUGCACUGUAAUUGACAAAGAAAAGAAGAGAAAUCCUUUUAAUUUAUGAAAAUGCAAUGAGGUAACCUUAUCUCAUGCUGCAAUAUAUACUCUACAGUGCUCAUUGGCUACUUUAAGUGCCAACAGUAGCUGUCUAUACGAAUUUGGAUGUAGAGAUAUCACCAAAACAUUCAACUUUAUACUGAGAAACUAGGAAACCAUGCACUAUUGUAGCUAAAUGAUUUUUGUCAGCUGCUUUUGUACUUUAAGAUCACUAUCAUUUCAACCCUGUAGAAGUUAAAGCAUAUAGAAGGCUCAAAUCCAACACUAUUCAUUUAAGUUCAGUUGCAACUCAAGGUUGAAAUUGAAACACCAAUGCUCAUAGCAAUAGAUUAACCUUGAAAUUUAAAGCGGACAAGCUUCAUGCAGUCAUCCUAGAGGUCAUCAUCAAAAGAAUAUGUUACACAAGAAGUUACUUCCCAGCACUUUUUAUUCCCUCAAGUCACUUCUUGUGAGAAACACGUGAAAAAUGAAAAAGACAAAAACAGAGGUGUAUGAUACUUGAGGUUGCCUCAUGGCAGUCCUGCUGAUUUUAAAUAACCUUUUUCCCUUCUCUUUUUCUUUCAUUUAAAUACAAGAUUUACUAUUUUGCAGCACUUGCACAUAUUAGGAAACAGAUACUUACAUUUUGUUGACUAUUCUUUGCCGUGAGUCAGGCUGCAAUCAAGUUCUCCAAUCACCUGUGUCCCUCACAGGUUCUCCACCUGGGGCAGUGGACCUCCAAUUAUUGGCAUCCAUGGGGUUUUGGCCAACCAAAAAAAUCACUUCUAUCACCAAAUUUUUUUUUAAUUAUAUUGCAUGUUAGAAUAGACCCUAAAAAGAAAGUCAGGAACAACAGAAAAGUAAGAGCACAUCAAAGUCAUGAAACUUGGAACAUCAGUUUAUUCAGACUUGAAUAGAUUUAAAAAGAACUUCCAUCUAAUAGCAUGUACUUUAUUAAAGAAUUCUACCAAAUAUGGAUGCAUAAAAUCUGAACAGCCAUAACAAAUAUACACGACCAUUCAAGGCAAGGUGCUAGGAUCUUGGGUAUUCAGGUAUACGGGUAUUAUAAGAGAUUUGGGCCUGAAUCUUCAUGGUGCUUCUAAAACCAAGGAAGCAAAAAACUAGCCAGCCAGUUCAUAACUUGCCGCACCAACAGAUGGUGAGUGUUGGUAAACCAAGCCAUAGAGAAACUCAUGGUGCUUCAAUUUUAACUUGAUGUUUUCUAGCAACACUCGUGAUGCAUCAUUGAUGCAAUGUUACAAUGACAAACUUGCAUUUGUAUUCAUUGUGGUUUUAGGUUCACAGAUUCUGAUCAAAUAGAUAUUUAAUGUUCCAAAAACAUUGUAUACGCAUUUAAAUGCUUUACUUCAAUAGAUAGAUUAAGUUAUCUUUCUAGAUAUCAGUAUAUCACAUCUUACCAAUUUAGAUUCAGCACAGGACCUUUUUCAAGUGCUUACCAAUUUUUACUCGCAACCAAAUACAUACCGUCAAACCCCAACACCCCCCCCCCCGGUUCUUGUUAUUUAUGUAUGAAUUAACUUUUCUGAAAGAAUAAAUGUUGUGUGGAGGAAAUAGUGUAAAUAGAAAGAGGAGAAUACCACAUCCCCAAAAGAAUAAAGAAAGAAGAAGAAAACAAAACAAAGUCAUAAAACAAGGCUUUUCAAUCCCCGAUGAAUAUCAGCAGUCUAAAUACCCCAGCAAAUAGAACAUGAAGAGAUUGUCUAGGAUGUUUUAAGCUAGGAAAAUGAAGAAAACGACAAGCAUUAACCAUGAAUAUUUCAUGUUAUCAUCAACUCUAAAGAGCAGACUGAUAAGAAUCAACUUAAUAACUCUUGUUGAAAUAAGAUUAAAUUUGCAGGCACAUCUUUCUUGGAAUAGACAACACAAUAACCCUGACCAUGCUCGACCUUGAGGUAAGUUAUAAAAUGUUCUUCCUAACUAGAUGCACAGGUGCGCCUUUGGGGUGAAGUGAACUAGGUCAUUUGUUUUGCACUUUCACAUGCUCUUAACUUUCAACUCAAUCAAUCACAAUACAGUCCUUGGUUAGGACUAACUGUCCUACUCAAGCUUUCACCUCAUACUCAAGACCAGCUGAGCAGUCCUAAAAAGAAAGAUAUAUCAUGUAGGGUUAUCAAGGCAGACCUAUUGUUUUUAUUUUUUUUCGCGUUAACAUGACCAAAUUAUAAAAUUUAAAGUUCUUUUCUUUCUUUCUUUUUUCCAUGUGUGAGCGAGCAUAAAACCCAAGGAUAUCGUAUUGUUGUUAAGAACACAAUAAUUUUGAAGAAUUCAGUAAAUUCCAAAAAAGAAGAAUCCACCAAACAGCUCAUUUUUUGGUUAUUACAAAAUCUGAAGCCUUCUUGGCAGCGGCGGUUUCCGAGAGGCGGAGGAGGGAGGGAGGGAGUGAGAGCUCGGGUGGGGAGAGGUGAGGAAUGCUGGGCCCAAGUGAAAUGGAUGACUUUAUUCUUUUCCAGAUUCCUUCUAAAAAAAUUAACGAGUAAACACUAGCUUGCUCGCUCGCUCGCACGCACGCACGCAUAUGAUAAUUAAAAUUUGAGUUAAAUUCUAUUUAACUAGUGUCUGUAUUUGUGUUAAACAAACAGAUUAAUCCCUCAAGUUCAUUUAAAUAACUAAUUGAUCCUUGAAUCACAUUUUACCGUUAAGUUAGCGGCACAAACUAAGGAAAUAUUGCUGACAGCUCAACAUUUUACUAACGAAAAAUUUAUGAAGGGACCGCAUUGUAAACAUAUUUAAAAGUAUAGGGAUUAGUUAGAACAGCUAGUUAUCAGUUAUCACUGCCUCUGAGAAUUAAUAUACAGCUCAGCAUUUUGUUGAAGGGACGGGCAAAGGUACAUUUAUUUCCGUUAACUUUCUAAUAUUAGAUCUUGCUUCAGUACACUUUAUUAAAUUUAUUUUAAUAUAUUAAAUAAUAUAAAGCACAAAACAGAUCAUAAUAAAAUACAAUAAAAACAAGUUGUGAUAUAUUUGUUGCACAUGGCAAUCUAUAAAUGAAGUGGUUGGACCUCAAUUUUCAAUUUUUUUAUUUAAAAUUAAUUUUUAUUUUAGAUUAUUUUGAUGUAUUGAUAUUAAAAAUAAUUUUUAAAAAUAAAAAAAUUAUUUUAAUGUAUUUUCGAGUUAAAAACAUUUUAAAUACAAUCACACUUUCAACCACCCUCAAAUUGUUUGAUAUACACUUUCAACAUGACAAGGAUUGAUCAUUGUCUUAUCCAAAGUUUUUCUCCGGAUAAGAAAUUUGUAAAAAAAAAUAUUUUUUCUUAAUUUUGUAUUUUGUAUUUAUCGCUUAUUUAUCUUUUAAUUCGAAAAACUAAAAUUUGACCAAUUUUAUUGAAAUAGAUAUGUGCAUGUAAGAUUUUAAUUGCAAAAUCUUUUUGAUUUAAGAACUAGAUUGUUCUAGAUGACAGAAAUUCUAGUAAAGACUAAAAUAUCAUAAAAAUAAAAAUAAAACAAAUAAUUGAAAAAAUAUCAAUAAUAAAAACAAAAUUAUUUGAUCUUGUCUCGUGUGCAUCAAACAUAGAAUAAAAACAUAUAUUAUCUAGUUCAAUUCAAUUCAAUCUUAAAUAUUGUUUAGUAUUUAUAUUAUCAUUUUCAAACUAUAAUAACUAACGCAUUUUUAGUUUCAAUUUACAUACAAACUCAUCUAAUGAUAUUUUUAUUGUUAAAAAAAUAUCAUAAUUUGGAAUUCCAAAAAAAAAUUCUAUUGGAAAAAUGUUCUACAAAAAUAAAAAGAAAUGUGGAAAUAUACUUAUAUAUUAUAAAUUAAUGGAAAUACAUCAAAUUAUUGAUAAUGUCAAAAUGUUGCAUGGCACUUUAAUCACAUGUCUCCUUCUCCUCCUCCUCCUCCUCCUCCUCCUUACAAUUGUGUUUCAAAAUAUAUGAUAAGAGAAAGGCUUGAAUGACAACAUACACGUUUCUAUAUGCUAUCAAAAGGUAAUAUUUGAUUACAAUCCUGAACAAAAGAGACGAAAACCAUGAAAAUAAAGGAAACAAGAUAGAAAAGAAUUUGAAAAUAUAAUUAUGUCUAGUAGUAACUAUUUAUAUAUCUUAUUUGAUAAUGAUAAAUAAAUAAAAUAAAAUAUAAAAAAUUAUUUUAUCUUUAAUAUGUAUUAUUAUUAAACUUAUACAUUUAUACAAAUAAGUUUGUAUUAAGUGUUAAAAUUAAUAAUAUUAUGAUAACCCUAAUUAUAAAGCCUACACUGGCCUAGUGGAUCGAUUCGGGACUUAGUCGUCUCUAGACCUGGAUCAAUACAAGUUUAAGAAAAGAUAAGGUGAAUUAAAAAACCUUCUUGAUUCAGGAUAAAGCAUGGGUUGACUUAGGAUAAAACACGGGGCAAAACCCAUUGUUUUUUUUUUUUUUAAAAUGGUCAAAACAAGGUUGUGUUGAUUCUCAUUUAAAAAAAAAAAAUUUGGGUCAACUCGAGUUGACCCUCCCAACUCAUGACCCAAGCUUUGCCUCAGAUCGAAUCUUAGAUGAAGUUUCAAAACUAUGAUAAUAAUUAUUUUUAUCUAUGCAUUAAUCCUCCUGACCCAAGACUUGAGCUUAUAUCAGGUCAAUCCCUGAGUUGAGUUUUAAAAAUAUUGUAAUAACCAUUUUUAUCUUGACAUUGACCCCGUUCAACCAGAGUUGACCCUCCUGACUUGUGACUUGAGCCUUGCCCUAAGUCAACCUUCAAGUUAAGUUUUAAAAUUAUAAUAAUAACCAUUUUUAUUUUUUUAUUGACCUGGGUCAAUGGUCAACCUAAACAAUAACUCGAGCCUUGUUCCAGGUCGACUCUCGUGUUAGAUUUUACAACUAUAAUAAUAACUAUUUUUAUGCUUACCUUGAUUUGGGUCAACAAGGAUCACAUAUUUUACUCCAAGUCAACCCCCAAGUUGGGUUUUAAGACUACAAUAAUAACUAUUUUUAUUUUUACAUGUCUUAGUUAGGCAAUUUUGAAAUUGAAAGUUUUUUACAAUGAUAUUUUAUGAAUAAAAAAUAAUAAAUAUUGUUUAUAAAGAUAUGUCUUAUUUGUACUUUCUAUUUUGAAAGUCCAUAAAUUCACUGUAAAAUUAUCCUGUAAAAAUAUUAUUUUUAUAUCUAUUUUUAUUUUCAAUUAAACACAUUUUUGUCUCUACUAUUUUCAUUCUUUUUAUCCUAAGAUAAUAACUAAAUGCUACACUAGAGUUUAAUAAUGAUAUAAAUGCGAACAUCUUAACUUCGUAAAAUCAAAUGAGUAAAGAAGAAGACAUAAAAGGGAAGUUCAUGUUAAUUUUAUAAAAUCAUAGUUAUUAUAUCUUGCUUAAAGCUUGAUUCGGCUAAAAUCCUAGAUUAGCAAGUUAUAGGUCAACCUAUUAAGUUAAUGAGUUGACUAGUAUAUCAAUUAUGAUAAUAAAUUAUACAUAUAAUAUUAAAUCUAAAUGUUUCAUACAUGUUGGUUUUGGUGGGUUGGUAAUUUUUUUGUGUCAAUAAAAAAACACCAAGAUUCAAACAUUACUGUAUGAAUAUUUUUUUCAAAGUCAACCUUUAAAUCAACUAGGUUUUAAAAUUUAGUAGUUAAACUCACAAAUCAAUCAUUUGAUUUAUGUGAUAGGCCUAUAUUUAAGAUGAACAUUUACCAUAAAUGAAAUGUAUCUUACAGUAUCAGACUUGUUAUUAUAAAACAUGUUUUUGUUAAAGAGUUAUUGAUACUUCAAAUGCAAAAUGAUGAUAUAAAACCUUGAUAAAAAUACACUUUUAAGUAUUAAUCAAUGUUCUACUAGAAUGUAGGAGAAGCAUAGAGAGUGGGACCCGACUUCUCACGUGCAAGUACAACAGGAGUUCAAGGUAAGGGUUGCCCCCUUGCUUCUUUAAAAUGUUUAAAUUCUUGUAAAGCUAAUAUGUUAUAGACAUUAUAUGUAUCAUGUACUACUGUGUAUCAUGAGAAAUAUGUCCUAUAUGAACAUUGUCUACGGGUAGUAUAAAUAUUGUUGCGUGAAAGUUACCAACAAGUAGGAGAAAUAUUAUUAUUGUGUGAACGUUGCCAAUGAGCAAGAAAUGUUAUUACAAUGUGAAUGUUGCCUACGAGCAAGGAAAAAAAUAUUAAUUCUAUGUGAAUGUUGCCUACGGGUAGGGAAACAAAUACUAAUUCUAUGUGAAUAUUACCUACAAAACAGAGAAAUAAUAUUAUUAUAUGAAUAUGUCCACCUAGUGAAUAUGACUAAAGAAAGGAAAGAUACAAUGAAACAAACAUGGAUUUGAAAUUUGAAUUUUGUUCGUAGUCUCUAGGAUUUGGAGUUUGGAUAUGGGUCUAUAUUAUGUUUAUAUAUAUAAAAAAAAGAAAAAGAAAAGAUUGCCUAUGGACUUAAUUACCGACCUCGAAUAGGGGUAGCUAAUGAUGUUAACAAAUAUUGUUAACAUUGGCAUGAUCUUGAUGGAAAUAUAAUGAAUAUUGAACUUGAUUAACUAUUUGUAUCACUAAUAGUUAAUGAUAUUGAUGAAUAAUGUUUGUAUCGACAAGCCCAUACUAACUAACUUGAUUAACUUUAUAAGGUUGAAGUUAAUGGUGUCAUGAGAACUUGGCAUCGGCAUUUCUGGAAAUAUCUCCAAUUGUGAUGGAGAGUAAUUGAUUGACUAUUUCGGGUUGGAAAUAGCUCAAUGGCAUCGAUCGAUUAAGUUGGUGUCGGCAUUGCUAAGGAAUUGAUUAGUUUAUCUAGGUAAGGGUGACUAAUGACACUAAUAGGAGUUAUUAGUGUUGGCAGUGACUGCCUUAGAAUUUGGGGCGGAAGAAAAAGGGUAAAUCAUACAAAAGUUAAUGUGUGAUAAUCGAAAAGAAAACCAUAAGUAGGUUGUGGAAGGAUAGGUGUUAGAUGUAGUAAAUGAUCUUCUUUUACGGAUCAACUAUGAUUAUGCCCUAUCAAGUGGGUACACAUAUGCGUAGUUACAUGUAGUAGUGACCCUCCAUUAUCUGGUUGUAUUUUAUUUAUUUAAUAUAAUUAUUCUCUUAUUUUGAUGUUUUAGGUCUUUCUCAUUCCCAUCAGGAGUAGUGUCCUAGGUGUCUAGUUCUUUUGUAUGAAUUAGGGAAUUAUCAUUUCCAAUUCUUUUGUAUAACUUAGGGUUAGCAUCUUUAUUUCUUCUGUGUGAACCUGGGAUGAAAUGGAUGUUGUAUUUUCUUUAGAUAAUUAUAUGACAGGAACGAUGUUAAUGUUCCUUUAUCUUAAUCUUAGAGACCUUUAGAAUUUUAUGCUUGUAAUAUUAAUGUUAUUAAUCAAGUUUAUUACUAUUAGUUUGUGUUGUAAAUUAUAUGUUCGAAAUGAAUCCUUGGAUUUGCAAUAUAUUAUGAUUAAUAAUAAUUUUAUGCUUGUAAUAUUAAUGUUGUAGGAAUUAAUUUUAAAUGCUUACGAAAUCGCCGGGCAUUACAUUACUAAUAAGGCUAGCUACCAAAUCCUCACCCACCGAUGUAGGAUAUUACAAUCCACCUCCCUUAUGGAGCCCGACGACCUCGUCGGCACAACUGGAUAUCCAGUGAGGUUGGCUCCGAUACCAAAUAUCACAACCCGCCCCAACUUGGAAAAUAUUAUUGGUUUUGGGCCUUACCGCCAUCACAAAUUUGUUUUUAGAAGCCACGCAUAGCUCCAAAACGUAUCUGACAAGUCAACAACCAACAAUACUAAUAAGGCUAACUAUCAAAUCCUCACCCGCCGAUGUGAGAUAUCACAAUGCACCCUUCUUAAGGAGCCCGACGAUCCCAUCGGCACAACCGAACAACCAGUGAGGCCGACUCUGAUACCAAAUGUCACAGCCCGAUCCAACCUGCUAAAUAUUGUCCGCUUUAAGCCUUACCACUCUCACAGAUUUGUUCUUGGCAGCCACGCAUGGCUCCAAAACACGUUUGACAAGUUAGCAAUAGUUAGCUACUAAAUCCUCACUCAUUGAUGUGAGAUAUUAUAUUAAAAAUAUACAAGUUUGUAUACUAGUGUUAUGCUUUGGAGAUAAAAAACCCUUUAACUGUAAAACAAAAUAUCCAAGUCUAAGGGAACUCAUUAGCAUUAUUAUUAAACUUGAAAAUACAGUAGUUUUGAAUUUUUCUCCAUCAAGAUAAUUUUUCUUAUUAACAUAUUUUUUUUUGUUUAUCCUGGUGAAUGCAAGCUUUUUUUUCUUUACUAGAAUCAUUGUUUCUAUUAAAAGAAUAUUCUAUAAUUGUCACAACAAAUUAAAAAAAAAUAAUCAAAAUAGUAUGUUAAUAUUUUUAUGUGUGAUUGAAAGUUAAAAAAAUAAUAAAUAUGAUAAAAUCAUGCUCAAAAUAUAUUUAAAAAUUCUAAGAUUAAUUAAAAAAGUGAUUUAAAUUGAACUUUCAUGAACAAAUUUUUAUGGCAUAUAUAUAAUAAUUGAAAACAAUUAUUAAAAUUUAAAUAAAAAUUUAUAAAACAAGGCUUGCGCAUCUGACCUUGUUUUAUAUUUUUAUUAAACUCUACUCGAAUGCUGGAGCUCUAUCAGUUGUUCCUCUAUUUUUAUUAUCCCAGCAUUAGUUGUUGACAAAAAAAACUGGAAACAUCCUCUCGUGGUUGCUAGGAGUUGGGAGUCACAAAAAUUUACAUGACUAGAUGAGAUAAUAACAACAUCCUUGUAGAUGAGGUUGCCGAUGCGUUGCGGUUGCUGCACAUUGCGAUGUCUUUGCAGAUGAAACCCACUAGCUGCUGAUGCAAAGCUUGUUGAAUUUGCCACAUGUUGAGCUUGGGCUUGCAUAAAAGCAUUAGUGUAGAUUAGUUGAGUCUGUUGCAGUGCAUACUUUUUUAACUGCUACUGCUACUGCCGCUUUGAACAAGAUUUUGAGGAAAUGCAGAAGUGCAUUAGGUAACUUGGUACCCAUAGAUGAUGAUGAUGAGAUGUGGUCCGAAUAAACACUUCCAUUACUAGUUGUUGGUGUUUCACUAUGAAUGGAAGCUGCAGCUGCAAAUUGUCUCACAGGAAUUGUUGAAACAGAGGAGUCUGUUAAAUAUAGCCAAGAGAACACAAUUGACUGCCCAACAGUUAAUGGGGUCUGUCCUCCAACCAUAUCGGCCUUCCUCUCUCCUUCCAUAUUUGAAGUGUCAUUUCCUCCAUUUUCCCCUUCUUCAGGCACACGGUAAUUCAUCUGUUGUGUUGCUUGGGCCGCAGUGAUGAAGUGAUAGCCAUGCCUUGCUGCCGUUGGAGGGCUUUGGAGAAGAGCAUGAUUCUGAACCAGCAAUGAAACAUCAAGACCUAGGAAAGUUGUGGUUCCGUUGAUGGAGCAAAUGACAUUGCAAAAGGAGGAGGUGUUUGUGAGUAACAUUCUGAUUUUGCAUCAGCUGCCGCUACUAGUUCGGCAGGGAAUGAUUCUGUUGAUGAUUCUACAGAUAGUUGGAUCUUGAUGAUCGCUGCUGAUUCCACCUAAUUCACUCCCAUGUGGUUUAUGCUGCUGAUUCUGCAAAUGCUUCUGAUUCUGAUGACGAGGAGCCACUAGAAAUACUUGGAUUUUAAUGACCCUGUUGGCUUUGUUGUGUCUGUAUGAAUGGUUGUUGCUGUCGCUGAAGCUGUGAAGGAUGAAGCAUUCAAGAAGAAAAAAAUUGAUCCAUUGAAGAAAGACAGCCUGAGGAUGGGUUCCUUUGUAAGUUGUUGUGGCCCCCAACAUGUUCAGGGAUUGGAAUCUCGUACGCACCAUUUUGCAAAAUUGCCAGGGAAGUUUGGGUAGUUGAAGCUCAUUGUUGUAGCACCAGUUAUUGUUGAUGUCGUGGCAUUUAUUGAAGCAGAACUUUAGCUACUUGAAGAAGCUACAUUGCUAGCAACAGGGGAAGGCCUCACACUGGCUAGUUGAAUAGAAGCUUUUACUACUGCAGUAGCUUGUUAUUGAUCCAUUGGGAAGAUGAAAGCGAGCCCUUGCUUGAAAAAUCUUAUUAUGAGCCCUAGGGGGCAGAACUCGCUGAAGCAAAAUCUGCAAGGGCCUAAAUACAAAAAAAAAAAAAAAACGUUAUGUACAAGUUGAAUAAGAAAUUGGAUAGCUGAUAGAAUUGAUGCAGGCAACAAGGAAAAUAUGGGGAGUCGCUAGCAAGGUCAUUUAUGUUACAAUGAUAUGUUCUUAUUUAUUGCUUUUCUGAAUAAGAGAUCAUGUUCUUAUAUCAUAUACAAGGCUGCUAAGUAUGGAAAGUAAUAACUAUUUACACAUAAAUUGGCUGGGAUCAUGGUGAUACAUAUUUUGUGGAGCUAAUGGAUUCUAUCCUCGUGAUUUCAGCAAUUAAUCUCAAUGAUAGUUCAUGCCAACACUCUCCCUCGAGUUGGUGCACAGAUGCCUUUAAUGCCCAACUUGUCUAGCGAGUUAUAAAACAUCUUGCUUGAAACAACUUUUGUGAGAAUAUCCACUAGAUGGUCUUCUGAUAUUACAAAUGGGAAUUGAACUAUCUUGGCCUCAAGCUUUUCUUUGAUAAAAUAUUGAUCUAUUUCAACAUGUUUUAUCUUGUCAUGUUGAACUGGAUUUUGUGCAAUUUGUAUAUUUGCUUUAUUCUCACAAAACAACCUCAUGGUUGGCCAAGAUGAGUAGCCAAUUUCUUCCACCAACUCCCUUAACCAAAGAAGCUCGCAAAGUCCUUUGUCCAUGCCAAGAAACUCAGUCUCUGCACUAGAUAAUGCCUCAACUUUAUGUUUCUUACUUCUCCAAGUGACUAAGUUUUCUCCACAAAAGUGAAAUACCCAAAAAUAGACUUUCUAUCAACAAUGUUUCCGACUCAAUCUGCAUUUUUAUACCUAUCAAUGUUUAGGUGGUUAUACUUCAUGAACAUAAGCCCUUUUCCUAGAGAUGCCUUCAACUAUCAUAAGAUCCGGAUCAUAGCUUCCAUAUGCUCUUCACUUGAGCUAUGCAUAAACUAACUCACCAAGUUCACAACAUAGGUAAUGUCUAGUCGAGUAUGAGAUAAAUAAAUCAACUUCACAACUAACUGUUGAUACCUUUCUUUAUUAGUGGGUAUUUGAUUUGGAUGCUCUCCUAGUUUGUGGUUUUGGACUGUUGGUGUGUCUGCUGGUUUACAAUCAAGUAUACCUGUCUCAGCUAGUAGGUUAAGUACAUAUUUUCUUUGUGAGAGAAAUAUCCCUUUACUUGAUCGAGCCACUUUAAUCCCCAAAACAAAUUUUAGUCCUCCAAGGUUUUUCAUUUCAAACUCAUUCGUUAGAUGUUCUUACAAGCUCAAGAUCUCCUCCUCAUCAUUUCCUAUAAUUAUCAUAUUUUCGACAUAAAUUAAAAGGCAGUUACCAUUUUCCCUUGAUGUUUUAGGAAUAAAGUGUGAUAUGAAUUUCUUUGUUUGAAGCUGUACUUCUUCGUGGCUAAACUAAACCAUCCAAACCACAUCCUUGGUGACUAUUUUAGACCAUAUAGUGCCUUCUGCAACUUGCACACUACUCCAGCAUAUGAGGUAGCAAAGCCUGGUGGGACAUCCAUAUACACUUUUUCUUCAAGGUUCCCAUGAAGGAACACAUUUUUGACGUCGAACUAUUGGAGUGGCCAAUCUAAAUUCACAGAGAUUGACAGCAAUGCCCUGAUUGUAUUUAAUUUUUCCAUGGUGAAAACUUCCCCUGAUAGUCAAUGCCAUAUGAUUACGUAUAUCCUUUUGCGACAAGCCUUGCCUUGUAUCUAUCAGCCUUGUAUUUAAUAGAGAAUACCUAUUUACUUCCUAUUGCUUUCUUCCCUUUUGGUAGUGGCAUGAUCUUCCAUGUUUCAUUCUUUUGUAAAGUUGCCAUUUCUUCUAUUAUUACUUGAUUCCAUUUUGGAUUACUCAAGGCUUCUUGCACUGUGUUUGGGAUGUGUUCAGAAGACAGCUUUUGCACAAAGGUCUUGAGUGGCUGUGACAAUCUUUGGGUAGUGACAUGAUUAGCAAUUGGAUAUUUAAUUUUCUCCUCUCUAUGGUCUGGUGAGUAUCGACUUGGUGGCUUGCUGCGGUUGCACCUAUGAGGUAAUUUGUAGCCAACAAAACUAUCUUUAAUAUUAUUAAGAGAGAGAUUUGGGAACUGUACCUCAGGAUUAUUCUUAGGACAAUGGUUGUUUGAUACUGAACCGAGAGGGGGCUGUUCUUGUUCUUGUUCAUUCUCUGUCUUGUUAUUCUACCCAACUAUUGUGUUUGUGUCUCUAAACCAUGGCCAGUUCUCCCAAUUACAACCAUGGUCUAUAUUCUGCUCUUCACCAAUCAUCUCCCCCUGAAGAGAAUAAUGAGAACCUGGCUCUUGAAAGAAGUAUUUAGUUUCUAGAAAUGUAACAUCCAUUGUGAUGUAAAGGCGUCUUGUUAUAGGAUCAUAGCAUUGGUAGCCAUUCUUAUACUGUGUAUAGCCUAGGAAUAUACAGCGGACUGCACAUGGAUGAAGUUUGGUUCUUUGAUUUUUGUGAAGAUGGACAUAAGCUACGCAUCCAAAUAUCUUUGGUGGAAGCAUAAGUAUAGACGGGAGAGGCACAUGAUGGGCGAGAGCUUGUAAUGGAGUACUAAAGUUUAACACCCUAGACGACAUUCGGUUCAACAAGUAGACCGCAGUUGUGACUACAUCUGUCCAAAACCGUGGAGGUGCAUUUACUGCUGUUAAGAAGGCCCAAGUUGUUUCUAAGAUAUGUCUAUUCUUCUUCUCUGCAACAACAUUUUGCUGUGGUGUUUGGGAGCAUAUUGUCUCAUGGUAUAGCCCACAUGUUUGGAAGUACUCUUGUAACUCUUUAUUGUCAUACUCCCCACCAUUGUCAGAACGAAGGAUUUGAAGUUUGGUAGAGAAUUGGGUUUUGAUCAUAUUAUGGAAAGAGCGAAAAAUCCUUGCUACCUCAUUCUUACUUUUCAUCAAAUAUAACAAUGUCAUGCGUGUGCAGUCAUCCACAAAAAUCACAAAUCAUCUGAUGCCUCAAGAAACUGAAACGGGAGCUGGUCCACAUAUGUCCGAGUUAAUUUACAUAAAUGGUGUCUCACACUUUUUGAAUUUAUUGGAUAGGAAACUUGAUGGCUUUUAGCUAAAAUGUAGGUUUUACAUUUUAACAUUGUAUUGUCUGAGUUGCAAAACAAACUAGGAAAUAAAUGUUUUAAGUAGGAGAAUGACGGGUGUCCCAAGCAGUGAUGCCACAACCAGAUAUCAUGUUCUUUGUUACCAAGAUGACGAACAUUGUUCGCCUUGUUAGAAUUGAAAAUAACUUAAACAAUACAGUAAACUUAACAAUGCAGUUUACGUAAAGAAAAAGCAAUUUGAUUUUAAGAUGGCAGAGUUGAGUAGAAAGAUCAAUACUUUUCAUUAACUUCAAAUGCAUAUAAAUAGGAUUACAUAGAACUUGAAAUGAUGAACUCUCAACAAACUUGAGAGAUUAUUGGAAUUGAAAUAACAAACUCAGCAGAAAGUUUCUGCUGCAAUCUGAAGAAGCUAACGAAAAUUCAAAUAUUUAAAAACUACUCUUAACUCUAUCUUUCAAGGCAAAAACUCAUAAUUCUAACACUCCUCCUUGAGACUUGCCUUGACAAACCAAGUUUCAUCCUUAGAAAUUCCAGUCUUGAUCUAGGAAGAGCUUUAGUCAUUAUAUCAGCAAGUUGAACAUCUGUUGGACAAUAGAGUAUCUUUAUAAGCUUGUUCUUCUCGGCUUCUCUUAUAGAAUGAAACUUCACAUUGAUGUGCUUGGUUCUGCCAUGUUGAACCGGAUUUAGAGCAAUAGCAAUGGCAGAUUUGUUGUCACAAUAAAGCUCAGUUUGUGAGCUUUGUUCUUGACCCAAAUCAGCAAGCAAUUUGUUCAACCAAAUUGCUUGAUUUGCAGCAGCUGCCAUUGAGAUAUACUCUGCUUCAGCUGUUGAUUGUGCCACCACCUCCUGCUUCUUUGCAUUCCAACAAAUUGCACCUGAACCAAUAUUAAAAACAUAUCCAGAGGUGCUCUUCAUGUCAUCAACACUCCCUGCCCAGUCACUGUCUGCAUAACCAAUCAGAUUUACUCCUCCUGUCUUCAAGUACCAGAUGCCAAGAUCAGUUGUUCCUCUGAUGUACUUCAACACUCUUUUAGCAAUUCCCAUGUGAAUGUUGCUAGGUGAGCUCAUAAACCUUGACAGCAAACCAGCUGGAAACAUUAAGUCAGGUCUAGUUGCUGUCAAGUAUAGCAAACUGCCCACUAGGCUUCUAAAUCCAGAGGGAUCUUCAAGUUUCUCACCAUCAUUCUUUGAAACUUUCUCAUUUUGUGCUAAAGGAGUUGCUACUUCUUUGCAUGACUCAAGCUUGAACUUCUUGAGUAUAUCAACAACAUACUUCCUUUGUGAAACAAAAAUACCCGAACUACAUUGAUGUAUUUCCAUUCCAAGAAAGUAGUUCAUAAUGCCAAGAUCAGACAUUUCAAAAACAUCUUGCAUUUCAGUUUUGAACUCUUCCAGCAACUUUGCAUUGCUUCCAGUAACUAGCAUGUCAUCUACAUAGAGUGAUAUCACCAGCUGCAAACCAUCUUCAUCUUGUUUCAGAUAUAGGGUAGCUUCAUUUUCACUUCUUUUGAAUCCUAGUUGAAUCAAAUGAGUAUCAAUCCUGCUGUACCAAGCCCUUGGUGCUUGCUUCAAACCAUAAAGAGCUUUGUGUAGCUUGUAAACUUUGUGUUCAUCACCAGCAAAACAAAGCCUUCUGGUUGCUGAACAUAAAUUUCCUCAAGUAGUAUUCCAUUUAGAAAAGCAGACUUCACAUCUAAAUGAUAAACUUUCCAUCCUUUUUGUCCCGCAAGAGCAAGUAGGAGUCUUAUAGUGUCAUGCCUAGCUACUGGUGCGAAAGUAUCUCCAUAAUCCACUCCAGCAACUUGAGCAAAACCUUUAACAACCAAUCUAGCCUUGUGUUUGAAGAUUGAACCAUCUGGAUUGAAUUUGGUUCUGAAAACCCACUUCACUCCAAUUGCCUUUUUAUCUCCAGGAAUUUCAGUCAAUCUCCAAGUCCCAUUUCUUUCAAUGGAAUCAAUUUCUGAUUUCAUUGCUUCAAUCCAAGCUGGAUCUCCUGCAGCUUCAGAGUAAUUUGUAGGCUCAGCAUGUACAAGGUUACAUCUUUCAUACACAUCAGACAAUUGUCUAACCUUAAGUACUGUUGUAUCUGAAGUUGCUUCAAUGGCUUGUUGAUCUUCAUCAUCAAUACUUUGUACUGGUGAUUCAAGGCAGCUGUGAUAGUCUGUUGAACUUCUUUUAAGUCCCAAUUCCAGCAGGCAUUUUCAUCAAAUUGCACAUCUCUGCUGACCUGAAUUUUGGCUGAAUUCAGAUUGAAAACUCUGUAACCUUUUGAUUCUGUUGCAUAUCCCACAAGAAUCCCUUUUUCUGCUCUAGCAUCCAGUUUUCCUCUUUUGGCAGAUGGAACAUGAAAAUAGCACAAUGAUCCAAACACUUUUAAAUGUUUGGCAGUAGGCCGGACUCCAGACCAUGCCUCCAAUGGUGUUUUGUUUUGAACAGACUUGGUUGGAAGUCUAUUAAGCAAGUAUACUGAAGUAUUUACUGCUUCAGCCCAUAGAAACCUUGGCAACUUCUUUUCAAACAAUAUACAUCUGGACAUCUCCAUCACUGUUCUAUUCUUCCUUUCAGAAACUCCAUUCUGCUGUGGAGAGUAAGGAGUCGUCAGCUGGUGCACAAUUCCAGCUUCUGAACAAAAGGCAUUAAACUCCUUCGAAAUAUACUCUCCACCAUUAUCAGUUCUCAACACUUUGAUCUUCUGACCACUUUGAGUUUCAGCCAUGCUUUUGAAGUUUUUGAACAUAGAUAAAGCUUGUGACUUGUUUUUCAGAAAAUAAACCCAAGUCAUUCUGCUGUAGUCAUCAAUGAAUAAUAUAAAAUACACAUUAUUAUUCAAAGAAGCUGUGCUCAUAGGUCCACAUAUGUCUGAGUGAACCAGCUCCAGCAUGUGUGUUGCCCUUUUGGAUAUACCUUUAGGAAAUGGUUGUCGAUGCUGCUUUCCCAGUUCACAACUUCCACAUGUAUGAGCAGUAACAUGUAUUGCAGACAUGUUUUCUACCAUUCCAGUAUCAUACAGCAACUUUAAUGAAUUAAGAUUGUAAUGACCGAAUCUUUUGUGCCAAAGAAUGCUUUCAUCAAUCUUUGCACUAAACACAUGUCCAUUAACAGCAUCAAGCUUCAAAUAGAAGCUAUUACCAUCCAUUUUGAUUUUUGCUAUCUCUGAAUUAUGUGUAUCAGUGAUAAAGCAAAAUUUCUCUUUAAAAGAGACUUCAUAACCAUUCUUGAGCAUUUGUGCAACACUAAGGAGAUUCUGAUCUAGUUCAGGAAUGUAAAGAACAUUUGUGAUGGUUUUAAUACCUCUAUUUGUGCUGACUGCAACAGUUCCUUUCCCCUUAGCUUGCACAAUAUCUCCAUUUCCCAGCUUAAUCUUCGGUUGAACUGAUCUGUCAAUAGAGGAGAAAAUUGACAGAAAUUUGGACAUGUGACUUGUGCAGCCACUGUCUAUAAGCCAUGUAUUCAGUUCAGAGGUAUUGCUAGCUUGUGUUGCCAUAAACAAAUGCUCCUCCUCAUCUUUGCUUUCUUCAGAAACAUUUGCUUGUUGUUGUAUUUGUUGCUGAGGUUGCUUCUUCUUGAUUCUGCAAUAUUUCUCACUGUGACCGAGAUUAUUACAGAAUAAACAUUGAAGAGAAGGUUUCCCCUUAAACCAGCAAUCUUUCUCAGUAUGGUUAGUUCUUCUGCAAUAAGAACAUGGUGAGAAAGUCUGUCUUUUUGAAGGUAUACUUGAUUUCCUUUUAGCAUACUUGACAGGUUUGUUUCUUGGUAGAUUACCAGCACUCCUUUCCCUGUUGUUUGCUUGGAAAGCCCCUUCAACUGCCUCAUCAUCUCUCAUAUGAACUCUUUGCUCCUGAAUAUGAAGUUUGCUAAUUAACUCAGCAAUAGUCAGACUUUGCAGAUCGCAAGAUUCUUCUAUUGCUGAGAUUUUAGCUUCAAACUUUUGAGGAACAGACAUCAUAAGUUUUUCUACUACCUUAUGAUCUUCAAAUGUGUUUCCAAGAAGCCUCAUUUGAUUUACAACAUCCAUUAAUCUGCCAGAAUAAUCUUUGACAGAUUCAUUGUCUUUCAUCUUCAUCAACUCAAAUUCCCUCUUAAAUGCAAGAAGUUUAACUGCUUUGACUCUGCUGCUGCCUUCAAAUUCAACUUGAAGCUUAUCCCAUACCUGUUUUGGUGUUUCCAGAUUCAUUAUAUUUGUAAAAAUAUGAUCUGCAAGACCAGAAUGAAGACAUGUAAUAGCUUUGUCCUUCUUGAGCUUUUCUUCUUCAUGUGCUUUCAUUUGAGCAAUUGUUGGAUUUGCAUUCAAUGGUGGAGGAUCAGAAUCGGUUGCCACAACAUUCCAUAAGCCAUGAGACCUUAAAUAAAAUUUCAUUUUGACAGCCCAAAUAUGAUAGAGUUCUCCACUAAACAUUGGAAUUGCAGAUACAAUAUUAUUUGAAGAAGACAUUGACAAAAAACAGAAAGAAAAUAACUCUCAAGUGUUUCGCUCACCCUCUCUGUGUUUGCCUCACCUUCUCUUAUUAUUGUCACUCAAAAGAAAGAAAAAUUGUUUGCCCCACAGCCCGUAGGAUCUAAUGCUCUGAUACCACUGUUAGAAUUGAAAAUAACUUAAACAAUACAGUAAACUUAACAAUGCAGUUUACGUAAAGAAAAAGCAAUUUGAUUUUAAGAUGGCAGAGUUGAGUAGAAAGAUCAAUACUUUUCAUUAACUUCAAAUGCAUAUAAAUAGGAUUACAUAGAACUUGAACAUGACUGAAACUCUCAACAAACUUGAGAGAUUAUUGGAAUUGAAAAUAACAAACUCAGCAGAAAGUUUCUGCUGCUAAUCUUGAAGAAGCUAACCGAAAAUUCAAAUAUUUAAAACUACUCUUAACUCUAUCCUUAUCAAGGAAAAAACUCAUAAUUCUAACACGCCUGACAAUACUGAAGUCAUCAAUGCAGUACAACCCCCCUUGUUUAGUACUACAACCAAUAAUCUCCUUAGUUAGAAUAUCAUGAAACAAGCAAAUUUUAGGAUAGAUUAGUGGGCAGCAGUUCAAAUCCUCAGUAACUUGUCCUACCAAUAAUAAUUUAUUGGAAAGAGUUGGAACAAGUAGAGUGUUUGAUAAAGAAAAAGAGGAUGACAGUGCCACUUCUCCAGCCCCAGUAACUGGAUAUUUUUCACUGUUUGCAUUGGUUAUGCUUGUGAUCUGUUUUGGUUGAGUCGUUUCAAUAAAGUCUUGUGGAUUGAAUGUCAUGUGAUUAGUUGUCCCAGAAUCAAUAAUCCAACCGUGGUUCCUGAUUCAUUCUGGGCUAGGGAAUAAUUUGCUGCUGCUAGUGAAAAAUCCUCCUGAGAUAUAUGAGAAAGGUGAGGUUUGAUGGAAGAAAAAGAAGUGCUCUCAGCUCUGACAAGUGUAGCCCGACCUCUUUCACGCUUUUUCUUUGUCUUGAGUUCAUGCCACCAGCUUGAAACAGGUUUCCUUAGUAUGUUUCAUAUUCCCCCAGUGUACAACCACCUCCCCCAGCUUGUGUUUUUGAUUUCAUGCCUAGCUUCCCAUCUGUUACCAUCUGAAGAGAAGGUUGCUGUUGUGAUUUUUGUCCUCCUUUUGAUAUCAUGGCCAUGCUGGAAAUGGUAUCUGCUUUUGAUAGCAUCACCAUUUGUCUUAGAUCUUCUCAUCGGACAUGGGCAUAUGUCUGUUCGAUUGUUGGAAAAGGGUGAAGUUGAAGCACAUCAGCUUGAAUCUUGUCCGAGCGACCAUCAAGUCCGUCCAAGAAAGUAUAAACUCUAUCUUCCUGUAUAAUAGAGUUAUAUUUCUGUGUAUCAACUUCACACUUCAUGGGAUUUGGACGCCGAAAAUCAAUCUCUCUCCAAAGACCUUGAAGAGUGUUGUAAUAUGUCUCAAUUGAUCCUUCCCCCUGUUUGAAUCUUGUCACCCUUCUCUUCAGAUCAUAGACUUGUGAGGUGUCGGAGCCAUCAAAACACGUUGUGACAAUAGCAUCCCAUACUGCCUUAGCCAUUGGAAAUCUGAUGUAAUUUCCAAUUAGUUUUGGAUCCAUGGAGUUGAUUAGCCAUCCUUUACCAUUGCAUUUUCAAUUCUCCACUUUCUGAAAGUAGGAUCUGUCUCUGUAGGUUGUGGAAGAUCUCCAUUCAUGUAUCCCAACUUGUCUUUACCAGAGAUAUACAUCUCGACAACUUGGGACCAGAGUCCAUAGUUCGUGUCAUUUAACUUGAUACCGAUUGGUGCAGCAACAGAUUCAUGAGUUGCUGCAGUUGUUGUCUGACUCAACAUCUAUGAUAUUCUGGAUGUUAAGUCAGCAAGGGUUGAAGGAUCUGCUUGGGAGUUUUCUAUUGGGGGGGGGGGUAAGAUCUCUCAAAUUCUGUCUUCUUUCCCUUUCUUUCUAUUAGUUCACAGAAAGAAUCAGACAGGUCCUAGAGUUGACGCACUGAUAUCAUGUUACAAUGAUAUAUUCUUAUUUAUUACUUUUCUAAAUAUGAGAUCAUGUUCUAUAUCAUAUACAAGGCUGCUAAGUAUUGAAAGUAAUAACUAUUUACACAGAAUUUGGCUGGGAUCAUGGUGAUACAUAUUUUGUAGAGCUAAUGGAUUCUAUCCUCGUGAUUUCAGCAAUUAAUCUCAAUGACUGUUCAUUCCAACAAUUUUUGGAUGAAAGGCUGUUUGGCGAUGCUGCACUAUAGUAAAGAAAAAAAAAUAGAGCCCUCGAUCACCAUCGUCACAAAGACAAGCUGAGGAUUAGCAGAGUCACAAGACACGCUGAGAAUUAGCAGACUCCUUCUAUGAUUGCUAGUAGCAAACAAUAGUCGAAUGAGGCUGACAAUAGCUCGCAGCCCUACAAUAAGAGUAGUUGUUGAUUAAUUGAAUGGAAGCAGGCAAGAACUCACAAACAAUUCUAUCAAGUUUAGUCAAGUUUCUUUCAAUGGCAAGCUCGCACCAUCCAUCAUGCAGUUGCAGGAGCAGACAUGGGUUAACACACACAUAUAAUAUGCUUUCUAAGUCUCGGUCUUUGAAUUAGAAGCAAAAUCAGAAAACAACAAACCCCAACCAAAGCCAAAUCAAACUCAGCCGAUAUAAAUCCACUCCUCAAAACAGAGAAACCUCUAUAGGAUUCUUCCCCGCUCCCUUGGAUGACUGUGUCCCUGUCUUCUCUUCCACUACUGGUCUCUAUUUCUCUGCCCUUUUCUUUAUUCUAGGCCUUUCACAAUUUCACUUUUCUCCAUGCGGUCAAAAAUAGGAAGACGGUGCAAAUGCCUUUAUAAAAGAUCUAGAGAAGUUUAAGUUACUGUUAUCAUGAGCUUUGGUUAGAAGUUUAAAGAUUAUUUCACCUGCAUAAACUCAGAAUUGUGUCCAGCAUUCAUACAAAAACAAAAAAAAAAACUUGCAGUUGUAAAAUAAAUACUGAAGAGCCAUGCAUACCUGCUAAGACCGUCGGUGAUGCUGGCCUGCUAGGUGGAUGUUACACUGUUAGUGAAGGAGAAGAAGGACUGCUUAGUUGGUAACAAAAAAGAAAGGCAAUGUGGUGUUUUUUAUAACCCCACCAGGGAGCCUGUCCUGAUUACAAAAGAAAAAAAAAAAUCCUCCUAUUCUAUGAAAAUAAGGUCGGCCACGUGCACAAGCUUUUUUUCCUCUUCGGAAAUAACAUGGUAACACAAAAGAAAAGGAAACAACAAAUUUUCUAUAAAUAGCGUGCCUUAAUUGAGAGAAAAGGAGGAAAAGAUUCUUGGAGAUAUAAAUUUCCUUCAAAACAAGCUUUUUGGGCGGUCGUUGGAACCAUCAAAAUAUAAUUUUAACUUAACUAUCACAAACAAAAUAAAUUUGUAGUAAAUAUGAUCGUGAAAACCAGGUCGAACCUAAAGGAAAAUUCAUUUCAUCUUCCUACAAUAUACUAAAUAAGAAAGAACGGGGGGUUUGAAUGAAAAAAAAUCAAGAAACAAUAAUUCCAAAAAUAAUAAAUUGAUAUGUUGUUAAAUCAGUUCAAGGGUCCACACAUCCAUUCUUAUAAUUCUGUUGGUCAUCGAAGUAAAAUAAAUAUGCUUUCAUGUCAAGCAAAUAAAUUUGAUAUUCCUUAAAGCUGAGGGAAAUAAAUGAGAUUACAAGUACAUUAAUUAGAAAAAGCUUUCUAAUAAAUUUCUUACCAUCAAGUGAAUGUAAUAUUGAAAACAAUUUGCAUUUAUUCGGUAGUAGUCUAGGAAUAAAAUAUGUGCAUUUAUUCUAAGCAAACGUUCAAAAGCUUGACAAUUUAACUUAGUUUAUUCUUCCCUAAUAAAUCAAGAUGAGAGUUGCAACAAUCAAAUUAAUUCUUUUGCUUCUUACUCUAAUCCCUAAUAACAAUCAAUGAUUGAAGAAACUAGAAAGCAUACAUGUCAUCUCAAAACAAUUCAAUAAGCUUGAAUAACAAUCAAUAACAUGAUUCUGAACAAGGGAAAAUAAAUACUUGAAUCUAAAAAAAUUACAAUGAUAACGUUACUUCUGACAACUUGCUAAUGGAGAUGGUGUGUAUUCCUUUUGAACCAAAUUCAGGAGUUUAGUUCAUAGUUCUUGGAAAAUUGACAAAGCAGAGAAGAAAUGAAUGUUUUUCGAAUGUUGUUUCAUCUAUGUUCUGCUCUAUUUAUCCUCUUCCUUGGCUACAUAAUUUCUUUAGGAUUAUUAGGCUAAUUAGAAUUAUUCAUGAUACUUAAUGUGUUCAUUUUUUUAUUUGGUCCUUAAGGUUGGAUAAAUCUCUUAGAAUUUAUUUUGAAAACUAACUUUGUUGAUGUCAUAUCUCUGCCGUAAUUCCAACUUUGCUGCAACUUAAACUUUGUUUUUGACUUGGUUUCUUGCAAUAUCCGACUAUCACUGCUGUAUUCAUUCAUUCAUUGCAUGUUAGAGGCUUGAUCUAAAUCUUUUUUAGGUCCUAAGGCCCACCGUUUUUUAUCUCAGACUUUCAGUCGUAGUAGGAUGCUUGACACCGUUAGUUUCCUGAUCAGAUCAAGAGACCCAUCUCAUCCUUCAAAUUGCGUUCGGAUUUUGGCCUUCAAAAUGAUCUUAUUUGACUUGGAGUCCUUAUCAAAGUUAUAGUCCUAAAUGCGUAGAAGAAUUUGGGCUUUUUAAUCUCUUAAUUUUGAUAUUUGAAACUCAAGAUAUUCCUGUUUGAAUAUCUAGUGUGAAAGUAAAGAAUCUUGUUGUGAGUAGGAUUCUGACCCGAGUUUGCAGGUUUAAUUAGAAAUCCAAAAGAGAUUGGGUUGUUACCCAUAAUACCUUCCUGGAAAGCUUGACAUAUGUAAUUCAACUUAGAUUCAGCCCACGUUCUCAUUUGGGAACACUAACUUGACGAAAAACCUGUCAUAAGAAGCCAGGUCUAGAACAUAAAGUGCAUAAUUUCUUAUCUUAAGCAAUCAGUUCACAAUCUCUUAAACAUGCCAAAAUCAUAAAAAUAACUUUCAAUAAACUCAAAUAUUCUCAAAAUACAUUAAAAAUCAUAGUGUAAAAGGAGUAAAAACUUAUGUAUAUUUUUCACUUAUCACUCUUUAAGCAAGGAAGCUCUGUCAAAAGUUUUCAAGCCCCAUCUACGCUUGAAGUCUACAAAGAAUGAAGCUUUGCUGGAUCAAGCCUAAAACACCCCACUAGAGUUCUUCAACAAUACUUUGAAAACAAAUCAAAAGUACUCUUUAAAUCAUCAAAUCACCAAAUCUCGUUUUGCAAUACACGCCCAAAUUCCCAUUCUUGCAAAGUAUAAAUCUUGGCUUGAUUCGUCAAAUAAAUCAAGUCACCAUAUAUCAACUCCAAGGGAAGAAUCAUAGGAUUGUCUUAUUCUUUUGAAAAGAAUACUUAGAUAGAGAUUGUACAUGGUUAUAUAUUUAAUAAAAUCAUAUAUUUGUACACGUGUGCUUGUUUAAUUUCAGGUGCUCAAAAUUAUGUCUACAUAGAGAUGAUGACAAACUGGAUGUUGGGCUGGCUAAAUUUGUAGUGGGAUGUUGAUUUGUGAUAAAAUUUGGGAGGUUUGUGGUGUUUGUUGCAGAUAAAAAUAGAGAAAAAAGAAGAGAUGGGAGAGAGAGAGGAGGGUCCUUUCAUUCCUUUUCAAUGUAAUUCACUCGAUAUAUAUCGAGAAAAUAUUUGUGUUGGUGUUUACUGAUUGAUACUGCGAGGGUAUAUUCAAUCAGAAAAAUUUACUAUAAUUUACUAACAAAAAUAUUCUAUUAGUGUAUUCAUUUGUGUUUGUCAAUUUUCUGAUUGUGUUAAUAGUUAGGAGAUGAUAGAAGAAAACACAUAGAUUUAACUGAAUAAACCCUACUAAAGUUGGAUUUUCAAAUCAAUUUAUCCAAAACUUCACUUUAUAACACCGCUUUUGAUAUCUUAUCAAAUAGAGAAUCAAAAGAUCCUAUCUCUCUUAUUCUUAGAGCACUUCUCUAUUUGAAAUUCCAUAUCCAUAAAAAUCCAUCUCACACACCCAUAUUAGCUACAGAGGAAACUUGAUCUUCAGGUAGACUAUAUAGUCUAGGAAAUUGAACUACAAGACAAGAAUCUAUCAGCCAGACAUCAUGCCAGAAGUGUUGACCUCAUAGCUUAGCCUUAUUGUUGAUCGUUUUAAUAGAGAAGUGUAGUAACUAUAUUUAUCUGUGGAAGCCUAAGUCUGUCUUGUUUAAUUACUUUGUUUUCGCUAUUUUUUAAAAAAACUUUUAUGCACUUACCAUCAUGUUGGAGUCUUCUGAUCAAGAAGUUAAAAAUGAUAUAGUCCAUCUUCAAGUUUAGUUUCUCAUUGAUAUCUUCCUAAUUUAACAUAAAAAAUGAGAAAACUAUAAAGAAAACUCCAACUAAGCCUGUCAUGACUAACUCUUUCAACUUGUCUCAAGGUGUACACACCACAAAGAUAUCUUUUAAUGAUGAAGACUUGUUGCUUGGAUCAAAACUCGAUAAACAACUUUUUUUUUAUUAAAAGAUGUGUCAAUGAAAAGAUGGUGAAUUGUCUCUUGAUGGAUGAUGAUUCAACUAUUAAUAUACUACCUUUUAAGAUUAUAAAUGAGCUCAGGAUUCAUAUUUAUGUUUAUAUAUAAAAAAUAAUGUUGUUUUGACACACACACAUAAAAUUGAGGUUAAUCCAAGUUGAUCUAGGAUGGAUUAAAAAUUUUGACACAAAUUUUAUCCCGGGUUAACUCCUGAGCCGGGUCUAAUGAGUCUAAUGAGAAUUGUUUGAAAAAAGAUUAUGGAAAACCACCGGUAUAUAUAAGGAAAUCACUAGGAAAUUACUGAAUGGUUGUGUUUAAAAAUCAAAAUGGCACACAACAAGUCAAGCAUCCGCUUUCACGACCUUUCUUGGCCAGUAAUGCUAUAAUGAAGAGAGAGUGGUAUAUCCACUUUCUCAUUAAUUACAACAAAAAUAAACAACUAGUCAAUACGGUCCACGCAAAUUGUUUGGUAAGGUUACAUGCCAACAAAACUAAUUGGAAUAGGUAUAGAAGUAUUAGGUUAACAAUUAGAUAAUAAAGUUAGAAGUUGUUAGUUUAAGUAUUUUACAGGGGCUACUGUUUGAUCCAAAAAAUGAUUUGAAUAUAUACAGUUUUUUAUCCAAAUUUUAUACAUAGGAAAAGCUUGUUCUCUAUGGUUUUUAAUACCAUAAACGGUGCAUUAAUCCAGUUUUUAUAGAAAUAGCUAUGAUGAAAGUAGUAAAGAACACGUGGACUAUAUAUAUGUCAAUAAUGCCCAGAAAUGAUUUCGGGAAUUAUUAUAAAUUGCUAUCUGGAUUAUAUAUAUAUAUAUAUAUAUGUAUAUAUAUAUAUAUAUAUAUGUAUAUAUAAUAGAAUUCUGAAUGUUCUAAGCUAUGAUUAGUUUAUCAGGUAGCAUGCAGUUAACAAAUUAUUGUAGUUGAGUCAUGGAGGGAUUUUAACGGGUUAUAUGCUUGCGAAUAGGUUUUUUGAGCUAAGAUUUCAGACCUCAGCUAUUUAAGCAAAGAUAGUAAGUAAAUAUUCACACACUAUUAUUUUUAAAUAGAAUAGAUAUUUUUCUGAAUUGUGCAUUUUUCAUCUACUAAAUGUAUUACUUUCUAUCAAAAAAAAAAAAAAAAGAUCAAGCAAUGGCUGUGUUUAGAUUGAUUUGCUUAUAUGCGAUAUUUGUGAAUGUAUGGUAUAUAAUUUUUGUAAGAAUGUUUUAUAAUAGCAUUUACUCUGAAUAUGAACACCUCUAUGCAGGUGUUGUAAUUGACAAAGAAAAGAAGAGAAAUCCUUUCAAUUUAUGAAAAUGCAAUGAGUUAACCUUAUCUCAGACUGCAAUAUAUACUCUACAGUAUUCAUGUAUGAAAACAUUUGAAUGGUGAUAAAGAAAAUAAUUCAUCAAACAAUAUGAGGGUUGUUUGGAAAAAGAUUAUGGAAGACCACCAGUAUCAGUGUUGUUUGGAAAAAUAAUUCUGUAAUUGACUUUUGUAACUUGUCAGGUAACCACAGGUAACUUGUGUGGACCUCCAUUGCGAAACAAUUGUAGUGAGGAAGCAGUGCCAUCCCAGCCAGUGCCUAAUGAUGAACAAGGAGAUGAUGGUUUCAUAGACAUGGAGUUUUUCUACAUCGGUUUCGGUGUAUGUUAUACAAUUGUGGUGAUAAUGAUUGUAACAGUUCUCUAUAUAUCAAUCCAUUUUGGCGACGCAGGUGGUUCUACUUUAUCGAAGACUACAUAGAUACUUGCAGCUAUUUUGUGGCGGCUAGUUUUCGCAAGUUCUCCAACUUCAGAAGGUGAAUUUGUUACUAGGGAGACGGUCGUUCCUAGUUUGUGAUGAUUGUUUGUCCUGUAUGUCUAGCUAUUGGGUUCUUCAUUUGUAGUGUACUAUCUCUAAGCUCAACCUUUCUAUUUGAAUAGUUAUUUGGGCUAAAUAUAUAAGCUGGACUUGUCAUUCCUAAAUCAUUAGGAAGGGAACUGAUUUGGAUUGGUCAUUAACUCGGCUGUGAUUACUCUUUCAACUCUCAAGACUUGUCUGAAAAUAAAUUGCCAAAACCACUACUAAGUAGAAACAAAAUAUUCUAUGCAUUGUUUCAAGGGCGACCCCACCUCAGUUAUUCAAUCAAAGCAUUGAAAUCGGAGCAAGAUGAUGCACCUUAUUCAACAGCCUUCCUGGUCGUUUCUCCUAGCUUCUUUGCUCUGCUUCUCAUUUCCUCUGCUUCUUUACCCAUCAUAAUUUGAGUGAUUGCCUUCUCUACAGCUUCACUUUUAACAUGAUCUCCAUGCACUCUACGCCAUUCCCUUAACUCCAGUUUUUAAAACAUCAGUCACCAACUUUUCAUUAUAGAAUUGCUCGUCAAAUAUUGGCCUUUUGCCUUCAAGAGUUGAGUUCCAUCCUCAAUGAGUCACAAAGGCACCUAUUGCUUCAUGAUAAAGAAUCAAAACUUGGAGUACCCUUCCUCUGAUAAUUAGCCCUUUGCCUUCCAUUCUUUCCUCAAAUCCUUCAGGAAGACAAUCUUCCUUGUCUUAUUGACUCUUUUUGUUUCUUCUAACUACCCAGAUAAAUUGAUGCCCAGAAGCUUCGAGAUCUGUUGCAAUCUCCUUAAGCUGAGAGGCAAUGAAGUUUGCCAUGCUUCCAAAGCAAAUAUAAACAACUGAAUUUGGUUUCUUUGAGUCGAGCCACUUCAAACACUCAUGUUGAGCGAUUGAGGCUUCUUUUCCUCUUCCUGCUUUAUCUUCAAUGUCUCUAUUGCAUAGUGAAACCGGGCCUACGUUAAUCCACACCCUCUUUAAUUGACCCAACAAGACUAUAUCCUAACCAUACAGAUUCCUCUUCUACAGAUUAUUGGAUCACUUUAUGCAAAGCAGAGGAAUGAUUUUCUAGAAAAAGAGUGUCUUGGGAACUUACAGUAGAUUUCGUUGGAACUCUUGUCUCAGGACAGUGGCAUAGCUUCUUGAAUCUCUGUUUCUAAUCGGCCAUGGUUUUAUUUAAACGGUUAGUGUAAGCUAAGGGCAUUGGCAUUUUCGUGGUGGAUCAUUUGCCUCAGUGAUGGUUGAUGUAUCACGGUGAAGUGAUGCAAAUCCACCUCGAGGAUCAGCUGCAGCAGCUAUUGCAGAGCUGUGAAUCCAAAAUAAAUUAAUAAGCUAUGUAUUUGCUACUCAUCAAGCAAAAAGAAACAACUAACACUGCUGAAAUUGAAAGGCAACAACUUUUAAAUGAGAGAAAGGAGCAGCCUAUCACCUUUCAAUAGGCGUUUAAUCUUCAAACAACAGCUGUCUUUUGGUUUGUGAUUGCAAAGGACCAACCAUAUAUGGUUGCCUUGGAGACACUUGUUGCUGUUGUGAGAAAUUAGCAUUAGUUUUAGACGGUAGAACAGGUGAUGGUGUUGUUGGGUCCAAUGAAAAUGCAACUUUAGAGGAUGAUGAAGCUGCUUGAUCAUUAAGAGGAAUAUCAACAACAUGCAGCUCUGGUUCAGCAGGCAGGUGUGGAGCUUUAUCAGUUAUAAUGUGGUCACAGACAUUGGUAACAAUGAUGUCACAAAAGUUGACAGCAGAGCGAAAAGCUCCAAAUCUCAACUGGAAAAUCUUGUCAUUAUUUAAAUUUUCAAUCACGGGAGGUGGGAUGCAAUCAAUGAACCCCCUUGUCAUAGAGAUAGCGGUGGGCAGAGAAGCCAAAGAAGUUUUCAGUAGUUUUUCCAACCAUUAGAAAUGUUGCAACAUCAUUGCCAUCAGUCACAAUACAAUCUAGUUUCCCAAGAAAAAUAAUCAACCCUAAUCAGAAGAAAAUGUAUAAUCUAGUUUGGGACAUGAAAGAUAAAUGAACAUAACGCAUUAUUAGUUCAGGAAAAUCCAUAAAAUGUUUAGAAGUUAGAUAAAUAAACAUAAGGCAUUAUUAAAAAGAUGCAAAGAAAAUGUAUAAUCUAGCUUGGGACAUGAAAAGCAAUAGAAAAGAGCUCAUAACUGUGGAACCGCCAUUACUUCAUUGUGUCCAAUGCAUCUAAAAAUUAUGCCUUUGUUAGAAAAUGAUUUUGCGCCCAAGGGGCAACUUUGAUACCACCAUCCUCUAUGAAGGUCAUAUCAGCUAUCGAAGCUUUGCAUGUAAAUCUUUCGCUCUACAAAUUACUAUGAAAAAAUAUAGUUUGAUAUGUUUUUAUAAAGAGCAGAGUAAAUGUUGAAUAAAAGAUGAAGCAUUGAAAGAAUAGUUGAGAUUAUUGUUGACAUACUUUGUGCUGAUAUGGAUCUAGUCAAAGAAUUUCUUUGAUAGUCUACAUGUUUUUAUUUAUUUGUUGUUUGAUAAUUCUGAUGGCAUUCAUGGAAGUAGGGAGUUGAUGAACCUCAACUGGCAGAUGAUUAUAGUUGAGAAUAAAAGCAGUUUUAUGUUAAAAGAAAAUAAUAAUAAUUUAAUAACAUAAGCGAGACAAAAAAAAAAGAUAAAGAGCUAGCUUGCUAGUACAUAUACCUCAAGAAUUUCUGGGUUGAAAAACCAUAAGGAGGCAACAGUGCUAGCAAGGUUUGGUUUUCCUAGGAGUAAAAGGAUGUAAAUUGAUUAAAAUUAUUUGAAAAUAAGCUAAAUGAUAAUGGGAGAACGCAUGAUAGCUAGGUUAGAAAAAAAUAUAUAAAAACAUAAAAUUAAUUUUUUAGAUUAUGAAAAACUUUUUAUAGAAUCCACUGAUUUGAUAGUAAUCUCUUUCAAUGAUAAAAGUAGCAAACAACUACCUGCGUUUGAAGUGCGAAAUGCAUUGAGCCCCAUCAAGAAUAAAUUGCAUUUUUAAUUUUAUUAAAUAAUUUUUUGGCUGUGGUUGAUUCAAACACAUAAGUAACCAUGCAAACAAACGGAAAUAUGUCCUUGCCUUUAGUAUAGCUGAGCCCUGUAUUGUGUUACCUGAUGGAAUCAUGAUGAAAACUAUUAUAAAUGAGAUAACAUUAAAAUUGAGCGCAAAAAAAAAAAUAUAAAGCUAACAAAUGGUUUAUUAGCCACUGUCGGUAGUUUUAGAAAGUUUCACAGGGAAAAUUUUUUAUUUUACAAUUGAUUCAUUCCUAUAAAAUAUAAAUUAUUUUACAAUUUUUAGUUAUAUAUUUUAUUAUAUUAUAAAAUAUAAAAUAUAUUAUAACUAUAACGAUGAUAAUUAUAUUAUAAUUAAAAAUCUAAGUCAAUUCUUGGUUUAGCUAUAUCACACAUUGCUGUCAUCUUUGUAAUUAAUAAAAUAAAAUGAAGACAUUUUACAAAUAAUUCAUUCAACCAUGGCCUGUGUGUCAUGUUAUUUCUUAAACCUACACCACUGCUAUGUGUGUUACAAAGGGUUAAAAUAAAACAUGGACGUAGCAAAAGCUUUGUUUUCUCAAAAUAUUAAAAGGUUAUUUACUGGAAAAAGAAAAGGAAACAUUUGAUUAUACCAAAAGGAUAAUAAUUAAGUUUUUUUUUUUUCAGAUUCAAUUGUAAAAAUAGUUUUUCAAUUUUAGAUUAAAGCUUGUAAAAAUUAAAGGGUGAAGAUAAGGAAGUCUAUUGUUUUUUAUUUAGUACAUGGAACCUUGUGAUAUCCUUUUGAGAAUCUAAUUGAACAAAUUUAAGAAUUAAAAACUGAAAUCAAAAGGGGAAUAUAUGACCUAAUUUAGUUUAGGAUUAUCAAAAUAAUAUUAUUUUAUUUAAAUAAAAUAAUAUGUUUUUGACAAAAAUAGCAUGUUUUGAUUCAAUACAACAUUGUCCUCGUCAACACCAAGUUAAAAAAUAUAUAAAAAAAAACUAGAUAAUAUGUCGCUCAACAGUGAUCAUUGUCCUUUUUUCAGCCUUAUAAAAGCUGACCGAGAGAUCCCUUUUUCAAAGCCAUUUAAUGUAUCUCCCACUACUUUUUUAGAGCCAUAUGUGUGGACUUGGGCCUUUAAUCCAAUAAGCCUAACCUAUGUGAUCGGGCAACGCCUAGCCUAGCCCAACCCAACCUUAAAAGCAAGUUUGGCAUGCCUAAUUUUUACCAAAAAAGAAAUGUUUUUUUUCCCUAAAAGCAUGUUUAUCAAACACAAUCUUAAAACAUUUUUCAUGUCUCUGACUUUUAGAUAAAUGUGUGUUUGACAAACACGAUUAACUAUCCUCUUUUUAGCCUUAGUUUGUUCAUUAUUUUAGUUUCUAGCCAAACAUGCUCUACAUAAUCUCAAAAAAUUCUAAAAACAAAAGUUUGACCAUUUUAAAAUUAUUUGUGAGUUCCUUAGAUGUUCUCCCAACAAUUUCACUUAAUAUUGAGAUGUAAACUUACACUACAAAUACUGACUCGAUAUUAAAAAUACUUAUUUUUCUCUGAAAUUUCAAAAAAAACUAAAAAAAUAUUAUUUCAAAAAUACAAAUUUUUUUUUGUUUGCAUACAACUAGUUCCUAAUGUUUUUCAUGCAUUAUUUAUAAAAAGCAGAAAAAUUGCAUCAUUAUCAUAUUUUAAAAAAUACAAAAAUAAAUAUUGUAAUCAAUUUAUGAUUAUUCAUUGGGGUUUAACUAAAAUUUCAAAAAUACCACAUAAAUUAAAUUUUGUAAUUGAUAUUCAGGGUAUGAACUUUACACAUAAUGCGUACUUUUGAUAUUAAAUUAAAUGAAUUAAUAGCAAUAAAUGUUAUGAAUUACUUACAGACUUUAUUAUUUUGCGGUAUAAAAUUAUACUAUAAGAAUAGGUACGAGUGUCUGUAACAAUCCCAGUUAUUUUGUUCCAUCAAUGUAAAAAGAUCCUCUUAAAUUGAGGGUAAUGUUUUUUUAGGCCCCGCAAAGAUUGCCAUUUACUCGAAGAAUUAAAAUGGACUCCAUUUUAUGCUAAUAAAGGUAUAAUUAAAUCAUAUCAUUCAUGAAUUAACAAUUAGUAGAUGGUUAAAAGAAACUAUUCAUGUUUUAAAGGUAAAUCAAAUGGAAAUAAAUGCAAUAGUGUUUACACAAAAAUACCAUGCUUCAAGUCUAGCCGAGAGUUUUUAUACACAUCAAGUUUACACAAAAUAAUAUGCUUCCAGUCUCAGCUAAGAGUUUUUAUACACAUAGAAGAUUACACAAAAUAACUUAUAACAUGUACUAGUUAAUACUAAUAUGCUUAAGGUUAAUUUGUACAUAAGUUUAACAAAAAUAGAGUCCUAAAACUAAUAAGCUCCCUAGAUAUUAGAUAGACCUGUUACAAAAACUUCUUAUGGAUGCAAUUAUAUCGGUACAAGAAAUAUAAAUGAUCAUGCAACGAAUACAAAUGAGGCAUAAGUUUUCUAUUAGUUACAUGGGAAUCUUAGUAAUCAACUUAUAAAUUUAUUGGGAAUCAUUUUAAAACACUAUUUAACACCAUUUACAUAACUUUAAUGGGAUACUCUUAUCUUCUUACAUGAACUCAUAACUUUGUUUAAUUGGAUUCACUAAGUCUUCAGCUUUGCAUAGUCCGAUUUGAAUAAUUUUGAGCAAUUGUACUUAUCAAUUUCCGAGGUCAUCCAAACACAGUACCCUUUACAAAUUAAGUCUUAUUGAUCGUUCCUGAGCAUCCCAACAUGGACACCAUUAGCUCUAGUUACUCUUAUUGAUCAUUUCCCGGCAAUUCUAAUGCAAAUAUCAUUAGCCGAAGCUAAUUUUAUUAAUCGUUCCCGACAGUCCUAACACGAAUGUCAUUAGCCAAGGCUAAUAUUAUAAUUCUAUUAGCCAAGGCUAAUAUUAUAAUUCAUUUUCCAGCAAAUCCUACCACAAAUAUCAUUAGCCAAAACUAAUCUCAUAAUUCAUUUCUCAGCGAUCUUAUCAUGAAUGCCAUUAGCCGAAGCUAAUCUCAUAAUUACUUUCCCGGCAAAUCCUACCAUGAAUGUUGUUAGCCAAAGCUAAUGUCAUAAAUAUACCAGACUUUAUUUACAUUGAGCAUAAUAUAUAUAAUUGCAUUCCUCCUAAAGAAUUAAAUUUCAUCAAUGUAAAUGGAAGGGAAAACCACGCACCUGCUCUGUCUGUCUCAUAACUUCCUCCAACAAAAGAUCCAAUCAUGGUCGCUCCUCCUAAAUCAUAAGAAAAUCUUUGGUCAUGUUUCCUUCAAUGUUUUUAAACCCGGCCCAGGUCACUUGUUUUGCCCAAGUCACCGGGUCUUGAUCGGGUCAACCCAAACUUUUUUUUAUAAAUAAAAACAAUGUUGUUUUGGUAAAAAAAAUAAUUAACAGGUUAUUACCUUGUUUUUGACUGGGUUUUGUCUGGUUAGCCAGGUCACCCUGGGUUGUGACUUCCCCUAUUUUUUCUUAAACCUGGCUUGGUUCCAAUCUUGAGUCUCGGGUCGACCUACCAAGCCGGGUCAGGUUUCAAAACUUGGGUUUCCUUAAAGCCUUAUGUUAUAUUAACUCUAUAUUCAUUCAUUAUACAUAUUGUACUUUCCAUACAUGUUUAUUUUCUCAUCAUAUCAUAUACAUACAUAUCAAGUAUAAUUGGCUUGGAUUUGUAGUAAAUCCUGUGAAAUUUUUGCUACAAUAUCCUCAUCAUUCUCUCUUCCCCUCUUUUCUUUUCUUAAAACCUCUCGUCCCACAUCAUCAUGUAUGGUUGUGACAUCGAAAAUGGAGCAGUUUCUUGAUUACUAGUAGCAGGUUCGUGAUUGUUAUGAUAUAGAACUCACAUUAACGAUGGAAUUCGUAUGGAAGAAGUCGUAGAAGAAGAAGAAGAACAGGGCUCAAGAUAGUGAGAUGAAGAAGACUGUUGGAGCAGAGAAUGCGUGGGCAGAGUUUGUUGGAAGGAAAACUGAUUCAAUAUAUUCAUAUCCUCUGUUGUAACAGAAUGAUUAUUAUUUAUACAGCUGAGCCUAACAACCUAGCACAUGCAUCUUCUCUUUGCACGUGAUAGUAACUGAUUUGUAAUAGAAACAUAAACUUUCUAAACGCACCGUUUAGGACUUAGUGACUUACUCGUAACGCACCGUUUUACAAUCGAUUAAUUUGAAUUUCCCUCGUGUAAAACCUAUAGCUAAAUGUUGACCUGCAACAAUUGCCCCUUCUUCAAAUGGACCUUGUCCUCAAGGUCAAAUUGGGGAAAACGAAGGGCGAUUUCAUCAGCAAAUUCCCAGGUAGCUUCUGCAGGGGUGAGACCCGCCCAAUGAAUGAGGAGUUGAGUGGCGGCCUGUAGAUUUCGCUUGACCAUUCGACGUUCCAAAAUAGCUUGUGGAAGAAGAAGAGGUUCUGAUGGCAAGGCAGGCAGUGUGGUUUGGACAACCCGAUUGCCCACCUUAUUUUUCAGAAGCGACACAUGAAACAUAGGGUGGAUGGAGGCAGAGGUAGGUAACUGCAAUUUGUAAGCUACGGUACCGAUUCUUGCUAAGACUUUGUAUGGUCCAUAGUAUUUUGAAGCUAAUUUUUGAGAAUAUCUGUGGCCUAGAGUUUUCUGUCGAUAGGGUUGUAGUUUGAGGUAGACGAAAUCACCAGUAUUAAAUUGUCUUUCACUCCUGUGUUUGUUGGCAAGCUGAAUCAUCCUAUGCUGAGCAUGUUGUAAGUUGUGUUUAACUGCUUGUAGAAUCUGUUCUCUAUUGCAUAAGAAUUUAUCCACGGUAUCGACAGGGGAGUCUUUGGGGACAUAAGGAAUGUGUAAAGGGGGAGGGUAGCCAUAGAGAAUUUCAUAGGGGGUAGAUUUGGUGGCUGUAUGGUAGUUGGUGUUGUACCACCAUUCAGCAAGGGGAAGCCACUGAACCCAGUGUGUAGGAGAAGUACCUGUCAUGCAGCGGAGGUAAUUUUCGAGGCACUUAUUGACCACCUCUGUCUGGCCAUCGGAUUGGGGGUGAUAGGCUGUCGAGUAACACAAUUUGACGCCUUGUCGAGCAAAUAACUCCUUCCAGAAGAGACUGAGAAAGACAGUGUCUCUGUCACUAACAAUGGUGGCUGGAAAUCCAUGCAGCUUGUAGAUAUUAUCGAGGAACACUCUAGCUAUAGAACAAGCAGUGUAGGGGUGGGGAAUAGCCAUGAAGUGAGCAUAUUUGCUAAAUCUGUCCACUACCACAAAUAUCACCUCCUUGCCUUCAGAUUUAGGGAGCCCCUCUACGAAAUCCAUACUAAUAUCGAUGAAAGGAUGUGUAGGAAUAGGGAGAGGUUGUAGCAGUCCAGGAGUUCGUGUAUUUUCAGAUUUGUUUUGUUGGCAAGUGGUACAUUCUCUGAUGUAUUGGCGAACAUGCCUUUGCUGGCCCUUCCAAUAAAACCCAUUGGCCACUCGUUUGGCAGUAACAGUAGAGCCUGAAUGGCCACCAGUAGCUGAAUCAUGGUAAAUGGAAAUAAUCUGAGUCUGAAGAGAUUCAUUUUGGCCUACCACCAAUUUACCUUUCCUGAAUAGUGAAUAGUGAGGGUGAGAGGUAGGCUAUUGGGUAAGUUCCUGAAUGAGAAGCUGAACUGCCUUAUCAUCCUGCCAUGAUUGUUUGAUAGCCUCUAGGAGUGUAGUGGAAAGGGAAGAGACUGCCAGGGUGCUGAGAGUGCCACAUGACACUCUUGAGAGGGCAUCAGCAACCACAUUGUCUUUGCCCUUCUUGAAUUCGAUCUCAUAGUCGAAUCCCAAGAGUUUGGCGAGCCACACAUGUUGUGAUGGACAAGUCACCUUCUGUUCCAACAGGUAUUUGAGACUAAGAUGGUCAGUACGUAUAGUAAAGUGUUGUCCCCAUAAGUAAUGUCGCCAUUUAGUAACUGCUAGGAGGAUAGCAAGGAGUUCCCUUUCAUAGGUAGAAAGUGCUUGUUGUUUAACCCCAAAUGCUUUACUAAUGAAAGCAAUCGAGUGACCUGUUUGCAUGAGAACUGCCCCCAUGCCCUUGCUGCUAGCGUCUGUCUCAAUGAUAAAUUGUUGAGUGAGGUCUGGUAGGGCCAAAACUAGAGGUUGAGUCAUCAUGAAUUUCAAUUGAUUGAAGGCUGUGGUGGCUUCUUCAUUCCACUUGUAGGCAUCUUUUUUCAACAGCUGUGUCAAGGGUUUGCAAAUGAUGCCAUAACCCUUAACAAACCGCCUGUAGUAUCCAGUGAGACCCAAAAACCCUCUUAGCUGUUUAAUGUUGCCAGGGAGAGGCCAAUUCAGGAUGGCCUGGAUCUUAUGGGGAUCAGUCGAGACCCCUGCUGCUGAGAUGACAUGGCCUAGGUAUUCCACAUGAGAGCUGCAAAAUACACACUUGCUGGACUUGGCAUACAGCAGGUUAGUCUGUAGGAUGGUGAAGACAGUUCUGAGAUGGUCUAAGUGUUCUGGCAUGGAGUUACUGUAAACAAGAAUAUCAUAAAAAAAAAAGAGAAUUGCCUUAGUUGGUCCCUGAAUACUUCGUUCAUGAGACUUUGAAAUGUGGCAGGAGCAUUAGUCAAGCCAAAGGGCAUAACCAAAAAUUCAUAGUGUCCAUUGUGGGUCUUGAAUGCUGUCUUGUAGAUGUCAUCAGGGGUCAUUCGGAUUUGGUGGUAACCAGAUCGGAGAUCAAUUUUUGAGAAGACUGAGGCACCGACCAGUUCUUCUAAGAGUUCAUCUAUUAGAGGAAUAGGAAACUUAUCUUUGAUUGUAAGUUGGUUUAAGGCCCUGUAGUCAAUGCAUAACCUCCAUGAACCGUCCUUCUUCUUGACUAGGACAACAGGUGAAGAAAAUGGGCUAUGACUAUGCUGAAUGGUUCCUGAGGCCAGCAUUUCCUUAACCAUAAGUUCCACCACAUCCUUCUGUAGGCUGGAGUGUCGGUAGGGUCGAAGGUUGACUGGGUUAGAGCCUUCUUAAGAGGAAUACUGUGAUCAUGGCUGCGAGGAGGAGGCAAACCCCUAGGUUCUUCAAACAACUCUUGGUAUUCUGCUUGCAGAUUGAUAAAAGCUGUGUUUUCAGUGAGGUCAGGUUGGAACCCAGUGGUGUAGGGUGCUCCUUGGUCCUGACUGUUAAUGGAACGUAGACUGCAUACAUUAAUUUCAGAAACCAUAUUAGUACUACAUAGCAAGCCAUUAAGUUGCUUCAGUCUGAUGGUUUCCAUGGUUACUGGAUCAUUGCCCUUAAUGAAAACCUCUUGACCUCGCCAUGUAAAUGCCAUCCACAUUUCCUCAUAGUUGCAUACAAUGGUUUUCAGGGUAGCUAGCCAUUGAAUGCCCAGUAUCAUAUCACAGUUUUUUAGAUCCAAAGUAAACACAUCAGUCGCAAAAUCAACUCCCUGGAUAGACCAUUGGAAGUUGUUACACACUGAGGUGCAAGUCAUGAUUCCCCCAUCUGCUACCUGCACUGUUAGAGCCUUAAUACUUGUAAGGUGACAAUGCAAUUUGUCUACUAUGUGAUUGCUGAUGAAAUUGUGUGUACUGCCAGAAUCAACCAAGAUAAUCAGCGGCUGGUUCUCAACCCUGCCUGUGACCCUUAAAGUGUUUAGGCCCGUCACCCCUUCUAUUGCAUUGAGGGAAAUGUGAGGGUUGUAUGUUUCAGGGUCUCGGUCAAUAGUUCUUCAUCCUCACUACCCUCUCCAUUCUCCUCCAUGAUACAUAGAGAAUACAGCUUCUUAUUUUGGCACCUAUGUCCUGGUGUAAACUUCUCAUCACACCAAAAACAAAGGCCUUUAGCACGUCUCUCGUCCAAGUCCCUAUUUCUGACAGGUCUAGUGGUUCUUUGGGUGGUGUUGGGAUUGUAAUGUGGGGGGUUUGGUAACAGACCUGCUUGUGGCUGUUUAAGGUUAGUACUGGGAAACCCGAUGGGAAAGUUUUUGUUGUAAUUAGCAGAGGUUGCAGGUUUGUUUUGGUAAGACAAGGUUGUGGGUUGAUAAGUCUGUUUGGUAGGAUUAGAACCAUAACGUCUGUGGGUGAGGGUGUUGUCCUGUAAUCUAGCUAAUGUAUAUGCUUGUUUCAAUGACUUUGGCUCAAACAUUUUGAUCAUAUUUUUAACUUCUAUAUCCAGCCCUCCUAUGAAAAAAACCAAGGCGUUUUUCUCAGAAAUUUCAGAUCGAUUCCAGAGGAUAUCAAAAUCCUUGAUGUAGGUUUCUAAAUCAUUUCUCUGCUUGAGUUCAAUGAGCUUCUCAUAUAAUUUUGAUGCCAACAUAGGGCCAUACCAUCUAGAUAAUAGGAAGCUAAUUUGAGCUUGUCUUGCUCAGCAGUUUCUUCUACAUCAAAGUAUUGGUUACACUUAUAAAUCCAUUUAAGGACAUCCUCUCCUUUAAAAAUGGAAAACUCUCGUUUCGGCCUACGCAAUUGAUAUUGAGGGGAAGUACCUUCAUUAAUCCAGUUGAAACGAGCGGUUGAGUCUCUUGUGGGAGGAGGCUGAGGAGCCUUAGGUAGGCUGCAUUCCCCUGAAGAAAGUUGGGUCUUCUGUAAUGCUGUGUCUACCCGAGAAACAAGAGCAUCCAUGGCUUCUUUAAGUUCCCUGAAGCGUGUAUUAGCAUCAGCCCUGAUAUUAUUAAGUUGUUGUUGGAUGUGAUCAUAUGUUUGAGGUUGCUCCGGAUUGGUGGUUCCAUCCACCCUUCUGGCAUCUUGGGAUCUCGUUUCAGGAGGCAUUGUGAGUCUGGAGAUGCAGCUCUGAUACCACUUGGAGCAGUUUCUUGAUUACUGGUAGCAGGUUCGUGAUUGUUAUGAUAUAGAACUCACAUUAACAAUGGAAUUCGUAUGGAAGAAGUCGUAGAAGAAGAAGAAGAACAGGGCUCAAGAUAAUGAGAUGAAGAAGACUGUUGAAGCAGAGAAUGCGUGGGAAGAGUUUGUUGGAAGGAAAACUGAUUCAAUAUAUUCAUAUCCUCUGUUGUAACAGAAUGAUUAUUAUUUAUACAGCUGAGCCUAACAACCUAGCACAUGCAUCUUCUCUUUGCACGUGAUAGUAACUGAUUUGUAACAGAAACAUAAACUUUCUAAACGCACCGUUUAGGACUUAGUGACUUACUCGUAACGCACCGUUUUACAAUUGAUUAAUUUGAAUUUCCCCCGUGUAAAACCUAUAGCUAAAUGUUGACCUGCAACAGAAAACCAUGCUGCAAGCUUGACAUAUUGUUCUGCUGCAUCGUUGGUAUAGAACAUUGCACAUUCAAUGAUUGCAACUGGGGAUUUAGUUGAUUUUCAUGGGACUGCAAUUGAUGAACUGGAGGCUGGGGAAGUUGUCCUAGCUGUAGAUUAGGAAUAGGCCUCCUGAAUCUAACUAGGUGUGACGUUGUUUUUAGAGACCUGUAAGAACAGCAAAAAUUAGUUGAGAUAAAAAUAGCAGAGUGGAAUUAAUGUUGGAAACUCAAGAGGACGUCGAUAUUGAUGGAAUGGAAACAUGCAAAGGGCUGUGUAAGUACACCUUCAGACAAGAUUCAGGUUACUUUGUCGAUAUUGAUGGAAUGGAAAGAUGCAAAGGGUUGAGUUCAGUUACUUUGUCUCACUGCAUUAUAUUUUUAUAUAGGUGGUUAUGAACUAUCAAAAUUGAGCAAUUUGGAACACCUUGACUUGGAAUUAAAUCACUUUAAUAACAGUAUUUUAUCAUUAAUGGAGAGGCUUUCAUCUCUUAAAUUCUUAAAUUUGAUUGAGAUGGGGCUGUUCCUUCAGAUGUUAAUGGUGUUUGUAAUAAUGGUUUCCUUGCAAGGAUGGCUGCCUCUUGGUUGCUUGGAGGAAGAGAGAAUCGCUCUCUUGCUCCUCAAAGAUUCUCUUAACUAUCCCGAUGGCACAUCCCUACCCUUGUGGAUUUUUAGAAGGCCAAGCCCACUGUAGUUCCUGGGAAAGUAUUAUCUGCAACAGCAGUCACCAGACUCUAUCUUGAUGGCACAAGGUACUUAAAUUAAUGCCUUCCUUUUCAACAACUUUGAAGUCAGUGGCACUGUAUCUUCUCGAGGUAAAUUAACAAAUUUUAACUCCAUAUUACUUAUCUGUGACUGUGCCCUAUAAAGAAUUCCUCUUUUCCUCUUUUAAAUGUCCUCUUUUCCUAGAGAUAAUUGAACUGACAAAGAGAAACAAUGCGAAGUACUUUCUAACCAAGAAAUGAAAGAGGGAGCGUAGGCGAAGAUUAAUUCAAACAGUUCCAGGUUUUGACAUCUGGGAGACCAUAUCAUAUGCUGCUAGCCAUAGUUUAAAAUAUCCAAGCCCUGCACAGCACCGUGAACAAGCGAAGUUUUGGCCAGCCACCACACCUUCGUCAUCGUUCAGACCAGAAGUGGAGGGGAAGUUUUGGCCAGCCACCACCUUCGUCAUCGUCCAGACCAGAUCUGUCACUGUCUUCGGCCGAUCUCUCAUUCUUCUACCGUUGGAUCAACUUGAUUUUUGGGUAUGUUAUGUGUCUCCAUAGUUCCUACAUCCAGACCGGAGGGAUCGUUCAUAUCUGCUACCGUUUAAGAAAUCUAAUUGUUUGAAGAUUUCUGGACAAACCACUCUCGGAACAGUAAGCUCCGCUGGCCUUUUUCUCACUUUUCUACCGUUGGAUCAAUCUGAAUUUUGGAUAUGUUAUGCUUAUGGUUGUAUUAAACAUUCUGAACGGUGGAGAUGAGAUGAAACCUUUUCCAGCAAAGUGUUAUGAAUGUCUAAAUGGUGGCUCGUCAAUCUCAGGUCAGUUUUGUUCUAACUCCGAUCUAGAGAGAUCCAACCGUUAACUUGAGCUGAUAUUUGGAUAUAUGCUGCAUAAGAUGUGUGUUUAUCUUUGUACCGUUGGGAUUUGAUAUUGAUUGAAUUGUUAGUCAGUAAUUGAUGUUUGAAGCUCUGUCCGGAAUCUGUCAUGACUUUCAAACCGAAACCCAAAACACCCAAAGUUAACAUCACCCCCUCAACCACUAAACAUCCCACAAACCAACACCAAAACACCCAAAACACAGCCUUCCCAUCGCAGGUUUGAUUUCCAAAAUCCCACAAACCAACAAACAAUCAAAAAUCCCUUUCCAACAACCAUCUCUGCCCAAAACAGCAACCACUCUCUAAACACAAUUGCAGUUUCCUAGCACAAAGAACAACGAUACAAUAACAAGAUCUCCCAAAAUGCUCCCAACCAAAAAGCCUUCGCUCACCCCUGCAAACCAGACCGUAGCAACGUUACUCAAACCUCACCUGAAUAAUACAGCCUCUCAAACACCUUCAAACACAACCUUCCCUGUUACACUAAACCUACCGAGACCUGUGCACCACACAAUAAACGUCCAGAACGUUAAUAAGCCUUCUUCUAACACAACCUUCCCGACCUUUACCCCUUCUAAGUUCUUUAUUGAACGUUUCCCAUCAUGGUUAGAUUAUCAUGACCUCAAAAAGACGCUUGCAAAGAUUGGUCCUGUUACCAAUCUUUUUGUCUCCAGGAAAAAAACAUCACGAGGGAGACGGUUUGGGUUUGUUUCCUUCCUCUCCACCUUAAAAGAAUCAGACAUUUGUAACAGCUUGAACCUUAUCUGGUUCGAUUCAUACAAAAUUCGUGCAAACCCGGUCAGAUUUCAGAAACCUCUAGACAAAAAACCAGACCUUGUUAUAAAACCACAACCAAAAACCAUGCCCAAACUCACCUUCAGAGACACCCGGACCUUCGUUGAAGCUCUUUCUGUCACAAAGCAUCCAAAGAAAACGGUGAUGUAUGAGUCUAUCCCCGAUGACAAGGAAUGGCUUCAGAGAAGUUUAGUGGGAUUCAUAGCCACAGACGUGGACUAUGCUCAGCUUGAGCAUAUGGUGCUAAAAAAUGUCAAGCAGACAGUUGGGUUUCGUUUUUUGGGAGCAAGCCAAGCAGUCAUCACCUUUACAAAUAGAGAAUCUAUGGAGAAAGAGCUGGUAAAUGGAUCCUCUGUUUUGGAAACAUCAUUCUUUCAUUUGAAACCAUGGGAAAAAGGAGCUAAAGCCAUAGACAGAUUUGUGUGGGUGUCCAUAUUAGGAUUACCUUUGAUAGGAUGGAAUCGCAGAUGUAUUGAAUCCAUUAUUGAGAAAGCAGGGAAAAUGCUUGGAUAUGACAUUACCAGCGUGAGCCAAGGAUCUCUCACAGGAGUUAAAGUGCUGCUGAGCACAACCUCAUUUGAGACGCUAAAUGAACAUGUUUUGCUGGUUCUAGAUGGCGACGAAUUGAAAUCUCAAUCAUGGAAAUGAAACCGGAUUUUAGUCCCCUGCUGUCUACAAUCAAACAUUCAAUGGGUGCAACAGGUAUUCAAACAUCAGAUGAAGAGUUAUGCAGUGAAUUUGCAGCUUCAGAUGAGGUUACGGCAGCGGGCACAAAGAUUACUGACACUGAUGGUGAUCAUUGUGCAACAGACAUUAUUUUAACACAGCAACAAAAGGCGGAUACGGAUAGUGAUUUCUCUCUCAUUCUCUAUCAAGGGUACACUGGACCAACAAACAACUUGGAUCAUACUGACACAAGUUCAAAAUUGCCUACCUUUUUCCUGAAACAAAAGAAACACGUGAUGAAGGGGCAACCGACAGUGAUAGCAACACAGAUGUCUCAGCACAUUCAGUUACAAGAGUGGGCCUUGUAAAAAACAGAAUCACAGGCCAGGUGAAAGGAACAAGGCUAAUCAACAAGGCAAUAAACUCAUGUAACUCAUUCUCUGAUUUCAUACGUGACCUGGCAGAGCCUCAAGAAGUAGUGGAAAUGGAACUACAGGAAAAAAAAAAAAGCUUAGACGAACCAGAAGACUUGGCCCUAAAUAUACAUACGGAAAAGGGAAGAAGGGGAAGAAAAACAGGCAUGCUUUGGCUCUUAAUGACACAUCAGAUAUUGUUCCUGACUCAUUCAGAAACACAUCUCAAAAAGAAAACGGCUCCCCCUGCUAUUAAGUCAUCUACUGAUCAACAUGAAGAUAUUACCUCUAAUCAUGCAUCCAUGGAUACAGAGACCAGUGAUACACAGCUCAUCUACCAACCCUUUUGAACUCUCAGUGCAGCCAAGAGGCCUCCUCAGAAGCGAUCAACGAAAACAACAGGAAUGCUAGAAGCAAAUCCAGGAAAAUAAAAUUGUUGCAAGCUAAUGGUAGUGUAGCUAACACUACUGAGAAAUGUGUCUCUUCUGAUUCCCUCAAUUCGGGAAUUAAGCAAGGCAAUGUCCGGUUCCAGACAACCUGUGAGAAUAAUCAAGCUGAUGGUUUUGAUAUAGAUAAGGAAACCCAGGAAAUGUUACAUGAUGCAGCGGCUCUAGGCUUGGGACCAUUCCAAGAUCUUAUAGGGUAUGAAGAGGGAGUUCGGGGGAACAUUGACAGAGAAGUAGACGAGUGGAAAUCAGUCAAUCAGUUGUAAGUUUCUUAACUUGCUAAGUUUUGUUCUGUCAUGGUUUUGAUCUACCUAUGAAUAUUUUUGCUUGGAAUAGUUGUGGGUUGGGUAUGUUGAACAAACGUCAUUCCAUCCGGAAUAGGUUGCUCAACAGUAAUGUUGAUAUCUGCUUUCUAUUAGAAACAAAAAAAGAUAAUUGUUGCGAUUCAUACAUCAGGAAUUUGUGGAAUGUGGUAACUGUUAAAUGGGCUUUGCUAGAGUCUGUAGGCAAAUCAGGAGGGAUAAUUGUGAUGUGGGAUAGUUCUAUCUUUGAGGUUAAUUCCAUAGAAUUUGGGGGGCAAUGGAUCAGCCUAUGCGGUAAACAUGUUCAUUCUUCCUUUAACUGCAUGGUAGUUGGUGUUAUGCUGCAUCUUCUGUGCAAGAUCGUGCUAAGCUGUGGGAAGACAUCACUACUCUGAAGUUUGCCUUUGAAUUACCAAUGGUGGUGAUAGGUGAUUUCAAUGAAACUCUUCAAGCUAAUGAGAGAAGUAGCGGCUACAUUAAUCAUUCAGGGUCAGCUGCUCUCCGUAAUUUCCUGUCCGAUUGUGCUCUGAUUGAAUUCAAACUGCAGGGCAACCGUUUCACUUGGUUUAGGGGGGGUUCUAUGAGCUGUAUUGACAGGGCUUUCGCAUCUCCAGAGUUCCACCUCCAGUUUCCAUUCUUAUCACUCUACCGUUAUCCUAGGGGGAUGUCUGAUCACUGUCAAUUGCUUCUUCAGGCACCAAAGGUAGAUUGGGGAUGGAAGCCUUUCCGCUUCAUAAAUAGUUGGUUGUCACACCCUACAUUCUCAGCUGAUUUUGAGAUCUUCUGGUUUGAUAGUUGCAAGGAAUUUCCCGGUGACUAUAGAUUGGUAAAGAAACUAGGAACUUUGGGGAAAAGACUGAGACAAUGGAACAAAUCCACCUUCGGUAAUCAAAAUUCAAAACUUGCAGACAUUCAGAACUCCAUCACAACCAUCGAAGACUUAAGCGAGGUACGCCUCUUGUCUGAGACUGAAAAAACAAAGCUCAAGAAUCUGAACUCUGAACUUUGGGAGGUUAGUAGGAAUGUCGAGGGCAUUUGGAGGCAGAAAUCCCGCCAAAACUGGUGCAAAAUGGGGGAUAAAAACACUCGGUUCUUCCAUCUUUCGGCAAGUUUGAGGAAUGGUCGGAACCACAUUAGCAAGAUUGAGCAGAAUGGCAGAUUUUUGGACUCUCCAAAUGACAUCAAAGAGGGUGCUGUCAACUUCUUCUCAACUCUGUUUGCCAAGCCACAAUGCAGAAGAAUUGAAAUGGGAGACUCAGGGUUCUCUAAAAUUUCAGAAGAAAGUUCAGUUUGGUUAGAAAGACUACCUUCAUUGGAGGAAGUGAAGCAAGCCGUAUGGGAUUGUGAUGGUUCAAAAGCCCCCGGUCCUGACGGGUUCACCUUCUCCUUCUAUAAAAAGGAAUGGAAUCUUAUCAGCCCUGACAUCUUUGUGAUGGUCACAGAAUUUUUCAGAACAGGUAAAUUACCAAAGGGGAUCGGCUCGUCCUUCGUGACUUUGAUUCCAAAGACCAAGAGGCCGAGCACUUUCUCCCAAUUUCGACCAAUUAGUUUGAUUCAUGGGUUAUAUAAAAUAGUGGCAAAGCUCUUGUCCACUAGGCUCCGAAGCAUUCUACCAGAUGUGAUAAGUGUAAACCAGUCUGCUUUCAUUGCCGGGCGUCAGAUUCUAGAUGGGUUCAUGAUAGCAAACGAGGUUGUCCAUAGUAUUCGUAGCAAAAAGGACCACGGGUUUUUGCUAAAGGUAGAUUUUCAUAAAGCCUUCGACUCGAUUUUAUGGGAGCAUAUCGAUUCUACCAUGGGUUAUAUGGGUUUUGGAUCUCACUGGAGGAAACUGAUCUUUGAAUGCAUGUCCACUUCUAAAUUGGCCAUCCUGAUUAAUGGCUCACCAAGCAGAGAAUUCAGUAUGGAGAGGGGUCUCAGGCAAGGGGACCCCCUCUCUCCUUCCUUUUUGACAUAGCAGUUCAGGGGUUAACAGUUCUAUUCAACAGGGCAUCAGAUUCAGGUUACUUUAAAGGUUUACAGACUUCGCAAGGACAUCACAUAACCCAUUUGCAAUAUGCAGAUGACACUUGAUUUUCCUGCCGAAUGAUUAUAUCUCUCUAUUGCAUGUCAAGAGGAUCCUCCGCUGGUUUGAGAUCAUUUCAGGACUGAAAGUUAAUUUCUAUAAAAGCUCACUUAUAGGAAUUAAUUUGGAUAACGAAUACACUUCAGGUCUGGCUAACACAAUUUUCUGUCGCAGUGACUCUUCCCAGUCAGAUACCUUGGGUUGCCUCUUGGUGCUAACCCAAAUAGGCUCUCCACUUGGAAACCGGUAUUGUCCACAAUCAGAGCAAAGUUAAGCAAAUGGAAAGGGAAGUUUUUGAGCAUGGCCGGAAGGAUAUGUCUUAUUAAAUCUGUCUUAAACUCUCUACCUCUAUACUAUAUGUCGGUCUUUAUUAUGCCAAAGGGCAUUGCAAAAGCAAUAUCCUCAAUCAACCGAUGUUUUCUCUGGAAGGGCUCCUCAAAUUCACAUGGUAUUUGUAAGGUUGCUUGGCAUAAGGUAAUUAAGAGUAAGCCACUGGGAGGUCUCGGGCUUGGUUCUAUUCACAGUAAAAAUCUGGCUCUGAUGUUUAAAUGGCUUUGGAACCUUGACAAAGGAGUGGUAGGAGGUUGGCAAGAGCUCAUCUUACGAAAGUACCGGCCACAUUUUUCAAAUGGCCUUCCUGUGUUUGCAGGUUCUUUAUCUCCAACUUGGCGUGGCAUGGUAUCUGCAAUUUCCUUAAAUCACAGCAUAGCCGCUCCCAUCCAAUCCAAUGUUGGGUUUAAGGUGGGUGAUGGGAGAAACAUCAGGUUUUGGUCUGAUUCUUGGCUAGGCUAUGCAGCCCCUCUCCAGUUCAUGUUCCCUAGGCUCUACAACCUCUCCCUGCAGCAAUCUUUAAGCGUUGCAGAAGUUCAUAACCCAACAGAUAACUCAAUCAAUCUUUCUUGGAGAAGACCACUUCGAUCCCGAGAACUCUGCAUGUGUGAAAGCUUGAUAGCAGAAGUGGAACGUGGCCUAGUCUUCUCUGAUGGUGAAGACAACAAGAUUUGGAAACACCAUAGCUCCAACAAUUACACAGUCUCCUCUGGGUGCCAUCUCUUUGACGGUUUAAAUGUUUCAGGACAUCUGCACUCCCCUGCUUUGCUUUGGAAAGGGUUUGCGCCUCCAAAAAUAGAUGUGUUCAUAUGGCUUCUUUUCAAUGGCAGUGUCUGCACAAAGGGUUUCUUAGCUGAGAGGAGAAUCAUCAAUUACGAGGAAGCUCUUUGUCCUUUCUGCUGCAAGGAGAUUGAGACUACACAUCAUCUUUUCCAUCUUUGUCCAAAAUCAUGGUCUCUUUGGGGCAGACUAUUUAGUUGGUUUGGGUGUGUAGGUUGUCUGCCAAAAGAACCAUAUCAUAACCUUCAGGAAUGGUCUAACAUGGUAAAAGGAAAAUUCCAGCGUCAGGCAAUUUCCCUUCUCUGUAAAGGAUUAUACUGGUCAAUUUGGAUAGCGCGCAACCACAUGAUCUUUGACAACAAAACUCCAGACUGGGAUGUGAUUUUUGACCUCACCUUUCAUCGGUUGGCCUUUUGGUUGAAGUCCUUUGUUAAAAAUUUCAGCUAUACGGGCUCUGAUCUUUAUAGAAAUCCUGAAUGUAUUAUGAACUGGACUAACUAGUCAGGUCUUUAGAUUCCUUGUUUUCUUAAUGUAUUUUUAAUUUCCCAUGUAAUCUUCCUUAUCAGCCCUCAUCUCCUUAAUGGGGGCAUAUUAUUUAUAAUAUUCUCGAUUACUAUCAAAAAAAAAUGUCCUCUUUUCCUAUUAAACAAUUUGUCCAUCAAGUUUUUGCCCCACCAGUAAGAUGGUUCACUGAAAAGACAAAUUUUGGAAAUGCUUUUGUUUGAUCUAUUUUCUGUUAUUCUCCUAAAAUAUCUUCGUUCCUUGAUAGUAUUCUCUUGGAUAUGAUGAGGUACUACUCCAUUUUUUGAUCUUUGCUGGCCUAGCAUUCCGUGGGUCUAUUUUAUAGAUUGCCAAAUAGUAUAGUCUCCGAGAAUUCUCAAAUCUAUUAGUAUUUGAAUUCAUACAAACAGAGAAAUGGCCAAUUACCAACCGCCCAAGGUAAGGUUAAUGACUCUUAUUCUCUUUAAAUUAUAUAUUUUCCAUUAAACAGUAAGAGUUUAAAAUUUUCUAAAUUAUGAUGUCAGGCCUAUGUAACUUAAAUGAUCUCCAAGAACUAGAUAUGAGGUUAGUGGUGUCUUAUCUCCAUGUCUGGCAGAUGUUACUGGAAAAUCUCUAUAUCAUUGAACCCACUAUGCAAACUUUCAAAACUCAAGUCUUUUCAUGGUUUGGAAAAUGAAAUAUCCACAGAAGAAGAUGGUCAUAAUUAAUUAAGCCCAAAGUUCCGGUUAGAGUCUCUUGGUUUGAGGUGUCAUGGACAAGGUGGAGCAUUUUCCAAGUUCUUUACCAUCAGUUGAACCUACAAUCUUUGGAUCUUACAAACAUCCAAAUAAAGGGAGAGUUUCCAAAUUGGUUGACAGAGAACUAUUGUAAAACUGAUAUAUAAAGAACAUACUAUUGUUGAUGAAUUAAAAAAAAAAAAAAGAAGAAAGUCUUUACAGUUUAAAGAACAAGGAGCAGAAAAUGUUUCGAUAGGUUACUGCCGUCCCUAAUGUUUUAUUUAUAGAAGGAAACAAACAUUACAAAAUUAUAAAAAACUGAAGAAACGUACCAGUUAUGAUCUCCUUUAUCUAAGGAGUUGUAUAACAAGCUAGUCUAAUCCUAGAUAAACUUAAACAAACGAAUUGAAAGAAACAUCCUAAUCUAGAUAAUGUUAUAAGCUAACAGAUAGAUAGCAAUGUAGUAGAUUACUGCUAAGUAAUCCUGUUCCAGCUUUGGUACCAGACUUCAACAAGAAUAACACAUACGUACCUAGAAUAGUUGACCUUGGUGCAGAACUAAUGAGUGAUGUAAACUAUUCAUCAGAACCAGUGAAAUUGAAAGACUUGCAAAGAAUCCUGAGUAAUAUUGGUGAUGGAGGUAUGUUCUGCUCAGAUAGUGCAAUUGACCAUAUCUUUUGUUGUCUUAUGUGUUGCGAUUUCUUGUGUGUCUUACGUCGUUGUAUUCUAAGGUAAUUAUGAGGUUGCAAGGCCACUAAACUCCAGAGGAUAUUUUAGACUUUUUGCAGAGCCCUCCUUUCCGUCAACAAGUGGAUUCUUUUACUUAUGUAAGAAAUGCGAGGCUGAUCCUUCUUGUUCUGGUUCCUGUCCUUUUGAUGAUAGCCAAUUUUACAAGGUUUAGCUCUUCUUUUUGCUUGAAGGUUCUCCGAACUGGACAAAUAGAUUUGUCUGAAUUUGGGAUCAACCCCAAUAAAUAUGAGUGGUUUGUGGCUCUAGAACCUGUACCUUAGCAAUGGUUUUCUCUUUAGCAAAUCAUUUACUCGUGUUCAUUAGCAUUAACUAAAGUCUUUAGUUAAUUCUUUCUUGGGAAAUUCUUAUUAGGGUUGCUUAUAUAACUAAUGAUUAUAGAACCUUGUUCGAAGUAACCUGAACAGCCUCUUCCUCGGCAAUCCUGGCAUUUCUUGAUCUACCCAAUACUGGUUUGGGCACACACCUAUAUAUAUUUUUUGGAGUUUCAAGAAGCCAUGCUCUAUGUAGGCACACAUAGAAUUUCCCACACCAAAUCAUAAUCAAACUCGAUCCGCUUUAGUAAUCUAUUUUAUUUAAACAUGCAGUCUGCCAAACCCAAUCCAGAAUAACAAGGCAUCCUUUUAUUAAUUCACGUAGAAACUACUAGUCCUAAGUUUAUAAAUCCAAUCAUAGAGCAAUCAGUGAAGAAACUUCAUUAUUAUAUAUCACACAGAAACUAAAAACAAAAACAAAAACAAAAACAAAAACAAAAACAAAACUCAAAUGAAAAUCAAUAUAAACUUAUUUAAAUCUUGAAACUAAAACCCAAAACCAUGCACCAAGGCUUAGUACCAUCAAGAUAAAAGGCUAUGAAAAUCCAAACUUAGAUAAAAUGAGAAGAUUGUCCACCAGAAAAUAAUAGCAAUUGUUGAUGCUCACCUCAAUAAAGUGAAACCAAGAUUGUUGCCAAUUUGGAUUUAUGUACAAAAUUGCACCUAUCACCAAUAACACCAUAAUGUAUGCAACCCCAAGGCUCACAUAGAAAACCUCUAUAUCCAUGAAACCACCAUUAUCUUAUUAUUCGUUGAAGUUGGCAUUGGUGAUGGUGGCAUAGCCACACCACAUAUUUUGGGUAGCAGUUCUCCACAAAAAAAGGGUUGUCCUUGUAGUAGCUCUCUUCAAAUGUGAUAAACUAUGCAACUCUAACAAGAGUCUUGCUAAAUCUUUUAAAUCUAUCAACCUUUCCGGCCUAUUAUAAUCUAAAUAUAGUGAUUAAAGAGAUGAAAAUCCCUCCACAAAUGAUAGAAUAUUGUUAUCGAAACAAUUAAUUCUCAAGUCAAUAUACUCCAAAUUGUUCAAUUUAUGUAACUCAUAACUGUCGCAUGUCACCCGUGCGGCAUCAGCUUGGUGAUUUUUCAUUGUCGUUUGAUUUGAUUGGUUUAGAGUUGCCACCUAGUAUUUAAUUGAGGACUACUAGGAAACCUGAGUGUACUAGUCUUGUCAGAGAUUCACGGGUAAGGGACUACUAGGCGGUCAAGAGUGGCAGAGGGCCGUCGGCUGGCUUUUUGUUGGCUGGGAGUUGGGUUUUUCUAUUUUUGAUAAAGGGGGGCGUGACAGCUUCUCUUGGAGAAGAUAGAGUUAGGUCUUUUUUUUUAGGGUUUUCUCUCUUCUUUUUUUGUGUUACCUCCCCCUGAAUGUUCAAAAGUACCCCCCCCUUUGUUUUGAGUUACGGACCUAUAUUUAUAGGUAAAAUGUUGCUCGGGCUUCAAAAUUGGUCUCUCAACCUUUUUUUUUUGUAAAUUUUGAUUUUUCUUGUAUUUUUGAAAACAAGCAACAUCAACGCCAACUCAAUGAGAGAAAUCAAGGAUUUUAAAAACGACGCGUGAAAAGUCGAACGCGUUCGAAAGACCUUUGAAAAUUUAAAUUUGUUUUUAGAUGAUGUUGAAAAUGCUAAAAACAAUGCAAAUAUAUUAAAAACAUAUUUUUUGAAUUUUCGUUGUUUUCCGCUAUUUUUGGAUUUUUUGAAAAUUUUAUCAAAUAGGUGGGUCAAAAAUCGGGUAACAACAUAUGUCCCCUCUUUACAAUGCUUACGAAGCAAAACUCCUCAAUGUUUUGCAUAGUAAGCUUUGUAAAGAAAAGGAAAGGAAAAUGAUUUCAUUAUCUUGGGCAACCUGCCCCUUUUAAAGAAAAGUGAUCUAUUUUCAGGGGUGACCUGCUCAUACACUCACACUGGUCUAUUUUCAAGGGUGAUCUGCCCACACAUAUGUAAAGUGGCCUACUUUCAUGGGCGACCUGCCCUUUUGAUUGGGUUUAUCUAAGAUCCCAUCUGACAAAUUAACAAGAACCAAAAUCGGUGCGUAGCUCGGUCAAUUUGAAAUCACAUCUAGCGAUUCCCUUUAACCAAAGCUAAAUUCUGCAUGGUUAUGAUAAACUGAGAUCCCUAAACCAAUCCCCUUUAACCAGAACCAAAAUCCAUUGUAGUUAGGCUAAACUGAGAUCCCUUCGCCGAUCCCCUUUAACCAGAAUCCAAAGUUCUGUGUGUGGUUAUGAUAAACUGAGAUUCCUUCGCCGAUCCUCUUUAACCAGAACCAAAAUCCUUUGUAGUUAGGUGACAAGACCAAAAAAUUGAUGUCUUCUCCCAAGUGCAGGAGUAUCGAAGUAAUAAAUAACCCGGCAAGACCGGGGUCGAACCACAGAGAGGUAAUUGUAUAAAUUAUAAAUAACAAGACAACAACAACAACAACAACAACAACAAUAACAACAACAACAACAACAACAAUAACAAUAACAAUAAUAACAAUAAUAAUAAUACUCAGUACGUGGCGUUGUUAUACCUGAGAAUGAUCUAAAAGAUCGGGUCAUAGGUUUCCAACCUAUAUACUAAGUUUAUGAAAAGAUCAAAGAGAUAAAUUAUAUAAUAUAAACAAAAUGUAAAUAAUAAUAAUAAUAAAAAAAAAAAAGAAGAGGAGGAAGAAAUUAAUGAGAACUUUGAGAUGGAAGAUUAAUGUAAGGAUUAAACAAUGAUAAAAACAAAUGUCAAGGUUAGAGGAUCCACCAAUGGUAUUUCAAACAAGUAUAGUAUAAACUCUUAUUAUUCAACUGGAAACCACACACAAAGGAGGUUCCAAUCGGAUGAUUUCUCAUUAAUAGCUCAUUAUAAAUUAUUAACAUGAUCAUAUUAAUUAUCUUAAUUACAUAACACCAAACUUUUAAAUAUUGUCAGGAAUUCAUGAUAUUAACUGAUGUUAACAACAAAUCAAGUUCCUUUCAUAGCCCAGGUGUAGGUAAUACCAUACUGUUGGGCUAUGAGAGUGCCAAGCAUUUGUUGUACCAAGUGUUAUACAACACAAAUCUAGAUUAACCAUUUAACAAGCAAGGUAUUAAGAAUUAGUAAGAUAAAAAGAUAAGACAUGUUAAUAUUAAACAUUAAGAUCCAUGUUGAGUUUACACUAUAUUUAUUCUUACACCAUUAGUGUAACCUUUUCACCUUGACAUAAUAAACUUAGCUAAACAUAAUGAAGAAGAGAAACAUAAAUAAACAAAACAAGAACAUAAAGAAAAUACAAGUUAACUAAGUAAAGGAAAGGAAAUGAAAAGCAUAAACAAGAUAUUAAUGAAAGCAAAACUUAAAAAUUACAAAAAAAUAUAAAGAGAGAAAUAAAGAGCAUGAGCUUGAUCUGAACAACCAAGCCCAAAUACAUGGCAAAUGCCUCCUUUUAUAGGCCAAAAUUCGGAAUUAUUGAUUUGAUGACUAAUUGUUGAGUGGGUGGCCAACUUUUGACUUGGUGAAAAUCCUUAUCUUCUUGUCUGAAUAAAAAAAAUGCUACCAUCCGAACUGGGUCCACUGGAAAACAUGAAAGUUGUAGGAAAUUGACUCAGCUUUCCAGGAAAAAAAAAUGGAGGUCAUUUGGACUUCUAGAACUCCAGAUAUGGGCCAAACACUGAACAGUGUUCGGGCUGCAGGACAGAUUCGGACUUCUCCGUUGUUGCUAUAAUUUGGACUUGAAAACGGCCUUCUUAGAUCUUGAUGAAAACAUGAAAGUUGUAGGCCUAUGUCUUACUGAAUCUGUGUAAAAUUUGAGGUCAUUUGGACAUCUAGAACUCGAGAUAUGACCCAAUUACCGAACAGUGUUCCAGUUUGGACUGCACCAACAUCUCUUUUCUAAGUUUCACCCUCUCUUUAUCUUUGCAAAUUUCAGUAGUUGAAUUCAUCAAUCAAUCCUUUGAUUUAUGUGAUAGGCCUGCAUUUAAGAUGAACAUUUACCAUAUAUUAGGGCAUUUUAUAGUUUUAGACUUGUUAUUAUAAAACAUGCUUUAGUUAAGGAGUUAUUGAUACUUUAAGUGCAAAAUGAUGAUAUAAAACCUUGAUAAAUAUGCACUUUUAAGUACUAAUCAUUAGGCUAAACUGAGAUCCCUUCGCUGAUCCCCUUUAAUCAGAACCCAAAGUUAUGUGUGUGGUUAGGAUAAACUGAGAUCCCUUCGUCGAUCCCCUUUAACUAGAACCAAAAUCCUUUAUAGUUAGGCUAAACUGAGAUCCCUUCGCUGAUCCCCUUCAACUAGAACCAAAGUCUAUGUGUGGUUAGGAUAAACUAAGAUCCCUUUGCCGAUCCCCUUUAACCAUAACAAAAAUCCUUUAUAGUUAGGCUAAACUAAGAUCCUUUCGCCGAUCCCCUUUAACCAAAACCCAAAGUUCUAUGUGUGGUUUGGAUAAACUAAGAUCCCUUCACCGAUCCCCUUUAACCAGAACCAAAAUCCAUUGUAGUUAGGCUAAACUGAGAUCCCUUCGCCGAUCCCCUUUAACCAGAAUCCAAAGUUCUAUGUGUGGUUAGGAUAAACUAAGAUCCCUUCGUCGAUCCCCUUUAACCAGAACCAAAAUCCUUUGUAGUUAGGCUAAACUGAGAUCCCUUCGCCGAUCCCCUUUAAUCAGAACCCAAAGUUUUGUGUGUGGUUAGGAUAAACUGAGAUCCCUUCGUCGAUCCCCUUUAACCAGAACCAAAAUCCUUUGUAGUUAGGCUAAACUGAGAUCCCUUCACCGAUCCUCUUUAAUCAGAACCCAAAGUUCUAUGUGUGGUUAGGAUAAACUGAGAUCCCUUCGUCGAUCCCCUUUAACCAAAACCAAAAUCCUUUGUAGUUAGGAUAAGCUGAGAUCCCUUCGCCGAUCCCCUUUAACCAGAACCAAAAUCCUUUGUAGUUAAGCUAAACUAAGAUCCUUUCGUCGACCCCCUUUAACCAGAACCCAAAGUUUUGUGUGUGGUUAGGAUAAAUUGAGAUCCCUUCAUCGAUCCCUUUUAACCAGAACCAAAAUCCUUUAUAGUUAGGCUAAACUGAGAUCCCCUCGUCGAUCCCCUUUAACUAGAACCCAAAGUUCUGUGAGUGGUUAGGGUAAACUGAGAUCCCUUUGUCGAUCCCCUUUAACCAAAACCAAAAUCCUUUGUAGUUAGGCUAAAUUGAGAUCCCUUUGCCGAUCCCUUUUAACCAGAACCCAAAGUUCUGUGUGCUGCUCGGUCAACCUGGAAUCCCAUCUGGUGAAUCCCUUCAACCAAAGCUAAAACAUUCAUGGUGGUUAACCUGGGAUUCCUUCUGGCAAUCUCCUUUAACAAAAAAAAAUGUUUCUUCUUCAAGAUGAUUGGGUUAAAAUUAAAGACUCUUCUUCAUUGAUCUUCUUAUUUCUUUGAGAUUUCCUUAAUGUUAGGGUUUAUCUCAUCUUCCUCCCAUUUCGGGGUCAAAACCAUGAUUCUUUGUUGUUCAUCAACUCAAUGAUUCUUUCUUUGUGCCUAAUCUUGCUCGACUAUAUUGAGGAUUUUUCCUGCAACAAAUCAAAAAUAUAUGGAAUACUUCGACGUUAGAUGCAUGCAUCCUUACCUGAUUUGAAAUAUAGGUCCCCCCCUCUUCAAUGUUCCAUCAUCAUAGCACCUUUGUUUGUUAUUCAAAGCUUUCUUUAUUCUUUCAGUGCAAUGGUUCAUUCGUGUGCUAGCCUUCCACUCUAAUGUAAGUGUAGUGCCUAUCGUGGGUUGUCCAUGACAGUUACUACUCUUAUUGCUUCUCAAGCUUGACCAUGCUUCCAUGUGUGAUGUAGCUUGAUUCCAUAAAUUAUCUUAUCUCUUGGAUUCUUCCGAGAAUUGUUCUUUGUUUGAAUAUGUGCAUCGUGCCAAUGCCCAUUAAAAUUGUCAAUCAAUCAUGGACUUGCCCCCAGUUGAAACAAUACUCUUCAAGUAUAUGUUAUCAUCAGUAUUCUUGGAAACUAUCCAAUCAUCCAGACAUGCAUCUCAUAGCUUGCAGUAUAAAGGCUCAUGGUUGUAUGCUCAGUGUUCUUCUUAAUAGAUUCCUUUCAACUCUUCUAAUCAAAUUGUGAAAAGAAAUGUCUCGGCCUCAUUAAUGAUGUUGCUUUUAUCACCCAUAUUCAUGCGGUGAAGUGCUCAUUUGGCUUCAAAACAGAUGGUACCACAGUCAGUCUUAGUGGGUGCAUCCUUUCAACAUUCAUUCAAAUGCAAUUAUGCGAUAACAUCAUUCAAAAGUCAUAGCCAUGUUGGAGAUGAUAAACCAAGAUGAAGAUAUGAAAAUAUCCUUCAAGUGCAGCGUUGCUCAUCAAUUGUUGCUGAAAUGCACUAAAUCACAGACUAUCUUUAAACAACAUUGCCCCCAGUCGAUUUGAACAUGCUCAUUCUUCAGUCUAUAAUCAAAUGGCUUUUGUGAUUGCCAAGAAUGACUUUGAUGGACUUUGGUGACUCAUCAUCUGAUUCUUUCUUUGCCCCCAGCUGAUAUGAAUACUUUUUGUUUUUCUUCUCAAGGUCCACUAUAUUGCCCCUAGGUGAUCAACUUUUCAAGGAGUGUCGAGAAAUGUUGAUGUCAUUUUUGUCAAGGAUUUUGCCAAUUUGAUCGAUAUUCUUCUUGUUUGGCAAUCUUUCUUGUUUUGGAAUCAAAUCUCAGAUUUUGAAGAUCAUGUCUAUUCAAAGUCUAGUUGUUGAAAUGAAAUCAGAGAUGUUGGUUUUGGAAAAGAUUUUGAAAAUCAAACCUCUUUGAUCAAAGACCCAAUACGCCAUUCAAUGUAAUCAUUUGAUUGUCUUGUAAUUUGAAAGCAGAAAUUGACCCGUUGUGAGAUUAAAAUAGCUUUUUUGGUUCUUUAUAUCUAUUUUAAUAUUUGAUCUUGAGUGUAUCAUUUGAUGGUCUGUGAUGAGGUGACCUUUUGUGAAUUUCAAGGAAAACAAAAGACUCAAGUCAAAACUUAAGGAUUCAUCAAGAAAGAUUGUUUUCUUUUUUAACACCAAUUUUAUCAGAAUGCAUAAUAACAAGUAGCUUAAUCCAUGAAGCCACGACUCUUAUGGAAAGCUCUUCAAGUUUUGAGAUCGCCAUUUAUCGGUUCAGAUUGCUUCUUGAUUAAAAAGAGCUUUUUAAAGCACGUAAUGCAGGCUAUGGUUCAUGGUUAUGAAAGAAAGGAAUUUCACAAGCUCAAAAGUUGUUUUAGGGUUUCAACGACUAGGAUCAACAUUAACUAUUCAUAAACUCCUUUUCUCUUGUUGUUGUCGCACGUGUGCGGCGGCGCGGCGAUCGUCCACCCUCAAGAAAAAAAUCGGAAUAUUAUAUUCCUGGCAAAUAGGGAGAGACAAGAAAAUUCUUGUCUCUACAAGUGAAAAUAUGGACUGGGAGUCGCCACCUAGUAUUCUGGUUACUUGGAACCUUAACUGGUCUUCUUUAGCGAUCGGGUACGGAGACUGGUUGCGUAAAGGGAAGGUAUUAGCACCCCAACUACGCCCUACCUAAGGUAGGCUGCAUUGUUUUAAAGUCUGAUCAAAUCUAAAAUCGUGUUGUGGUUUUUUUAUUUGUUGGUUCGUUUACGGUUUAAGAAAAGUCCUCCUCUGUAAGGAGAUCCUUAUCUUUAUCGGGUAAAAAACUAACUAUUCGAAGUCGUCAAAAGAAAAUAUCUUUUUAAUAUCAGGAAUACGAUUUACGUAUAAAUUCAUAAUCCCUGAUACUAAAAUCAAACAAAAUAAAAUAUUUUGUUGUUUUUGAGAUUUUGGCCAAUGUUCUCUUGACUUUAAUAAACUGGUUAUUAAAGCCAAAAUGCAUGCUAAAAUAUUGUUUUUUGACAUAUGAAAAAUACGAUAUGAUUUUUUAGAUUUGAGACACUUGGCCGUAUGCACAAAAACAUUUUUUUUCUCUUUUUUUAAUUUUUUUUUUUGUAUUUUUGGAAGUUUUUGCCGAAAACCGGGUAUUUUAAUACCGGAUUUGUAUUUUACGAAUAAAAAUACUGCCCGAUAUUAAUCAAAAUGACGCGGAAAAAUUAUAAAAUGCUGAAACAAAUAUUUUUGAUUUUUUUUGUGUGAACAGUACCGUGUGAAAGAUAAGUGCGAAAACCGGGUAUUUUAAUACCGAAUUAUAUUUUUACGAUGUAAAAUACAUACCGAUAUUAAGCAAAAUUGAUAAAAAAAUGUGCUGGAAAAAUUGUAAAAAAAAAAUAAAAAAAAUAAAUGGGCCGGACCAUAUCAGUUGGGCUAAAUGGGCUGGUUACUGUGCAUAAGCACAGUAACCAGCCUCUCAUCAGUUGCAGAACGUGAAUUAAUUCACGUUCUGCAUGAAAAAAAAAGAAGGCAGAAAGGAGAAGGAGACGGGGCAGGGGUUACCUGCGGUGGCGUCGAGGCGGUGCUGCUGGUGGCAGCGGAGGCGAUGGUGGCGGAGGCACGGUGGUUCUGCGUUUUCUUCUCUCUCUCGUUUUCUCUCUCUUUUUUCUUCUUUUCUUUUCUUUUUUCUUCUUUCUUCUCUCUUUUCUUCUCCUCUUCUUCUUCCUCUCUCUCUCUUCUCCUUCUCUUCCCCUCUUCUUUUUUUUUUUCCUCUUCGGUCUCCCCUGUUUUUAUAGGCAAAAACAGGGGGGGACGUCAUGGUGGUGGCCGUUGUGCUGCCGCCCGUCCAACGCCCGUAACGUGGAAAGUGGUCGGCAAGUCGGCGUCUUUUUUCGCAAAAAACGGGAAAGAAAUUAGGCGAAAAGGGGAAGAAAAAAUCUUCUUCUUCCCCUGCCUCGCGCGUCCAGGGGAAGAAGAAGAGCUACAGUGCCGUCAAAACGGCACCGUUUUGCCCAGCUUCUUCUCCUCUUCUUUUCCCCGCCGGCGGUGACACUCACCGUCACUAGCAAAAGAAGAAAAAAUACAAGCAGUCGAUUUUCUAGGUCCACUCGAUUUUGGAUGGCGGCCGAACUAAUGGUUGUGGAAGGAGUGUUGGAUGGCCAGAGCAGCGGUGUCACCGUUGGGGAAAGGGACAACACUGGAUCUGUGGGCGUUACUGUUGAGGAAACCGAAGGGGAAGCAACCGUUGCUGAUGGGGAAGGAUACGCUGUUGUUGGAGGUUUAGGGUUCGGUGGAGGCCGGUUUGGCCGCUAGUCUGUGGGGGAUGAGAGAAGGAAGAGGGUGAGCGAUGGGGUUUUGUUUCUUUGCAAGGAAGAUGGAGAUUUUCGAGCAGCAACUCUUUUAGGGCAAAGAGAGAGGAAGUUCAAAAUGAGGGUGGUGGCUCUAGUGAGGCCAAGAGGGAAGAUGAUGGGGAGAUGGGGGCUCUGGUUUUCUUUGGCAAGGCCAAAGGGAAAAAAUGAGUGGCUGGCUGUGAGAGGGAGAACCGGUUUUGGUUUGGGUGAGCGACUGUAGAGGUAAAACGAAAUGGCCAAGGGAGAAGGUGGCCGAGAGUGGUAGAGGUCCACCGACUGGCUUUUUGUUGGUUGGGAGUUGGGUUUUUAUGUUUUUGAUAAAAGGGGGCGCGACGGCUUCUCUUGGAGAAGAUAGAGUUAGGUCUCUUUUCUUUUUAGGUUUUUUUUUUUUUGUGUUACCUCCCCCUGAAUGUUCAAAAUUACCCCCCCCCCUUUAUUUUGAGUUAUGCACCUAUACUUAUAGGUAAAAUGUUGCUCGGGCUUCAAAAUUGGUCUCUCAGCUCUCUUUUUUUUUUUUGUAAAUUUUGAUUUUUUUUGUAUUUUUGAAAACAAGCAACAUCAACGUCAACUCAAUGAGAUAAAUCAAGAAUUUUAAAAACGACGCGUGAAAAGUCAAACGCGUUCGAAAGAUCUUUGAAAAUUUAAAUUUUUUUUAGAUGAUGUUGAAAAUGCUAAAAAUGAUGCAAAUUUAUUAAAAAUAUAUUUUUUGAAAUUUUGUUGUUUUCCGCUAUUUUUGUAUUUUUUAAAAAUUUUAUCAAAUAGGUGGGUCAAAAAUCGGGUAACAACAAUAACCACCUACAUAAAUAAAUUAAGACUUCAUGUAAUGUUUUCUUAAAAAAAAGAUAUUGUUGGAUUUAUUUAAUUAUGAUCGAUUAAGAGGUAUGUUAUUGCUAUAGUGACGUCAUGUAAAGAGGUUGAGGCGGUGAAAGUAUAAGUAAAAGGACUAAUUGUUACAGUGAUGAUGUCAUGAUUAUAAAAUAUUAGUAAUGUAAUUAUAUAUGUGAAUAUAUGAUAUAAAUGUUAUAAAUAAUAAAGUUUAAAAGAUUAUUUAAAAAUAUUUUGUUUUUCACAUUGAAAAGAUAUUAUAUUAGUAUGUUAUCCUUUCAAGUUAAAGUAUUUAAACAAAAAAAAAAAUUAUUCUAUAUUGAAAAAACAUAAUUUUUUUUCUUGUUAAUAUAGAGUAUAUAUAUUAAAGGACUUCAAAUCCCACAUUGAAAAAAUAAUUUUUUUCCUGUGAACAUAGUAUAUAAACUAAAAAACUUCAAAUCCCAUAUUGAAAAAGUAAAAUAUUUUUCUAGUAUUUAUAUAGUGAACUUUGAAAAGGGUUAAUAACUAACUAAAAAAUAUAUAAAAAAGAGGUGUCUCUUACCAGGAGAAAAAAAAACAUUUAAAAAAAAAAAAUGGGGUCUCAACCGGGUUUUUCCAGGUCACUAGUCAACCCAGUGGGUCAACCCAGUUUUGCUUACCCCGAUCUUUUGCCUUAACCUACCGAUCCAGCCAUCGGGUCGACCGGGUCUCGGGUCAACCUCCUAGGCCGGUUCGGGUUUAAUAACUAUGAUAUAUAUAUUCUUUUUAUAAUGCUUUGAAUCUGAAUAUCUUUUAGAAAAAAUAUGGUUUUAUUUUGUUUUGAAUUUUUUUUUAAUUUUAUAUCUUAUAAUUUGAUUUUUAUAUUAAUUUUGGUCAUUAUUUAGUUUUUUCUUAAUUUUUUUUAAUUCAAUUUUUUUAUUUAUCAAAUUUCAUUCUUAUUCUUUUGAUCAAUAUUUAUUUUAUUUGAAAUAAUUUAUACGAUUACAAUUAUUUUUUAAAAUUUUAUCAUCUUUCAAUUAUUUUUUAUUUUACAUGCCAUGCACAGCUUAGGGACCCAUCCCUUUGUAUAAAAAAUGAUUUGACGGUCCUUGGGUUGGGUGUAUGCCUACGUACUUAGUUUUCUAAAUAGGCCUUGACUCUUUUUCUCUCUGUAUGUUGUGUUAGUGUUAAAAUCUUAGUAUAUUAUACAAUUGGAUUUAUUUUUAUGUUUCACAAACGAGUAUUAUACAUUUGUGUCUCGUUUUUUCUAAUUAAAAACUUGUAUUGAUUUAUUUAUUUUUUUGUAAUUUGAAUACUUGCUCUUAUGAAUUUUUAUCAAUCAAGUCUCUAAUAAUGUUUGUUUCCCAAAAAAUAGUUUCUGAAAAACCACUUUCCAAACUUUCCCGUGUUUAUUUGUAAUUUGGCUUCGUUUUCAACAAAGUGUUUUCCUGAAAAAUUUGAGCGGAAAACACUUUCCGGAAGUUAUGAAAAAUUUAGAAAUGUCAUAUUAUUUGUUGAUUAUAUCAAAUUUGAUCCUCAAACUUUUGAUUGUUAUAUAUAUUUUGUUUUGAAUAUUUAUUUUUCAAUUUCAUCUCUUAAAAUUUAAUUUUUAUAUUAACUUUGGUCCUCAUUUUUAUAAUUGUUAUUUGCUUUUUCCUUAUUAUUUUUUUAUUAAAAUUUUUUAUCUAUCAAAUUUGGUCCUCAUUCUUUUUUAUUGUUACUUAUUUUAAUUGAAAUAAUUUAUGAAAUGUUAAUUAUUAUUAUUUUAAUUUCUUCAUCUUUUUUUUUUUUAGAUUUGAUCUAUAUUAUUUUAAUCAUUAUUUAUUUUAUUUGAGAUAAUUUAUGAAAAAAACAUUUUCCAAUUUCAUUCUCAUUUAACCUUUAAUUUUGUAAGAUUUGUUCCUUAUUAUUUUAAUAAACUUGAGAAAAAUAAAACAUUAAUAAGUUAUUUUCCAGCUCAUUUUCCAUGACAUAACCAAACACUAGAAAGUGUUUUCAACUUAUUUUCCAUUAAACUACCAAACAUCAGAAAAUAAUUUACUUUCCCGGAAUUCACUUUCCAAAAAAAAACUAUUUUCCAACAAACAUACGGGGCCUCUGUAUUAGUUUUGUUGCCAGAAUGCAAAUAACAUGAUUAAUACUAUUUUAUUUUCAAUUUUUUCAAGGCCUAAAUUUUCCAAACCUAAUUUCCAUAAAAAUAAUAGCAAGUCUUAUAUAUCCACAAUCAUCAUGUGCCUAGCAUUAACCUUUUAUUCAUGUUUUUUCCAAAAACAAAACUUGACUUUCGGUCGACAACGUUUUAAGAUGGAAUAUAAGUUUCGGUUAAUUACUUAAUUUCAAUUUUUUUUUGUACUCUAUGCUUUCGAUGAACAUCACUUUCUUAAGCUAGUUGCAGUAUAUAGAAAUUUCUUCUAACAUUUUAGAAAUAUAAUUCACAUCUGAAUUGAUAAAUUCACAAAUUAAUAUAAUAGGUUUUACCAUUUAUUUUAAUAUAUUUUUGGAAUUUAAUAUUAAUAGUUAUAAAGUUUAUUUAGUUAAUAAAAAUUGUUCCACUUUUGUUAUAUCACUUUCCUUUUAAAUUAUUUUAAAGUUUAUUUAUUUUGAAUUUAAUAUAUCAUUUUUUUUUGGAAUAGAUAAAAUUUAUUUUUAAAAAUAAAAAAACUCUUUUCAAAUAAUAUUUCAAAUAUAUGAAGCCAGGCAUAUUAUUACUAUUUUUUAUUUUAUUCAAUCAAUUUAUAAUAUGUGUGUCUAUUAUUAUUAUUAUUUCAUCGAAUUUUUUUUUUAGAUGAAUAUCACUUUCUUAAGCUCAUUGUAGUAUAUAGAAUUUUUUUUAAAAUAAAAAUAAAAAUAUUAUUCACAUCCGAUUAAAUACCUCCACAAAUAUAAUUCCAUUCAAAGUUGCAUCAUGUAUUAAUCUAAGGUCCAUUGUCCAUUAAUUAAUCGGUGGUUGCGUUUUAACACUUGAGAUUUAUUUUUUAUGCAUAACCAUUUAAUUUAUUUUUUUGCAAACUAAAUUGAAAUUAAAGCAUAUUAAUUAUCCAUUCCCAAGCUUACGGGGCAAUGGUCUCAUGGACCCAUCUCGUAGAAAAAACGCUUGAUAGCAAUGGUCUCGUGGACCAUCCCACCGGCCUAUAUCGUGGAAAAAAAUACAGAUGGCAAUGCAUGGUCUCACAGACCCAUUUCGCACUGCAAAUUGCUAUCCAUCUUACUUGUUGAUUGUGUUAUAUAAAAAUAGACUGACAAGUACUUUAGAAAGAAAAAGAAGAAGACUUGUUGUCAUGACAAUGACAAGAAGUAUUUUUUAAAAAAAUAUUAUUUGUGGUUCAUUUUAUCAACGAUACUCUUUGAUUUUGUCAUCACAAUCAAAAUUAAGGCAUGAUUUUUGAAGAUUUUAGGUAAAGAUCAUAAUUUUGAGUUAUGGUUUGUUUAAAUAAUGAAUUUGAGUUAGAAAUCUUGAUAUAUUAAUAAGUGAUCUGUGUGUAUUUAAAAUUAAAGUGCAUAAAUUUAAUAUUGAAAUUUAAUUAAAGUCUCUCUUACAAUCCAAAAUUUAUUUUUAAUUAAAGCGCAUAAAAUAAACAUAGUUAAAGUUCUUUCUUUCUCUUCCUCUCUGUCUCUGUGUAUGUUAGACGGAGUUUGCAUUAGAUAAUCAAUAAUAGGAGGAGAGUCGUCCACAUUCCAUUUGAGGCUAUUAAUCAUAGGAGGAGACCAUAUAUUUUUAAUCCUGAAAGAGUGAGCAUUGGACCACCGAAGCAAGCCAUAUGCCGAUCUGAUCAGAUCUGUAGAGGAGUAUGGAAAAUCUGAAUGGAUAGCUUUUAGCCAAAGACAUAGACGGGUGAUAAUAAGAAAGAAAAUUGAGUCAUAAUCAGGUGUCUUCUGAUGGAAAAUGAGAUCAUUUCGAAGGAGCCAAAGAGACCAUGCCACUGAGAAGAACAACAUCAACCAUGCCUUCCUCUGAAAAUUACCAUGCACCAUGGAAGACCAUUGAGACCACAUAUCUGAGAAGCUCUUUGGGCAACACCAAACUAAACCCCACCACUUAAUGAUUUUGGACCAAAUGAGCCAAUGCUUAUGGCAGUGAAGCAGAAUAUGGUCCACCGAUUCUGCUUCAACAAGGCAGAUAGGGCAAUUUGAUUCCGAGCAACUCAAGAUACCUCUUCGAACCAACAUACAUCGGGUGUUGAGUCUGUUAAUGAUAGCCAUCCAGCAAAAGAUCUCUACUUUAGGUGGGACAAUACCUUUCCAAAAUCCAGCAAACGAGAAGGCACUUACAGAGAGUUAGUGACACUUACAGAGAGUUUAUACAAAGAGUUAGUGACACUUACAUAGCAUUUUGUAUCUUGUUUUUUCUAAUUAAAAACUUGUAUGGAUUUAUUUAUUUAUUUAUUAAUUUGAAUACUUGCUUUUAAUAAUGAUUUUUUUAUCAAUCAAGUCUCUAUAUUAGUUUUGUUGUCAGAAUGCAAAUAACACGAUUAAUAGUAUUUUAUUUUCAAUUUUUUUCAAGGCCUAAAUUUUCCACACGUAAUUUCCAUUAAAAAAAGUAGCCAGUCUUCUUUAUCCAUCAUCGUCAUGUGCAUAGCAUUAACCUUUUAUUCAUAUUUGUUUCAUAAAUAAAUAAACUUAACUUGGGGUCAACGUUUCAAGAAGGAAUAUAAGUUUCGGUUAAUUACUUAGUUUUUUCCCAAAUGUUCCACUUUUGUUAUCUCUCUAUUACUUUUCCUUUUAAAGGGGUUAUGUACAGCCCUUGUAUAUUAUUUUGAAUUUAAUAUAUAAAAAUCUUUAUUAUAGAUGAAUUUUAUUUUUAAAAAUAAAAAAAUAUAUAUUUUCAAAUAAUAUUUUUAAUAUGUGCAACAUUGCAUAUUAUUUUUUCUCCUUUUAUUUUGUUCAAGCAAUUUAUAACGUGUAUGUUGUUUUUAUUAUCGUUUAAUCGAAUAAAAAAAUUAUUUUAAUUUGAAUUUUUAGAAAAUACAAUUGUGUAAAUGUCAUGUCUUGUGAAAUUAAAUAUUUUGAUCUACACAACCAUCUAGGUGGUGGCCCAGUGGUAAAAGCUUGGGACCAAGAGGUUUGCUCCCUCUGUGGUCUCAGGUUCGAACCCUAGGUUGCUCAUAUGAUGGCCAUUGGAGGCUUACAUGGUCGUUAACUUCAGGACCCGUGGGAUUAGUCGAGGUGCGCACAACCUAGCCCGGACACCCAUGUUAAUCUAAAAAAAAAAAAAAUUGAUCUACACAUGUCUUUCGAUUUUUUUAGUUUUAAUUUUGAGUCAUCAUUUCUGUUUUUUUUUUCAUUUAUUAACAUACAUGAUUCUCGAUUUAUUUCACAAUAUUUGUAUAUAAAUUUUUUAACAUCCACUUAAUUUUUUUUAAAAUUAAAAAUUUAUUAAAGAAAUCUAUAUAUAUAUUUUUUAAUUAAACAAAUUUAACUUGCGAUGAAGCUUUGGUCGAAUAACUAAGUCUAUGUACUCAAAUGAGUGGCACUCGAAAGUUCACAUACCUUAUCUUCCAAGCAAGAAGAGACAAGAAAAGCAGUAGGUGAUGUUUUUUUCUCCGGCUGUAAAUGGAUGAAGGGAUUACUACCAAAAACAUGGACAAAAUUUGAUGUGGACCCGCACCACUUUGAUUAUUCUUCACUCUUCCUGUGUUUCACUACUUGAUGAUUCAAAAGUUAUCUAUUUAAAAAAAAAUUAAAAUUUUAAAAUAUUUUACAAUAUGGUUACAAUAUUUUUUUCUUAAGAAAAUAAAUUGAUGUCAUGUGUUAAUAACAUUUACGGAUUUUUUCCAAUAAAUUAAUCAAAUUUAUUUUAAUAAAAAAGUUUCCUAUCAAGAACAGCAUUCCUAGUUAAACCAAAGUUUUUCCACGAACCCAUCUUGUGGAAAAAAUGCAUGAUGGUUGGAAGAGGACGUCUCAUGGCCUCUCCUCAAGGAAAAAUGCAUGAUGGCAACGGUCUUAGGGACCAAUAUGUAGAUGGAAAUGUUCUCAUGGACCCAUCUCGUAGAAAAAAUGCAUCUGAGUAAGUAGAAUUUUUUCUUUUUCUUAGAUGAACAUGACUUUCUUAAGCUCAUUGUAGUAUAUAGGAUUUUUUAAAAAAUAAAAAAAUAGAAAUAUUAUUCGCAUCCGAUUAAAUACCUCCACAUAUAUAAUUCCAUUAAAAGUUGUGUCAUGUAUUAAUCUAAGUUUCAUUAUCCAUUAAUUAAUCGGUGGUUGCGUUUUAACACUUGAGAUUUAUUUUUUAUGCAUAAGCAUUUAAUUUAUUUUUUUGCAAACUAAAUUGAAAUUAAAGCAUAUUAAUUAUCCAUUCCCAAGCUUACGGGGCAAUGGUCUCAUGGACCCAUCUCGUAGAAAAAACGUUUGAUAGCAAUGGUCUCGUGGACCAUCCCACUGGCCUAUAUCGUGGAAAAAAAAUUAAGAUGGCAAUACAUGGUCUCAAAGACCCAUUUCGCACUGCAAAUUGCUAUCCAUCUUACUUGUUGAUUGUGUUACAUAAAAAUAGACUGACAAGUACUGUAGAAAGAAAAAGAAGAAGACUUGUUGUCAUGACAAUGACAAGAAGUAUUUUAAAAAUAAUAUCAUUUGUGGUUCAUUUUAUCAACCAUACUCUUUGAUUUUGUCAUCACAAUCAAAAUUAAGGCAUGAAUUUUGAAUAUUUUAGGUAAAGAUGAUGAUUUUGAGUUAUGGUUUGUUUAAAUAAUGAAUUUGAGUUAGAAAUCUUGAUAUAUUAAUAAGUGAUCGGUGUGUAUUUUAAUUAAAGGGCAUAAAUUUAAUAUUGAAAUUUAAUUAAAGUCUCUCUUACAAUCCAAAAUUUAUUUUUAAUUAAAGUGCAUAAAAUAAACAUAGUUAAAGUUCUUUCUUUCUCUUCCUCUCUGUCUCUGUGUAUGUUAGACGGAGUUUGCAUUAGAUAAUCAAUAAUAUUGUAUAUAUUCUUUUUGGAGAAGUAACUCAUUUUCACACCCUUGUUGUAGUUUUCCAUUCAUUUUCACACCCCAGUUGCCACCCUGCUUUUCUUUCCAUUCACGCACACAGAUAGUGCAUCAAAGCACUACGACAAGAGUUAGUGACACUUACAGAGCAUUUUGUAUCUUGUUUUUUCUAAUUAAAAACUUGUAUGGAUUUAUUUAUUUAUUUUUUAAUUUGAAUACUUGCUUUUAAUUAUGAUUUUUUUAUCAAUCAAGUCUCUAUAUUAGUUUUGUUGUCAGAAUGCAAAUAGCACGAUUAAUAGUAUUUUAUUUUCAAUUUUUUUCAAGGCCUAAAUUUUCCACACGUAAUUUCCAUUAAAAAAAGUAGCCAGUCUUCUUUAUCCAUCAUCGUCAUGUGCAUAGCAUUAACCUUUUAUUCAUAUUUUUUUCAUAAAUAAAUAAACUUAACUUGGGGUCAACGUUUCAAGAAGGAAUAUAAGUUUCGGAUAAUUACUUAGUUUUUUUCCAAAAUGUUCCACUUUUGUUAUCUCUCUAUUACUUUUCCUUUUAAAGGGGUUAUGUACAGCCCUUGCAUAUUAUUUUGAAUUUAAUAUAUAAAAAUCUUUAUUAUAGAUGAAUUUUAUUUAUUCAAAUAAAAAAAAAUUAUUUUCAAAUAAUAUUUUUAAUAUCUGCAACAUUGCAUAUUAUUUUUCCUCCUUUUGUUUUGUUCAAUCAAUUUAUAACCUGUAUGUUGUUUUUAUUAUCGUUUAAUCAAAUAAAAAAAUUAUUUUAAUUUGAAUUUUUAGAAAAUACAAUUGCGUAAAUGUCAUGUUUUGUGAAAUUAAAUAUUUUGAUCUACACAUGUGUCUCGAUUUUUUUAGUUUUUAUUUUGAGUCAUCAUUUUUUUUUCCAUUUAUUAACACACAUAAUUCUCGAUUUAUUUGACAAUAAUUGUAUAUAAAUUUUUUAAUAUCCACUUAAUUUUUUUAAAAUUUAAAAUAUAUUAAAGAAAUCUAUAUAUAAUUUUUUUAAUUAAACAAAUUUAACUUGCGAUGAAGCUUUGGUCGAAUAACUAAGUCCAUGUACUCAAAUGAGUGGCACUCGAAACUUUACAUACCUUAUCUUCCAAGCAAGAAGAGACAAGAAAAGCAGUGGGUGAUGUUCUUUUUUCCGGCUAUAAAUGAAUGAAGGGAUUAAUACCAAAAACAUGGACAAAAUUUGAUGUGGACCCGCACCACUUUGAUUAUUCUUCAUUUUCUUCACUCUUCCUGUGUUUCACUACUUGAUGAUUCAAAAGUUAUCUAUUUAAAAAAAUUUAAAAUUUUUAAAAUGUUUUACAAUAUGGUUACAAUAAUUUUUUCUUAAGAAAAUAAAUUGAUGUCAUGUGUUAAUAACAUUUACGGAUUUUUUCCAAUAAAAUAAUCAAAUUUAUUUUAAUUAAAAAGUUUCCUAUCAAGAACAACAUUCCCAGUUAAACCAAAGUUUUUCCACGAACCCAUCUGGUGGAAAAAAUGCAUGAUGGUUGGAAGAGGACGUCUCAUGACCUCUCCUCAAGGAAAAAUGCAUGAUGACUGUUGUAACCCAUUUUUGGGUCCCUAUAAAAAAAUAAAAUAAAUAGCCAAAAGAGUUUAGAAAAAAUAACAGAAGGCAGAAGCGCUCAGGAAACAGUCAGAAAAUUGGUCAAGAAAUUCAAAAUACAAGGAUUAAAUUUUUGACAGUAUAUUCUUGAAGGAUGAAAGCCCUAUUGAGAAGGAAAAUUUGAAUUUUAAGGAGAAAAGCCCAAAUUUGGAUGUUUAUGGACUUAAUUGGAUUUUUAUUUGAAUUUAUAGAAGAUUUGAUUGCAAGAAAAAUUGAUUUUUAAGUCAAUUUGGGCUUUAAUUUGGAGAAAUUUAAGUUCUGGGGCCAAAAUAUAUUUUUUAGGAAUUUAUUGGGUCAAAUCAGGGGCUCAAUUGCAUAAAUAUUGAAGUUUAAGGGCCAAUUAGGGACUUAAUUGUGAAAAUCCGAAACCAGGGACCAAUUUGGAGAAGGCGCAAAGAUAGAGGGGGCUGUUUGGAUUUGUUUCAGGGGCUUAAUUGAAGAAAUUGGAAGUUUAUUGAUCAAUUAGGGGCUCAAUUGCAUAAAUCAGAGGCCAAGGACCAAAGUGAAAAAGGCGGCCAACAAGAGGGGCGGGGACCGAAUUUGGGGGACUGAUUUGAAGUUUAGCCAUUUAAAUGAAACGGCGUGUUUUACCCAAAACGACGCCGUUUCAUAAAAUAAAAAAAAAAAUAAAAAAAUUCGAAAACGACGCCGUUUUGAAAGACACUGUUCAUCUUCCUCCUUCCCCCCGUUUUAACAGAAAGAAGAGAAAAAAUUCGAAAAUCUUCCCGCGCCUCUCUCUCUCCUCGCCCCCACCACCUUUAGCAUUGGCCGACCAGCCGUUGCACCGCACUAACGAUGGUCCCCCACGGUUCGGCCCCUAUAAAUAGAGAAGAAAACCGAAGCUGACGGAAGAAGAGAAAAAAAAAAACCGAAGGGAGGAGAGAGAGAGGAGGCCAAGAGAGAGAGAGAGAACCGAACACCGAAGAGAGAAGGAGCCGCGCGCCGCCCGGGAAGCCACGCCACCGCAGCACCGCCUCCUCCACGCCAGGUCACCUCUUCUCCCCCUUUCGUUAGUUUUUUAUUUUUUUCCCUGCAUGCAGAAUGAACAUUCUGCAUGCAGGGAGGAGGGGGGAAUUAAUUCCCCCCUCUCUGUUGAUGCGUAGCUGGGCCAGGUGGAUCCUGGCCCAGCACAUUUUUUUCUUUUUUUGGGCCAGACUAAGUCUGGCCCGGCCUUGUAUCUGACGGGCCAGACCAGGUCUGGCCCAUACCAGCUCUCUAGGCCAAGUCCGGCCCAGAUAUUUGGGCCAGCCCAGCCCGAAUUAUUUUUAUAUUAUAUAUUAUAUAUUAUAUAUUAUAUUAUAUAUGUGUAUAUAUGUAUAUAUAUAUAAAAUAUAAUAAUAAAAAAAUAAAUAUUUUGAAAAAAUCUUAAAAAAAUAUUGUUGAUUUUUCUGCAUAUUUUUAUCAAAAUGUUUUAAUUCUGGUUUGUAUUUUUAUACCGUAAAGAUACAAGCUCAGUGUUAUAAAUACCCGGUUUUCGUCAAAACAUCAAAGAUUUUGAGAAUAAAAAAUGUUUUUGCUUUCAAAAAAAUUCUAAAAAGUCCCUAAAAAUAUUGUUGAUUUUUCUGCAUAUUUUUAUCAAAAUGGUUUAAUUUUGGGUUGUAUUUUUAUACCGUAAGGAUACAAGCUCAGUAUUAAAAUACCCGAUUUUCGUCAAAGCAUAAAAAAAAUAAUACUUUCCAAAAAUUGUUUUUGUUUUAAAAUACGGCCUAGUCUCUUCAAAUAUAUAUAUAUAAAUAUUAUAACAUCGUAUUUUCACACAACAAAGAAAAUUUUCAAAAACAAUAUAUGUAUUAACAUGCAUUUUGGCUUUAAUAACCAGUUUAUUCAAGCCAUGAGAACUAGGCCAAUAUUUCAAAAAUUCUAAAAAAUCUUUUUGUUUUAUUUUAGUAUUUGGGAUUACGAAUUUAUACGUAAAACGUAUUCCUAAGUAUUAUUAAUAAAAUUUUGGUAUGGACGUUAGAACGGUUAGAAUUUUUUACCCGAUAAGAUAAAGACCUCCUUACCGAGGAGGAUUUUUCUUGAACCAUAGACAGACCAACAACUAGGAAAACACAAUAACACUUUAGUUUUUUUUAUCAGACAUUAAAACAAUGCAGCUUACCUUAGGUAGGGCGUAUUUGGGGUGCUAAUACCUUCCCUUUACGCAACCAGUCUCCGUACCCGAUCUCUGAGACCAGUUAGGUUCCUAGUGACCGAAAUACUAGGUGGCGACUCCAAACAAAAAAAUAAAAAAAAUUUCGCUAGUCGAACCCGCAAUUGAUGAAUUUGAAUUUUUUUUUGGGGUGCGACAAUGACAACGGUCUCAGGGACCAAUAUGUAGAUGGAAAUGUUCUCAUGGACCCAUCUUGUAGAAAAAACGCAUCCGAGUAAGUAGAAUUUUUUCCUUUUUUUAGAUGAACAUGACUUUCUUAAGCUCAUUGUAGUAUAUAGAAUUUUUUUUUAAAUAAAAAAAUAGAAAUAUUAUUCGCAUCCGAUUAAAUACCUCCACAUAUAUAAUUCCAUUAAAAGUUGUGUCAUGUAUUAAUCUAAGUUUCAUUAUCCAUUAAUUAAUCGGUGGUUGCGUUUUAACACUUGAGAUUUAUUUUUUAUGCAUAAACAUUUAAUUUAUUUUUUUGCAAACUAAAUUGAAAUUAAAGCAUAUUAAUUAUCCAUUCCCAAGCUUACGGGGCAAUGGUCUCAUGGUCCCAUCUCGUAGAAAAAACGCUUGAUAGCAAUGGUCUCAUGGACCAUCCCACCGGCCUAUAUCAUGAAAAAAAAUGCAGAUGGCAAUACAUCGUCUCACAGACCCAUUUCGCAAUGCAAAUUGCUAUCCAUCUUACUUGUUGAUUGUGUUACAUAAAAAUAGAAUGACAAGUACUUUAGAAAGAAAAAGAAGAAGACUUGUUGUCAUGAAAAAUAACAAGAAGUAUUUUAAAAAUAAUAUUAUUUGAGGUUCAUUUUAUCAACGAUACUCUUUGAUUUUGUCAUCACAAUCAAAAUUAAGGCAUGAUUUUUGAAGAUUUUAGGUAAAGAUAAUAAUUUUGAGUUAUGGUUUGUUUAAAUAAUGAAUUUGAGUUAGAAAUCUUGAUAUAUUAAUAAGUGAUCUGUGUGUAUUUAAAAUUAAAGUGCAUAAAUUUAAUAUUGAAAUUUAAUUAAAGUCUCUCUUACAAUCCAAAAUUUAUUUUUAAUUAAAGUGCAUAAAAUAAACAUAGUUAAAGUUCUUUCUUUCUCUUCCUCUCUGUCUCUGUGUAUGUUAGACGGAGUUCGCAUUAGAUAAUCAAUAAUAUUGUAUAUAUUCUUUUUGGAGAAGUAACUCAUUUUCACACCCUUGUUGUAGUUUUCCAUUCAUUUUCACACCCCAGUUGCCACCCUGCUUUUCUUUCCAUUCACGCACACAGAUAGUGCAUCAAAGCACUACUACAAUAGUUGACUCCCAGUCAAUACGGUCAAGAUAAGGUAAUCAAAAACUAAAUUUACUUUUACUACUAUUUUAAUUUUUAAAAAAUAUUUUUAUAUUGUUUAAUGCAUUAAUUUCAAGAAAUAAAUUCCUUUUAUCUUAAAAUAUGAACUUGAAAAACCAGAUGUAUUUUAUAAUUAGGGAGAAAACUAGAAAAAAUUAUUAGUCUUCUCAUUGUAGUAAUAUAAAUCGUAUAUCUUUGACUCGAUUGAAUUGAAAUGUAAUAAAAACAAGUCAAGAAUACCUUUCCUAACAUAAAAACAAAAUAGUGUGUGUGUUAUGUAUUUGAAGUUUUUGUAUAUAAUACUAUAGCCACACAAUCCACAGGGAUAAGAUCAUUUAUAAUUAUUCCGUGUUUAUUAUUAUUGAUAAUUUAUGUAUUUAAUUAUAUAUAUGAUAGUGAGAUGACACCAUGCAAGUAGGCUCCUAAAUGAUUCUAAAUUAUGACGAGAGAAGUACAAUUAUAAAGUUAAAAAGAUCUUACGCGGAAUCACACAUGAAUAUUCGAUAACAAUGUUUAAGUACUACAACAAUUUUUUUAUUUUAUUUUUUCAUAAAUUAGAUAAUUAGGAAGCAAAAUGUAAUUAAAUGCAAAUAGACUAAAUGCUUAACAAUAAAAUAAUAUUCAAAUCCAAGAAUAUUCCAAAAAGAAAUGAAAUAAAGAAAACAUCUCAUAACAUAGAAUCUGCACAAGAUAUGCAGAUAAAGUCAUGGAAACGGCCAGAGCAUAGUAUAAAUAGGACCUCCAUGGUUACCCAAAGGCAGAUAACAAACAGCAAUAGUUCAUAGAAUUAUCUAAGAUGAUGAUGAAAAUAAUGGGGGCUUGGAUGUUGCUAGCAUUAUUGACUUUGGUUGGCGAAUGGUAUGGUCGUUGUUAUGGGUGUUUGGAGGAAGAGAGGAUUGGUCUCUUGGAGAUCCACUCUUUGAUCGACCUAGAUGGCUUUUCCUUGAGAGAUUGGGUGGACAGUAGUAAUUGUUGUGAGUGGCGUGGGAUCAAGUGUGAUAACACUACAAGGCAAGUGAUCCAACUCUCUCUUCAUGGAGUAAAGGGUUUUCCGCAGUGAAGUUUAUGUACUAAAAUAAGUGGCACUCAAAGGUUCACAUACCUUAUCUUCUAAGUAAAAAGAGCCAAGGGAAGCAGUAAAUGAUGUUCUUUUCUCCGGCUGUAAAUGGAGGAAGAGAUUAAUACCAAAAAUAUGGACAAAAAUUGAUGUGGACCCACACCACUUUGAUUAUUCUUCUUUUUCUUCACUUUUUCUGUGUUUCACUACUUAAUGAUUCAAAAGUUAUCUAUUUAAAAAAAAUUAAUUUAUUCAGUUUUUUAAAUUAAAAUAAAAUAUACCUAUCAUUCUUAGACGUUACAUAAUGAAAUUAAAAACCAUAGCUUUUAGAGCCCCAAGCGCACGGCCCCAUCUCGUGGAAAAAAUUGCUUGAUGAUAAUGGUAUCACUGACCCAUCUAGUGGAUAAUUUGUUGCAAUGUUCUCUCCAUCAAAAUCCUUUUUGUUUUGAAAAGGAAAAUAUAUAUAUAUAUAUAUAUAUAUAUAUAUAUAUAUAUUAGUUUUCAAGUUUUGAGAUAUAAGUUCAUAGCUCUUAAGAUAAGAAAUAUACCACAAGAUUUAAAAAUAUUUUAUAUUUCAUUAAAAUGAAUAAAUAAAUUACUUAUAUGGUUGCAAUAUUUUUUUCUUAAGAAAAUAAAUUGAUUUCAUGUGUUAAUAACAUUUAAGGAUUUUUUUCCAAUCAAAUUUAUUUUAAUUAAAAAGUUUGCAAUCAAUAACAACAUUCCCAAUUAAACCAAAGUUUUUCCACGAACCCAUCUCAUGGAAAAAAUGCAUGAUGGUUGGAAGAAGACGUCUCACAGCCUUUCCUCAAGGAAAAAUGCAUGAUGGCAAUGGUCUCAGGAGCCAAUGGACAGAUAGAAAUGGUCUCACGAACUCAUAAAUGCAUUUAUAGUGAUAUUUUCAUUGUUAGAGACAUACAGUAGUUUAGGGAAUUUUAUCAAGGAACGAAGAUAUUUUCGGAGAAUAACAUUUAUAAUGAUACUUUUAUGCAAUUCAAUUUUUUCUUUUUUUUAGUCUAUGAUACUGAUGAACAUGACUUUCUUAAGCUAGUUGUAGUAUACAGAACUUUUUUAAUAAAAAAAUAGAAAUAUAAUUUGCAUAUGAGUAAAUAGCUUCACAAAUUAAUAUAAUAGGUUUUAAUAUUUACUUUUAAUAUUUAUAAAAUGAAAGAUAUUAAGAGUUGCUUAAUUUGUAGAGCUCCAUUUGUAUAUCAUUCUAUUUUUAUUUUUUUUUGCAAAGAAAAACCUCGUUUUGCAUAACUGUUCCUAUGUCUUUUUAUUAUUGAUGUAUGUUUGACAUUUUUAAUAUCUUAGAAGAGCACACAGAAAGGUUUACGAGGAUUCCAAGGGAGGCUACUGAUUUUUGCUCUCCAUGAGAAGAGCAUCAUGGAACUUCUAACUGAGCAUUGAAUGUCAUAAUGAGAAAGAUUGGCAGUUGCACACCCAAGAGAAUGCUUUUUUUUAUCUUUCUUUUUUUUCACAAGAUAAGGUAAUUGGCUGUUGUGUGUUUUGACUUUUAGCAUUCUUCUUCUUCUUAUUAUUAUUAUUAUUAUUAUUAUUAAGAUGAGUGUCCGGACCAAUUUGUACGCAACUCGACUUAUCCCAUGGGCUCUAAAGUUAACGAUCAUGUAAGCCUCUAGUGACUCUGAGAUUUAUGAGACUCGAACUAAUGAUUUUUAGGAAGCAAACCUAGAGCCUAGGUAAUUGAGCUACACCCUUAUUAGAAUUACUUUUAACAUUCUUUUAGAUUGUCUUGUGGCGGUCCUCCAAGAUUCCGGAGGACCACCUGUAUGCAUAAGGAAAUCACUGCAUGGUUGUGUUUAAAAAUCAAAAUGGCACACAGCAAGUCAAGCAUCAAUUACUUAAGAUUUGUGGAAGAUAUGAUACAAGAGAUAAGAAAAUGAUUGCUAUUAUCCACAAUUUCUUUGCGGAGUUUCCAUUAGAUAAUCAAUAAUGUAUACAUUUUUUUUUUGAGAACUCAUUUUCACACCCCCAGUUGCCACCCUGCUUUUUUGAGAAGUAACUCAUUAGAUAAUCAAUAAAGUUUUUUUUUUGUUCAUUUACCACUAAUUUACAUUUCAAUCAAAAACUAAAUUUACUUUUACUACUAUUUUAAUUUUAAAAAAUUAUUUUUAUAUUGUUUAAUGCAUUAAUUUCAAGAAAUAAAUUCCUUUUAUUUUCUCUUUCUUUUACUAAUAUUCUUUUUUCUUCUUUUUUUGAACUGCCUUAUCUCUCUUUCUUUUAUGUUUUUCAUCUUUCAAUCCUUCAAGAUUUAAAUUAUGUAGCAAUUUACAUUAGGAAUAUUGAUAACAAAUUAAAUAUAACCAGAAAAAAAAUGCAAAAAAAAAUAAUAAUGAUAUUCUAGUAAAACAUUUACAUUUCCAUUGAAAGAUGUGUCAUAUAUUAAUUAGUGGUAUGUUGUCCAUUAAUUAAUCGGUGGUUGCAAUACUCUAAAACUUGAGAUUUAUUUUUUAUGCUAGCUUAAGCAUUUAAUUUAUUUAUUUAUUGUAAACUAAAUUGAAAUUAAAGCAUAUUAUUCAUUCCCAAGCUUACAGGGCAAUGGUCUCAAGGACCCAUCUCGUAGAAAAAACGCUUGAUAGCAAUGGUCUCAUGGAUUCUAUUGUGGAAAAAAUGAGAUGGCAAUAGUCUCACAAACCAGUCUCAUGGACUCUAUCUUACUUGUUUAUUUUAUUUUUUUAAUUUUUUGUGUUCUUAAUAAUUUUAUAAAUGUUGUUGUAGGAUUUAUUUUUCAUGUGAGAUCAAUUUUUAGUUGAUUUACUUAUAGGAUUUUUAAAUAGAUUUUAAUUAUUUAAUUAUUUUUCUAGAUUUGUUAAAUAGAUUUUUUUAAAAAUAUAUUUUCUAAAUAGUCACUACAGAAUUGCAUUUGUUGGUUACAUGACAAGCUUCCCGAGAAAAAUACCGAUGAAAUGAAGGAGGUAAAUUUUUUUAGCGUGUUUUACUCAUUAGUAAAUCUAUCAGUAAUAAUAUAUUUUUAUUACUAACAAAUAAAAAAUUACCGAUAAAAAAUUCACAGACAGAACAUUUCUGUUUGUGAUCCCGUCAAUAAUUAAUUUACCUAGAAAAUUAAAUAAUAAAUCAAGAGGGGGGGCCUUUCCUUGACGAAUAUCCUCAAUGGCCUUUGGAAUCGAAGCAAAUCCUGUGGCCACAAUUUAUUGUUAGCACGUGUUUGCAAUUUACGACAUAUAUUUUGAUGAGCUACUUGUAGAGUAAGGCGCUGUUUUUGUUUCUACCUUUAGGUGAUUGCACCAAACAUAGACUAAACAAAAGGGACAUACAGUGGUGGAGAAAUUGGUUCCAGUUCCUUUUGAUACAUGUAACCAGUUUUGUAUUCUUGCUCACUUUUCAAUUUGGUUUCGGUAUCGUGUUUUGUAAUUAUUACUUACUGCUGCUGUUUUGAAUUUACUAAUCAUUUUUUUCCUUCAACUUCCCAUAUCUUUUUGUUGGAAGCUCCAUUUGUAUAGCAUCCUUUUUAGAGAAGUAACUCAUUAGAUAAUCAAUAAAGUUUCUUUUUAUUCAUUUACUAUUAGUUUACACUUCAAUCAAAAAGUAAAUUUGCUUUUACAACUAUUUUAAUUUUUAAAACAUAUUUUUAUAUUAUUUAAUGCAUUAAUUUCAAGAAAUAAAUUUCUUUUAUUUUAAAAUCUAGACAUGAAAAACCAGAUGUAUUUUAUAAUUAGGGAGAAAACUAGAGGAAUUGAAUAGUCUUCUCAUUCUAAUAAUAUAAAGAUAUAUCUUUGACUCGAUUGAAAAAAUAUAUAUUUAAUAUUGAAAUGUAAUAAAAACAAGUCAAGAAUACCUUUCCUAACAUAAAAACAAAAGAGUGUGUAUGUAUGUUAUGUAUUUGAAGUUUUUGUAUAUAAUACUAUAGCAAAUUACAAUUAUAAAGUUAAAAAGAUCUUAUACGGAAUCACACACGAAUGUCGAUAACAAUGCUAAAGUACUACAAUAAUUUUUUUAUUUUAUUUUAUUUAUAUAAAUUGGAUAAUUAGUAAUUAAAAUAUAAUUAAAUGCAAAUAGACUAAGUGCUAAACAAUAAAAUAAAAUAAUAUUCAAAUCCAAGAAUAUUCCAAAAAAAAAAAAAUCAAAUCUCAAACAUGAAACUCUAAAUUAUUACGAGAGAGAAGUAUAAUUAUAAAGUCAUGAAAACAAUCUUACGAAUGUCUACAAUAUUUUUAUUAUUUAUUAAUUUAUUUUAUACAUUGAAUAAUUAGUAACCAAAAUAUAAUUAAAUACAAAUAGACUAAAGACGGAACUGAACAAUAAAAUAAAGGCCGAACUGCACAAGAUAAUAUUCAAAUCUAUAUUAUCGACAAACACACCAUAAAGACCGAAGUGUCAGACUUUGGCACUUUCUAGGUUAAUUCCGUUGGAUUAUGUUGAAUAGUCAACAAUGGUGCGAGGUACUCUAGGAUACUUAAGGGCCAACUGACGGACAAAAGUGAUGUUUACAGUUAAAAAUUCAAGUGCCUAAGGGCCUUUAAGUGCCUUCGAUAAGCCUAAGGGCCUUUAAGUGCUGAACAAUAAAUAAAUAAAAAUAUUCAAAUCCAAGAAUAUUCCAAAAAGAAAUAAAAUAAUAUUCAAAUCUCCAAACAUGGAACCUGCACAAGAUAUAUAGAUAAAAUCAAGGAAAUUAAAUGGCCAAAGUGUAGUAUAAAUAGGACCUCUAUGGUUGCCCAAAGACACAUAACAAACAACAAUAUUCUACGUAGUAAUUCAUAGAAUUAUCUACGAUGAUGAUGAAAAGAAUGGGGGCUUUGAUGUUGCUAGCAUUAUUGACUCUGGUUGGCGAAUGGUAUGGUCGUUGUUAUGGUUGUUUGGAGGAAGAGAGGAUUGGUCUCUUGGAGAUCCAAUCUUUGAUCGACCCAGAUGGCAUUUACUUGAUGGAUUGGGUGGACGACAAUAGUAAUUGUUGUGAGUGGUAUGGGAUCGAGUGUGAUAACACUACAAGACGAGUGAUCCAACUCUCUCUUAGUCGGGAUUACAGCUUGGGCGAUUGGGUUCUCAACGCAUCUUUGUUUCAGCCUUUCAAAGAAUUGCAAAGUCUUGAUUUGGAAUGGACUAGAUUGGUUGGUUGCAUGGAGAAUGAAGGUUAGUUCAAUGUUUCUGCACUUAAUUAUAAUCAUAAAAUAAAUGAAGGUUGGUUGGUGUUUAAUGUCAAUUAUCUUGCUUUGAUGAUUCUCUUCCAGGCUUCCAAGUCCUAUCAUCAAAACUGAGGGAACUUGGCCUAAGUUUUAACCGAUUUAAUAAUGAUAAAAGCAUUUUGUCAUGCUUCAAUGAUAACCUUUCCACUCUCAAGUCUUUGGAUCUAUCAUAUAAUGGGUUGACAGUUGGAUCAGGAGGUAGCUUCUAUGGUAACCUUUUAGUUAUUUAUUUAGCUUUGAAACCUUUUCUUUUCUCCUCCUCAUAUCAUUUUUUUCUAUGCGUUUAAUUAUUUCCUUCCAAUAUGCUCUUGAGGAACAUCAUGCAG
This 151979-nucleotide long non-coding RNA is filed under the name Populus tremula. Its description in RNAcentral is "long non-coding RNA (PTRE_LNC002042)". The stretch from base 127195 to 127351 matches the Rfam family "MIR2912 microRNA precursor family". The record is from RNAcentral. Lineage: Eukaryota; Viridiplantae; Streptophyta; Magnoliopsida; Malpighiales; Salicaceae.